GUGGUUUCUCUCCCUUGGGAGGUUUACCAAUUGGGGUUGGUGGCUUGUGUUCUGGGAGUGGUUUCUCUCCCUUGGGAGGUUUAGUGGGUGACUUGUGUUCUGGAGGUGGCUUCUCCACCGAAGGCUUGUGCUCCGGUGGUGGCUUUUUGGUUGGAGGGGGCUUGGGGUAAUCAGCAAGAGAUGGGGUGGUGAGAACCACCAGUCCAAGGAACAACACUAGCAAGUAUGUGGGAGACAUUUUUGAGUUUGGGCUGAUCAGAUGAUGCAAAACUAAAGCAUUACGUGACCUUUUAUAGCAAGUAGCUCCCAAUACCUACUUGACACGUGUUACUGUGACCCAUAAAUAUUAUGGGGUCUAUUUGUGCCCUACCGGGUUGAAAACUUGGACAAUUGGGCAAGGACCCGCCUGACUAUGGAGGACUACUGAGGUGUGAUCACAGCUUUAGGAUUUUUCUUCCUCUGCAGCCGUCUUGCCGUUGGCAUGAUUUUCUUAAUCUCAAAUAAAGGCAUAGUUAUAGAGUUGUUUAAUCUCUAAAUGGGAUUUUAUAUAUCUUCAGAUAGCCAUUAAUACAUUUGAUGAAGAAAGAAAGACAAGUGCAUACAACAUGUAUACGACUAGCUUUCAUGGAGUUCAUUUAUGAUCAGUUUUCCUGUACAUGUAAACCAAGAUCAUAUAUGUUUUUGUUCCACAACAAUUUUGGAAUCUUGUUUAUCCGUUUUUAUCAUUAUAAUGUCACAUAGGCUGCCAACUUGGGCGCUAAAUUAAAGAUCCAGUUGGGCAAGUUCGUUUCAGAAUUUCAAUGGUGGAUUCAGGAAUUGUUUUAUAAGAUAUGCAAAAUAGUAGAGGGAUGAAUAGUGUUUCAUUAAGAAAAGAGCCCUGUAAAAAUAUUGUUUAAAGGUGCCAUAGAAACUAUAAUCAAUAAAUAACUUUUUUUCCCCAUGGGUGGUGUUUCUUGUGGGGAUCAGUGACUGGUUUGAGUCAACGCCGUGUCUCUUUAGUCCAGAAAUCAACUAUUUUAUGCAUUGAAUACAUCAACAAAGAAAAUAUGAAAGCCAAAUGACACCUCCCCCGCAAAAACUAAACCCUGGUUGCUAACUUUCUAUGUUUCAGUUCCAUUCACACAAGAAUAUUAGUUCAAGUUUGAGAAAAAUGGCGACUUACCUAGUGAUAACUCGGUCUUGGUUUGCGAUUUGACUUUAACGUCAUGGGUUGAAGCCUCCUACAAUCAUCGUGUAUGCUAGUUCAAAGCUCGUGGAAGAAGUUAUACAGGGAGGGAGAAACCUCCACAGCAAGCUCCAAAAGAGAAUUAUCACAUUGAAAGCUCCAGUUGAACACUGGGUGAAAGCCAUAACAAGAUUGGUUUUCUAUCGCUCUUUUAAGUAAUGGAAGAUUAUUAUCUCUGCUUGUCACUACAACCGUGCAUGCUGCUAGAUCUUUCUAGACACUUCAAACAGUGAAACCAAGUAUGAUUCUUUUUCUCUUGAGUGGGUCCACUUGCAUGCCAAUGAACGAGUUGAAAAGUUGGACAAUUGGCCACAGCGCGCACUUACCUUCUGGAACCGAAGGUCAGUGAAGUGGGGUUCCUUUUGGCCCCUUGUGUUUCUGUUCCAACCUACUCCAGGAACCGAAGUUCAGUGAAGUGGGGCUACUUUUGGCCUCUUGUGUUUCUGUUCCAACCAAACAAAAAUGGGAGGGAAAAAUAGCAUUAUGCUUGUGCUAAAGAUCAACGCAUGAUAGCUGAAUAAGGGAGAAAAAGGCAUUGCUAUCUCAAUUUCAUAAACUUGAUAAGUAGUGACAUUAAUAGUCUUCCUCAUAGAUGGAUACAUGGUUUUAUUUUAUUUAUUUAUUUUUAUUUUUUUGUUUUAUGUCAAUGCUAAUGAAUGAAGUGCAUUAGCUUGUUUUGUGACUAGAACUACAAAUGUCCAAAUUGGAGCUUCUCCAAUAUAUUUCUCAGUGAGUUAUUGAUUAGAACUCUUGGAUUGAGUUCCAAGAUUUGAAUCAGACCCCUCUAGCAGCUUCAGGGGUACGUAGCAACCUAUAGCAUAUUAAUGAAGACUUAGGAUUUAGACUUAGGAAUACAAAUUAAUAUGUACCUCAUGCUCUGACUAGCUUCCCUGCGUAUGCACAAAAUGGAGAUGACUCCCAAAAAAAUAGCAGAAUCGCCUUAGUAUGUUUUUGUGGUUAAGAUGAUUCUCCACUUUAUAUAUCCACAUUGGUUCAUUAUGCAAAUUAAUCAACUAAGCUAUUUUUAUUUUUUCUUAAAUGUGAAAUAGGAGCUCCAAAUUAACCUAACCAUUGGCCUGAUUGAAUUGAUUUCACUUGCAUAAUGUUAUAGUAGAAGUCCGUAAUUUGAAUUUUAUUUUUGCAAAAGGUAACGUAAAUGAAGCAUUGUAAUUAAAUUUAUUUGUAAUUACAAACUAAUUUUAUUUUAUUAAGAAUUAAUUUAAUUACUCAUUUAAAAUAAAAAUCAGUUAUACUUUUACCAAGAUGAUAAUAUUCAUAUUUUUCUAGUUAACAUAUAUAAAAUAGUACACUUUUUCAUAUAAAAAAAUAAUUUAUGAUUUAUUAUAAUGUUACUAUUCACAUUUUACUAAAUUGAUGGUACAUGAUAGUGAGAGAAGGGGGUGUCACACUCAGCUAAAGUUCUUUUCAAAAUAUUGCAUGGUGUUUAAUUUUAUGUGUCGGCGCGCGUGUGAAUGGAACCUGCAAAAGUCCAAAUUGGCGUUUCUCCAUUUUCCACAUAGGAUGGUGACGUUAAUAGACAAAGAUACAAUAUCUGUAGACAUUGCUUAAAAAUCGAUGUGAAGUAUUAGAAAUUACAGGGCACUGUACUGGGGGAGCGGCUGCCCCGCCAAAGGAGGAAGAAUGUAGCAAUUUCUUCUGUUAGCCAGGCCUUAGGAUUUAUGCAUGGGAUGCCUAAUAACAAACAGAGAAAAUAUACUUUUGGGGAAGGUAUCCAACAACAGACACCAUCAUUCAGAUGGUGGGAAGGUAUCCAACAGAUGCCAUCAUUCAGAUGGUAACAUAUAUAUACAUUUAUUAGUGAGUUUUUUUAAUACCUAUAAAAAAAAAUAUACACUUUGAUAUUGUGGCUGAAUCCAUUACAUACUCAACUAACCUUGCUCAUUAGGGAUUUGACUUAACAAGGGCAACGUUGCAGUACAAGCUCAAAACUUUAUGCAGGUGACAUUACAUUUGGUAAAGAAGAGGAAAAUAACGAAAGCCAUCCAUAAAAGCAAAAUUCCACAUGGGAUGAAAUUCACAAGCUUCAUUUACGAUAGAGUCGCAUCCAGGCAAUUAAUUCCACAUUAGACCGCCUGUUGACAUGUGUACCAAUCUUUUUUCAAAAAAUAUUUAUAAAUAAUUGAUACUCACAAAAAUAAUUUAAUAUUUAUAAAGGAUAAAAAAAUAUUUUCAAAUCUAUAACAAUUUAUAAAAUAUUAAUAAAAAAUUAUCUCUUAAACUUAGUAUAGUUUUAUCAGAUUAAACUUUUAUUUUGAACAAAUAAUUUUAAUCUAAGUUUUAAAUUCUAAAAUUAUUUCCUUAAAAUAAAAUUUUAAAAUUCAACACUUCAAUUGAAAUUGUCUUUUUAAAAAAUAUCUUCUUAUUUUAAUCCUUAUAAACUAUAGUUGAUUGAAAAUACUAUUGAAGUUCUCUCUUAAAAAAAAGUCUUAUUUUAAUCUUCAUAAAUUGCCCUUGAUUUGAAAAUAAAUUUUCAGUUAUCAUAUUUUAAAUAAUAUCUAUAUUUAAAAUACUCUAUUUAAAAAAAAAUGAACUAAUUUUAAUUAUAUUAUAUUUUAUUUUUUUAUAUAUUUUUAAUGAUAAACCAAACAUAGAAAAUCAUUUUUCUAAAUAUUUUAAAAUUUCUAAGCAACCAAACAUAAUCUUCAAAAUAAAAGGAAAAUAAGGAGGGACAUUUGAGAAAUGGCGAUUAAAAAAAAGUGUACAAAAGCUCAAUUAAUUUUCUUCUAGUCUUUUAUAUAAAAAAGUAAAGGAAUUGAAAAGUAUUGAUAUGUAAAUUAAUAUUUGGAUUUUAAUAGUAUUUUAUUUGUCUUUCUCUAUCUCAUGUAAAAGAGAAUUUAAGAUAUUUCCUAAAGCAAAGCAUUAGUUAUCUGCAAUCAGUGGUGAUCAUGCCCCAUGUCAAUUUCGGACCCAUAUCUUAAAACUGUAUAAUUUGCAUUCAAACAUUACUGAUUUCUCAGAUGUUUCAUACUCCACAGAAGAGCAUUGUUUGUGAAAGCAUGCAUUUAUGUUGGAUUUUGGAUGAUGUGGGAACUGGGGCAAGGAUCAUAUGGAAGAGUGGUCGAUUUUGUUCUGUACUUUAACAUUUGAAAUAGGAGAAGCUCGGGCAUUUGUGGGGCUUAAUUGAUUUUGAAGCCUGAAAUUGCGUUUCUGUCAUUUUGUAAAAAAUAUGGCAGAUUCCAUGCUCUCAUAUGUUUGGUCUGUGGCCAUGUAUAGAUGCCCCUUAGUGACCAGUUUGUAACUGUCAAUCAUAGUGUUUUGACUCUGGCUCAACAACAUCAGCCAUUGACGGAUUUUCAUACUUGCAAAUCAAAUAGUCUUCUUCCUCCCUUAGGAAUUUCGGUUUAAAUGUUAUUAAGCAUACAUUUGGCUGACAAUUAUUAACCACUUCAUGAUAUGGUUUCUUACCCUUAAUCAAUGGUUUCUAAGUGAAUAUAUGCAGAAGGAAAUCUGAACUGUAGACAGCAGUAUUGAUAACUCUCAAUAUUCUUUAUAUAAGAGAAUAAACAACGUCAUAGUGAUCGUCGCCUACAAGAAAGGUACAUUUCCCAACAAGAUGUAGUUGUGACUGGUACAUGGACGCAAUUAACUCGUACAAAAGAAUAAGACCAGUGCACGGCAGCUCUUAUUUUACAUGCUAAUUAUGCUAACCAAAGUCACUCAGUUGGGAUGGGAGGGAGAUGGAGGUUUGUGCGGUGGCUUGUGGGGCGGAGUUGGUGGCUUCUUUUCAGGAGCUUGUGGCUUUUUCGGAGCUGAAGGAGGCUCAAUCUUAUGAGGCGGCUUGUACGAGUCUUCUUUACUCUCGACAGGAGGGUGGCCAGGGUUGUGACCAUAAUGUGGUGGCUUCUCUCCCUUAGGUGGCUUGCCAACUGGGGUUGGUGGCUUGUGUUCAGGAAGUGGUUUCUCUCCCUUGGGAGGUUUACCAAUUGGGGUUGGUGGCUUGUGUUCUGGGAGUGGUUUCUCUCCCUUGGGAGGUUUAGUGGGUGACUUGUGUUCUGGAGGUGGCUUCUCCACCGGAGGCUUGUGCUCCGGUGGUGGCUUCUCCACCGGAGGCUUGUGCUCCGGUGGUGGCUUCUUGAUUGGAGGGGGCUUGGGGUAAUCAGCAAGAGAUGGGAUGGUGAGAACCACCACUCCAAGGAACAACACUAGCAAGUAUGUGGGAGACAUUUCUGAGUUUGAGCUGAUCAGAUGAUGCAAAACUAGAAGAAUUACGGGACCUUUUAUAGCAAGUAUCUCCCAAUACCCACAUGACACGUGUUACUAUGACCAUAAAUAUUAUAGGGUCCAUUUGUGCCCUACCGGGUUGAAAACUUGGACGCUUGGCCGAGGACACACCUGACUAUGGAGGACUAUUGACGUGUGAUCACAGCUUUUGGAUUUUUCUUCCUGUGCAGCUGUCUAGCGGUUGGCAUUAUUUUCUUAAUCUUAAAUAAAGGCAUAGUUAUAGAGUUGUUUAAUCUCUAAAUGGGAUUUUAUAUAUCUUCAGAUAGCCAUUAAUAUAUUUGAUGAAGAAAGACAAGUGCAUACAACAUGUAUACGGCUUGCUUCAAUCGAGUACAUUUAUGAUCAGUUUUCCUGUGCAAGUAAACCAGUUUUUUGUUCCACAACUAUUUUGGAAUCUUGUUUAUCAGUUUCUAUCAUUAUAAUGUCACAUAGGCUGCAAACUUGGGCACCCAAAGAUCUAGGUGGGCAAAUUUGUUUCAGACUUUCAAUGGUGGAUUCAGUAAUUGUUAAAAGGUGUUUCUUCAUUAAGGAAAGAGUCCGGUAAAAAUAUUGUUAAAAGGUGUCAUAGAAACUAUAAUAAAUAAAUAACUUCUUUUCCCCAUGGGUGGUGUUUCUUCUGGGGAUCAGUGACUGGUUAGGGUCACCCAAAAUGAGUCCAGAUUAAAAUUGGUUCGAGUCAAAGCAGUCUCUUUUGUCCAGAAAUCAACUAUUUUGCGCAUUGAAUGAAUCGAUAAAGAAAAAAUGAAAGCCAAAUCACACCUCCCCUGCAAAACCUAAACCCCGGUUGCUAACUUUCUAUGUUUCAGUCCUAUUCAUAUAGGAAUAUUGGUUCAAGUUUGAGAAAAAUGGCAACUUACCUAGGGUUUACUUGGUUUUGGUUUGCGACUAUUUACGCAACCAACCAUGAGUUUGACUUUAACGUCAUGGGUUGAAGCCUCCUACAAUCAUGUAUGAUAGUUCAAAGCUCGUGGAAGAAAUUAUACAGGAAGGAAGAAACCUCCAAAGCUAGCUCCAAAAGAGAAUUAUCACAUCGAUAGCUCCAGAGAUUCCCAAGGGAACUGAAUCAAAGACAAGUUCCUCACUUUUUCUUCUUUUGAGGCCAAAUAUGAACCAAGGAUCACACGACCUCAUUCAACUUCAUAAGUUUGAUUUCAUGCAGUUGAACACUGGGUGAAGGCCAUGACAAGAAUUGAUUAAAAAAUUCUACCACUCUUUUAAGUAAUGGAAGAUUAUUAUCUCUGAUUGGCACCACAACAGCACAUGCUGCUAGAUCUUUCUAGACACUCCAUGCAAUGAAAGCACAAUGGAUCUUGUAAUGAUAGAAACUAAGCCAUGCUACAGUACUAGAUGAGGGGGUAAAACUAGUAGACAUCUUUCUAGACACUCCAUGCAAUGAAAGCACAAUGGAUCUUGUAAUGAUAGAAACUAAGCCAUGCUACAGUACUAGAUGAGGUGGUAAAACUAGUAGACAUGGCUGGCAGUUGAUUACUACUCAAAAAGUACUCUUUUAUAGCUUGAAACUAACUGUUUUAAACACUUUUGAGUAGUAGUUAAUACCUUUUAACUUAAUUGGCACAUUAAGGAACCUAGCAAGGGUUACUAAUCAACAUUUGGCAAGUUUUGAUGUUUUUGGUAGCUAUUUGAUCAUUGAAACAAGCCAAGAAUGAGGGGGAAUUUUGUGAAGUCCAUGGCAAUGCAAGUUAAAGCUCAAAUACAUGAAGAAUCCAAGCUUUGGAGCACUUCAUAGCCCUUUGCCAAGCCAAUCAAAGAUGCAAGGAAGAAAACCAAAGGAAGAAAUCCAACAAUCAGCAUUUUGGCAUGGCUAUGUGAAAUUUCGCACACCAUGCGAAACCACAAGAGGCAGCCAAAGAAUUUCGCAUGGUAUGCGAAAUCUUCUUGUGCACUGACUCUGUUAGAUUUUUAUCUUCAGAUAUUUUGUGUAAUUUCCUAGUUUCUCCUUGUAACCAACUUAGAUAUUUUCUUUUAUAUCUUUUUUUAUAUUUUUUAGGUAACAUCAUAUAUAAGAGGAGAGACAUAAGGAGGAUAUGGAUGUUUUUCAUAGAACACUUGUAAAUUUUUGGUAGUAAGAAAUAUACAAAGCUUUUUGCUCUGCCUUACCUUCUCAAGGGAUGAGUGGCUAGGUUUUCUUGGAGUGAGGGAAGCUAGGUGAAGGACCUGAAUGCAAAGGUGGGAGUUUUCCUUACUUUAAAUGAAAGUAGUUGUUAAACAUUAAUGGUUUUUAUUUUAAGGUUUAGCUUUAAAUCCCUGAAAAACACCUUGAAUGGCCAAUACUUGGUAAGCUUUUUAGAUUCUAUGGAUGCUUAUUGCUAGAUCCAUGGAUGUCUAUUAGUUAUCAUUUACGAGCCAUUGGAAGGUGAUUCAAGGUGAGGGUCUUUAGUGUUUGAAGCCAUUAAUGGGAAGCAAUUACCAUUUUUUCAUGAAUCCUUUGGAUCAAAUCUUAAUUGCUAAAUAUAAAACCGGUUUCGAGAGAUAACCACCAUCCUUUAUGUUAUUAUCCCCAACGCGAGGAGAAGAUCCGAAAUCUUCCUUUUUAUCUAAGGAACCCGAUCCUAGUGACCUAAAGCUCCAAGAUACCUUUUCUUUGUAGUUAACUUCAUUUAUUGUUUUUGCUUAACUUAAAAUCAAUCUUUGCAACCACAAUUCCAUUUUCUUUAAAAGCUAAUUUUUAUAAGGAAAAACACCAUUUUAUUUCCUUCACUAAGUCAACUGUACGAUGAAAACCCAUCCCUGUGGACGAUCCUAGAGCCACUAUACUAUGUUAGCUAUGCUACCCUAGUGUGAGGUGAUUUAGGUUUUAUAAAUUUUUUUGAUAACACCCAUCUGAGCCAGAAUCAAAUGGCACGACUGAACCAGGGACGAAUCAAAUGACGCCGCUACCAAGGAUGGUGCCAAAGUACAUUGACAUGACUUUUGGUGAACACUUGUGAUCUUCACCACAAGUUUGGUGAUUUUUCUUUUACUAAUUUUUUUUAUUUUAGCUUAUCUUUUAUUUAGUUUUUAGUUAACCUUAAAUUUUUCCUAGAAUUGUAUUUCUUUUGUUUUCUUUGUUUUUGUUUCAGUGAUCUUUAGUUGUGCAUGCCCUAUUGGAUAAGAGAUAUUGAGGGAAUACUUGUGAAGAUUGAAACUCCUCGAGAAACUGAGUUAGAAGUGUGCUUGAACAUCAUGGAUGUUCCACCUGAAGACCAGAAUAGCCAACAUGGUUAAGAGGAUAAUUUCAACACAUACCGAUCCAUGAGGAACCGCAUACAUCCACCUUGUAUGAGUGCACCGUCAGGCAUAAUGCCUCCCACUGAGCAGCUAGUAAUCUGACCUCACAUUGUGCCACUCCUACCUACUUUCCAUGGGAUGGAGAGUGAGAAUCCCUACUCGCAUAUUAAGGAAUUCGAGGAGGUUUGUAAUACAUUCCAAGAAGGAGGAGCUUCAAUUGACUUGAUGAGGCUCAAGCUAUUUCCUUUCACUUUGAAGGAUAAGGCCAAGAUUUGGCUUAAUUCUUUAAGGCCAAGAAGUAUCCAAACUUGGAUUGAUUUGUAAGCCGAGUUUCUUAAGAAGUUCUUCCCUACCCAUAGGACCAAUGGUUUGAAAAGGCAAAAUUUGAACUUCUCAGUUAAAGAGAAUGAGAAAUUCUAUGAGUGUUGGGAGAGCUACAUGGAAGCUAUUAACGUUUGUCCUCACCAUGGCUUUGACACAUGGCUCUUAGUGAGCUAUUUUUACAAUGGUAUGUCUUCUUCAAUGAAGCAACUCCUAGAAACUAUGUGUGGAGGAGACUUCAUGAGUAAGAAUCCGGAGGAAGCCAUGGACUUUUUGAGUUAUGUGGCUGAAGUUUCAAGAGGAUGGGAUGAACCAAAUGCUAGAGAGGUGGGAAGAAUGAAGUCUCAACCUAAUGCUAAGGGUGAGAUGUAUGUUUUGAAUGAAGACAUUGACAUGAAAGCAAAGGUUGCAGCUAUGGCAAGGAGAUUGGAAGAGCUAGAAAUGAAGAACAUACAAAAAGUGCAAGCCAUUUCUGAGACAUCAAUGAAAGCUAUGCCUUGUUCCAUUUGUCAAUCUUAUAAGCACCUAGUGGAGGAGUGUCCUACAAUUCCAGCAGUGAGAGAGAUGUUUGGUGAUCAAGCAAAUGUUAUUGAUCAAUUCAAGCCUAAUAACAAUGCUUCAUAUGGCAACACCUACAAUUCAAAUUGGAGGAACCAUUCAAAUUUCUCUUGGAAACGAAAGCCACCUCAAUACACACAACCUACUCAAGCACCUUAGCAAUCCUCGAAUCUUGAACAAGCUAUUGUGAACCUUAGCAAGGUUGUGGGAGACUUUGUGGGAGAUCAGAAGUCCAUCAAUGCUCAACUGAAUCGGAGAAUUGACAGUGUGGAGAGUACAUUGAACAAAAGGAUGGAUGAGAUGUAAAAUGAUCUGUCUCAAAAGAUAGACAAUGUCCAAUACGUAAUCUCAAGGCUUACCAACCUCAACACAGUGUAAGAGAAAGGAAAGUUUCCUUCUCAACCUCAUCAAAAUCCUAAGGGUAUCCAUGAAGUAGAGGCUCAAGAGGGAGAAUCUUCAAAGGUGAGGGAAGUCAAAGUAGUUAUCACCUUGAAGAGUGGUAAAGAGGUUGAUCAACCCACAUCCAAGCCAAAGCAUAAUGAAGAGAGUGUAGCAGAAAAAGAAAAGAGAGGAAAAUAAAGGAAUUAGAAUAGAGAAAAAUACAAAGAAAGAUGACCAUGAGUCUAGUGUGGAUGAAGAGCCCGAGAGGAUGGUGAUCAAGGAAGAUAUGAUGAAGAAACACAUGCCUCCACCUUUCCCCUAAGCUUUGCAUGACAAAAAAAGAACCAAUAAUACAUCAGAAAAUUUUGAAGUAUUGAGGCAAGUGAAGGUCAAUAUCCCUUUGCUAGACAUGAUCAAACAAGUGUCGACAUAUGAAAAAUUCUUGAAGGACUUGUGCACUGUAAAGAGAGGGUUGAAUGUGAACAAGAAAGCUUUAUUGACCGAGCAAGUGAGUUCCAUCAUACAGUGCAAGUCCUAGUGAAGUACAAAGAUCCGGGUUGCCGUACCAUCUCAGUGAGUAUUGGAAGGACUUGUGUGGAGAAAGCUUUGUUGGACUUGGGAGCAAGUGUGAAUUUGCUAUCCUACUCUGUCUAUAAGCAGUUGGGAUUUGGAGAGUUGAAGCCAAUAUCCAUCACUCUAUCUCUAGCGGAUAGAUCAAUGAAGAUUCCAAGAGGGAUGAUCGAAGAUGUCCUGGUUCAAGUUAACAAAUUCUACUAUCCAGUAGAUUUUGUUGUUCUUGAUAUGGAUCCGGUUGUCAAAUGAACUAAUUAUGUUCCUAUCAUACUUGGAAGACCCUUCCUAGCUACAUCAAAUGCAAUCAUCAAUUGUAGGAAUGGAGUCAUGCAACUCACAUUUGUCAACAUGACAUUAGAGCUCAACAUCUUCCAUUUGUACAAGAAGCAUAUCCAUCAGGAGGAAAAAGAAGGUCUAGAGGAAGUGUGAAUGAUUGACACUUUAGUGGAAGAGCAUUGUGAUCGAGAAUGCAAAAAGAUUUAGUUGAGAAUUUUGGGGAUCUUGAUGAAAGGUUACUUGAACCCUCAGAUUUGCUUGCUACCCUACUCCAUUGGAAGAGAAGAGAAGAAAUUCUACCCUUAUUCAAUGAGGAGGAGACGCAAAGAGCUGCAAAGGAGAAACCCCCAAAACUUAUUCUUAAGCCACUACCCACAGAGUUGAAGUAUGUAUACUUGGAAGAAGACAAGAAGUGCCCUAUUGUUAUAUCUUCAACUCUUACCAUUCAUCAGGAGGAUUGUCUACUUGAAGUCCUUAGAAGAUGUAAGAAGACAAUAAGGUGGCUAAUUUCUUAUUUGAAAGGGAUCAGCCCUUUAGUCUGCACCCAUCAUAUUUACAUGGAGGAUGAAGCUAAGCUAAUUCAUCAACCUCAGAGAAGGUUGAACCCUCACAUGCAAGAGGUGGUUCGAGCUGAAGUUCUGAAGCUACUUCAGACCAGUAUUAUUUACCCCAUAUCAAAUAGCCCAUGGGUGAGUCCUACUCAAGUUGCGCCAAAGAAGUCUGGGAUCAUGGUGGUGCAAAAUGAUAAGGGAGAAGAUGUCUCUACACGCCUCACUACAGGUUGGAGGGUGUGUAUCAAUUACAGGAGGUUGAAUGCAGUGAUAAGAAAGGACCAUUUCUCAUUGCCCUUUAUUGAUCAGGUGCUUGAGAGGGUCUCUGGGCUUUUUUUUUUAUUGUUUCUUGGAUGGCUACUCCGGGUACUUUCAGAUAGAAAUUGAUGUUGAAAACCAAGAUAAGACCAUUUUCACAUGCCCAUUUGGAACCUAUGCAUAAAGGAGAAUGCCUUUCGGCUUAUGCAAUGCACCCGCAACUUUCCAAAGAUGCAUGUUAAGCAUUUUCAGUGAUAUGGUGGAGCGUAUUAUGGAAGUCUUUAUGGAUGAUAUCACCAUUUAUGGAAGUGCAUUUGAUGAAUGCUUGGUCAACUUAGAAGCUGUUCUGAACCGAUACAUUGAGAAAGACUUAGUGCUUAACUGGGAGAAGUGCCAUUUCAUGGUACACCAAGGGAUUGUCCUUGGGCACAUUAUCUCCAAGCAAGGCAUUGAAGUUGACAAAGCAAAGGUUGAACUCAUUGUUAAGUUGCCAUCCUCAACAAAUGUCAAAGGAGUAAGGCAAUUCUUUGGCCAUGUCGGGUUCUAUAGGAGGUUUAUCAAGGAUUUCUCUAAGCUUGCAAGGCCUCUUUGUGAAAUAUUGGUGAAUGAUGUUAAAUUCAUAUGGGAUGAUGGAUUUGAAAGGAGUUUUGAAGAAUUGAAGCUAUUUUUGACAACCGUACCAAUAGUGAGGGCUCCCAACUGGCAACUGCCCUUUGAAGUAAUGUGUGAUGUCAAUGAUUUUGCUAUAGGAUUUUUUCUUGGGCAAAGAGAAAAUGGAAAACCUUAUGUGAUCUACUAUGCGAGGAAGGCAUUGAAUGAGGCACAAAGAAACUACACAACCACCGAGAAAGAAUUGUUAGCUGUAGUUUUUGCCUUGGAUAAGUUUCGCGCUUACUUGGUGGGGUCCUUCAUCAUGGUUUUUACUGAUCACUUUGCUUUGAAGUAUCUGUUGACUAAGCAAGAUGCUAAAGCAAGGCUGAUUAGAUGGAUUCUCUUACUUCAAGAGUUCAAUCUCCAUAUCAAAGAUAAGAAAGGAGUGGAGAAUGUGGUAGCAGACCACAUUUCAAGGCUAGCUAUCGCACAUAAUUCCCAUGCUUUGCCCAUUAAUGACGAUUUUCUAGAGGGGUCUCUCAUGUUGGUGGAAGUUGUCCCUUGGUACGCUCACAUUGCUAACUACCUGGUCACGGGAAAAGUUCCAAGUGAGUGGAAAGCACAAGAUAAGAAGCACUUCUUUGCAAAAAUUCAUGCCUACUAUUGGGAAGAGCCAUUUCUAUUCAAGUAUUGUAUGGAUCAGAUAAUAAGGAAGUGCGUUCCUGAAGAAGAGCAACAGGGGAUCCUUAGUCAUUACCAUGAAAAUGCAUGUGGAGGCCACUUUGCUUAUCAAAAGACAGCCAUGAGGGUGUUGCAAUCGGGUUUCUGUUGGCCAUCACUUUUCAAAGAUGCCCACACCAUGUGCAAGAGUUGUGAUCGAUGCCAGAGGCUUGGGAAGUUGACACGCAGGAACAUGAUGCCUUUGAACCCCACUUUAAUAGUUGAUAUUUUUUAUGUUUGGGGCACUAACUUCAUGGGACCUUUCCCUAUGUCUUUUGGCUACUCUUACAUCUUGGUAGGAGUAGAUUAUGUUUCUAAGUGGGUUGAGGCAGUCCCAUGCAAACACAAUGACCAUAGAGUGGUUCUCAAGUUUCUUAAAGAGAAUAUCUUCUCAAGAUUUGGGGUGCCCAAAGCCAUAAUUAGUGAUGGGGGUACUCAUUUUUGCAACAAGCCUUUUGAAACUCUCCUAGCCAAGUAUGGGGUGAAGCAUAAGGUAGCUACACCUUACCACCCUCAAACUCAUGGACAAGUUGAGUUAGCAAACAGGGAGAUUAAAAACAUAUUGAUGAAGGUGGUGAACACAAACAGAAAAGAUUGGUCAGUCAAGCUUCUUAAUUCACUAUGGGCAUAUAGAACAACUUACAAGACCAUUCUCGGGAUGUCUCCUUAUCGCCUAGUUUAUGGCAAAGCAUGCCAUCUCCCUGUGGAAUUGGAAUACAAAGCUUGGUGGGCAAUCAAGAAGCUCAACAUGGAUUUGAGCAGAGCUGGGUUGAAGAGGUUCUUAGACCUUAAUGAGAUGGAGAAAUUGAGAAAUGAUGCCUACAUCAAUUCAAAAAUUGCAAAAGAAAAAUUGAAGAGGUGGCAUGAUCAGUUGAUUUCCCGCAAGGAUUUUCAAAAUGGACAAAGAGUCUUACUUUAUGACUCUAAACUCCACAUCUUUCCGGGCAAGCUGAAAUCAAGGUGGAUAGGUCAUUUUACCAUUCACCAAGUGCAUUCAAAUGGAGUAGUGGAACUACUCAACUCCAACAAUAUCGAGAACUUCAAAGUGAAUGGCCACCGUCUCAAGCCCUUUGUGGAGUCUUUUUCUCACAACAAGGAGAAAUUCAUCCUCCUUGAUCCACAUCAAGCUUAACAAGACCAAUUUUCUUGAUGGACUUAGUCUUUCUAAAGACUAUCGAGUCCAUAACUUUUUGUUUUAUUUUUUAUUUGAGAUUUUUUCGGUAUUGUUACUUGUUUUGUUUUUUAUUUUUCGUUUUAAUUUUAUUUGGUUUGAUUUAACUUAGGUUUUUGAUGAUCAAUUACAGGGGGGAUUUCAAAUAGAGGAAAAACCAAGAUAAUUCGCACACCCUACGAAAAUUUCGCAAGGCAUGCGAAAUUUAUGGCUUAUUUUGCAUGGGGUGAAAAUUUUCGUACAUCUUACGAACCAAUUUCGAACACUUUGCGAAAAUAAACCAACCCUGCGAAAUCAUUUCGAUUACUCUACGAAAUUUUCGUAGAGCAUGCGAAAAAUUUAGCACACCAAACACCAUUUCGCAUACUAUGCAAAAACCUAAGGGGUCUGCGAAACCAUUUCGCACCUCCAAAUCCAUUUCGCACAUUGUGCGAAAACCAAGAGGCGCUGUGCGAAAAUGAAAAGUCGCCCUGUCAUCCCUUUUUAAACCCCUCGAGCCCUAAAAUCUCCAUUUCGCAAGCACCCCUGUCCUUGCGAAUCCCUCAUUUUCCUCUACUACCUUGCAACCUCGUCCCUUUCCAUUUGAUAUUGUGCCCCGCGCACAUCUCAUUUCAGAGACUCGCACUCCGCGCCCCCUCAAAGCAUGGACUCGAGACCCACCUUCCAUUUCCGACGUGGCACGGACCCAAGGAGCCCUUUCUGCCCCUUCACUAAGACACACACCAAGGCAGAAAGCCUCCUUUGCUCAAGUGCCUAGUGAUUCUCCAUCUUAGGCCUCAGAGGCCUCGGAGGCCCCGUGGAUUCCACCUUCCGAGGGUAGAGCAGCCAUUGGUCCUUCCUCUUCUACUCCUUAGCGUAGAUACGAGACGAGGAGACCACCUACUACACAAGGGGCGACUACUUCGAGCCUUGAGAAUUCAGUACGAUGCCUUCCUGCCAAGAGGGUCAAGACUUCAGGUCCAAGUGAGUCAUCCAGAGCUUCAUAGCCUAAGCCUCCUGUAGAUUCCAAGGUUCCUACUGACAUAUCACCGGAGUCUAUUAUCAGAAGCCCGAUGCUCAUAGCACCGCCCAUUGAGGGCAACUCAGAUUAUAGAGCGAGAUCUUUCCACUUGGAGCUAUAUUUUGAUCAGGAGGCCAUACGACAGCAGCCUGAGCUCCGAGACUCUUAUGGCUUACUGCAGAGGUACCAUCUUGAGGAACUUAUGACUCCUCGUGAGUUUUUUUAUCCCAGAGUAGCACUAAACUUUUACCAGUCCAUGACUACUCGUGGCGUCCCGAGUCCUACCACGAUUCACUUCACCAUUGAUAGACGUCAUGGUAUCCUCAAGGCCAGACAUAUUACAGAGGCUCUACAAAUUCCUUUCGAGCUAGAGGAUCCAUCUGUUUUUCGCUAAUGGUCCCCAGUAUCUCAGAGGGACAUGGUCCGUAUUUUAUCUAGGGGAACAUCUACAGAUUCGAUCUUUCUACGGAAGGAGCUUCGACCUGGGAUGCUCCUCUUAGAUGUGGUGCUAUGCUCCAACCUCUUUCCCUUACAACAUUCGGUACAUAGGUGAUGAGCUAUUUUGGACGCUUUAUUCCGUAUAUCAGAGGGCUUCUACUUUGGCCCGCACCACUUGAUCAUGGUCUCCCUCAUCCACUUUGAGGAGAAGGUUCAUAGGAAGAAGCUUCAGAGGGUGGACACCAUUCCAUUACUAUUCCUGAGGUUACUUUGCCAGGUCUUGGAGUACAUGGGCUUUCCUACUGAGCCUCGGCUCGAGCUUUGCCGCCUUUGUCGAGAGUGAUCCACUCUCGACAAAUGGAAUUAGUUGGCGGGCUAUUCUGCACCUCCAGGAGCCCCUCCCAUGGUAGCACCUCCAAUGUCCCCACAGGCAAAGUAGGGCGAGCUCCCGGCAAAGACUGUACCACCAAUGCCCACACUUGAGGCUAUUUCUGCUGCUCUGCCUAUGACUCCUACUGUUCCACCAGUUGGUCCUUUUACAUCCGAGCCUUCCAUCACCAUCUCGGCUUCGGAGUUUCGCGCCCUUGUGCAUACCUUUCAGACACUCACCACCACACAUACUCCUCUCUUCUAGCAAAUGGUUGAGAUGUGUGCCCAUCAGGACCGGAAGACUACUAUACUCUGCCAAAUUCAGCAGCACCUAAGACUUUUGCCUCAACCUCAACCUAACCAUCCCAUAUCAUCAGAGCCUCUAGCUCCAACUGAGGAUACUAUUCCACCUGAGAACACUACCACAGUAGAGGUCCGGUUUCCACCACCUUAAGAGGCCACCACAGCUACAUCAGAGGAUGUGUCAUCUCCACUUGAGGCUCCCACUACUUGAUCAUAGGACAUAUCUUUAUCUUAUUGUAUUUACAUAUUAUAUUACUAGAGAUUUGUCCUUGUUUUGAUACUUUAUAUUCUGGGAUUGGAUGUAUUGCCUGAUGAUAUCUCAAUUGUACUUUCUCAUAUUAAUAUAUAGACAUCAAUUUUUUUUAGUAUACUUAGCAUUUUUCUAUUUCCUCUACUCAUUACUCUUUUGUUUUUUUUUACUCAUGUGGUUUCUCUUAUACAACUCAGACUCCAUUUCACUCAGGAGGUACCACUUCCUCCCUUUAUUUUCAAUUGCUCUUGAAAUAUUGAGUGCAAUGUUGAUCUUGGUUGGGGGGAGAGUUGAGGAAGGAAGUUUUGUUAAUAAUGCUAGGUUAAUUUGUUAAUUUAGUUACUUUCUGCUUAAUUUUAAAAGUUUUCACUCUACUUUCCAUGGUUAUUAAGGAAAAAUUCUCAAAAUGAAAUGGGAGAAAUCGAAUUCUUGCAUUUUUACUUGAAUCUUAGAAUUUGUAUCAUGCUUAUUAAAGUUGAUGAAUUAUUGAAACUCCUAUUGAAUUCAACCUUAUUUUUUCCACUUUAAUCUUACCACACACGGUGCACAUUAGGUUCCAGUUAUAAGAUAAAAAACUAUCUCACCCCCUAAACUUAGAAAAAUUUACACUUGGUACCUUUGACAUCGUUUUAAUAGUGUUGGGACACCUUAUAAAAGGCCAAUGAGCCUUUAAAAAAAAAAAAAAAAAAAAAAAGAGAAAGAACAAAGUAUUGCACUUGCCUUGAAACCUGAGCAAGAUCCGAGGGGUAUACAGUGAAAGUCUUUAAAACCUGGUGCCCUAAGCCUUGAUUGGUUGGGAGUCACCGACCUCAAUGCUCGUUAUAAGGGUGAAUAGGUGGAGUUUAACAUAUUGUAGGUGCUUGGGUAUUGAAUUUCAAUCUCAAAAGUCCGGGAAAAAAUCUAAGGAGUUAGUGGUCAAAAGAUCCUUAAAGCUUGAUGCCCUAAACCUUGAUUGGUUGAGAGUCAUUGAUGGAUCCCCGCUACAUGGACAUUUUAGAAAACAAUACCUUUAGCAUUGCACGCCUACAAUGAAAAAAAAAUGUGAAAUAAAAGAGGUGCGUUCUUAGCCUAUUGGAGGUUGGUCAGUUUGCUAAAGUUUGAGAAAUCUAGGUUGGGGGGAGAGAAUAGUCCGACAUACUAUAAUAAAAAACUAAUAACCUUAACACUUAGAUUUUUGUGGAAGAGUAAGGAUUGGACCUUUAGGGGUGGAAAUUCUUUUGAUGCUUAAAUUUGCAUAAUGCCUACUCUUUAUAAAUUAUGAUUAGGCAAGAGAUUUGAUGACUCUUGUUCAAAGUUGGGUUUUUCCUCUUUGAUGUUCCAUGAGAGAGUAUAAUCCUCAUCAUGCCACUUGAAAUCUUUUUGGAGUGAUUAACAUGAUUUUGUAAAUUAUUUUACUGUCUAUUUUUCUUUAUCUCUCUUUUAUUGCUAAUGGACUAGCAAUAUGUCAGUUGGGGGGAGUGAUUACUACUCAAAAAGUACUCUUUUAUAGCUUGAAACUAACUGUUUUAAACACUUUUGAGUAGGUGUUAAUACAUUUUAACUCAAUUGGCACAUUAAGGAACCUAACAAGGGUUACUAAUAAGUUUUUGGCAAGUUUUGGUGUUUUUGGUAGCUAUUUGAUCAUUGAAACAAGCCAAGAAUGAGGGAGAAUUUUGUGAAGUCCAUAGCAAUGCAAGUUAAAGCUCAAAUACAUGAAGAAUCCAAGCUUUGAAGCACUUCAUAGCCCUUUGCGAAGCCAAUCAGAGAUGCAAGGAAGAAAACCAGAGGAAAAAAUCCAACAACCAGCAUUUUCGCAUGGCUGUGCGAAAUUUUGCACACCAUGCGAAACCACAAGAAGUAGCCAAAGAAUUUUGCACACCAUGCGAAAUUUCGCAUGGUAUACGAAAUCUUCCUAUGCACCAACUCCGUUAUAUUUUUAUCUUCAGAUAUUUUGUGUAAUUUCCUAGUUUCUCCUUGUAACCAACCUAGAUAUUUUCUUUUAUAUCUUUUUUUUAUAUUUUUUAGGUAACAUCAUAUAUAGGGGGAGAGACAUAAGGAGGAUAUGGAUGUUUUUCAUAAAACACUUUUAAUUUUCUGGUAGUAAGAAAUAUACAAAGUUUUUUGCUCUGCCUUACCUUCUCAUUUUGUUUUCACCUAUCUUUCUAGCCAAACAACCUCUGAGAAUGAUUUCUCAGGGGAUGAGUAGUUAGGUUUUACGUUUCUUGGAGUGAGAGAAGCUAGGUGAAAGACCCAAAUGCUAAGGUGGGAGUUGUCCUUGCUUUAAAUGAAAGUAGUUGUUAAAUAUUAAUGGUUUUUAUUUUAAGGUUUAGCUUUAAAUCCCUUAAAAACACCUUGAAUGGCCAAUACUUGGUAAGCUUUUCGGAUUCUAUGGAUGCUUAUUGCUAGAUCCAUGGAUGUCAUUAGUUAUCAUUUAUGAGCCAUUGGAAGGUGGUUCAAGAUGAGAGUCUUUAGUGUUUGAAGCCAUUAAUGGGAAACAAUUACCAUUUUUUCAUGAAUCCUUUGGAUAAAAUCUUAAUUGCUAAAUAUAAAACUGGUUCGGGAGAUAACCAUCCUUUAUGUUAUUAUGCCCAAUGCAAGGAGAAGAUUUCGAAUCUUCUCAUUUGUCUAAGGAACCCGAUCCUAGUGACCUAAAGCUCCUAGAGACCUUUUCUUUGUAGUUAACUUCAUUUAUUGUUUUUGCUUAACUUAAAAUCAAUCUUUGCAACCACAAUUCCAUUUUCUUUAAAAGCUAAUUUUUAUAAGGAAAAGCACCAUUUUAUUUCCUUCACUAAGUCAACUGUAUGAUGAAAACCCAUCCCUGUGGACGAUCUUAGAGCCACUAUACUAUGUUAUCUAUGCUAUCCUAGUGUGAGGUGAUUUAGGUUUUAUAAAUUUUGUUGAUAACACCCGUCUGAGCCAGAAUCAAAUGGAACCACUGAACCAGGGACAAAUCAACAGCCUAUAUGGGAGGGACACAAGUUUAAUUGAUUUGCAUUUCAGCGUUAUAGAUAAGUAUGUUUUGGAAGAUUUGUUCUGGAAAUACUGCACCAAGUACGAUUCUUUUUCUCUUGAGUGAGUCCAUUUGCAUGCCAAUUAACGAGUUGAAAAGUAGGAGCACCUACCUCGUGCUCAUGGAACCGAAUGUCAGUGAAGUGGGGCUCCUUUUAGCCUCUUGUGUUUCUGUUCCAACCAAGGCGGCGUAGGGAAAAACAACAAUAUGUCUGUGCUAAAUAUCAACGCAUGAUAGAUGUUUUUUUUUUUUUUUUUGGUAUGUCAAGGCUAACGAAUGAAAUGCAUUAGCUUGUUUUGUGACUAUAACUGCAAAUGUCCAAAUUGGAGUAUCUCCAUUUCUCACUUCGGAUGGUUAACUUUAUAAACAAGAUAUAGGAAACAUGUGAACAUCUUGAGGAACAAUUCAAAUUAUUCAUUAGAAGUCCUGGGUUAAGUUCCAAGAUUUAAAUCAGACCCUUCUAGCAGCUUCAAGGGUACUUAGCAACCUAUAACAUAUUAAUGAAGAUUUAGGAUUUAGACUCCGGAAUACAAAUAAAUAUGUAUCUCAUGCUUUGACUAGCUUCCCUACAUAUGCAUAAAAUGGAGAUGACCCAAAAAAAAUAGCAGAAUCUAGCUUCCCUACAUAUGCACAAAAUGGAGAUGACCCAAAAAAUAGCAUAAUCGCCUUAGUUUCUGUGGUUAAGGUGAUUCUCCGCUUAAUAUCCACAUUGACUCAUUAUGCAAAAUCAACUGAGCUAAUUUUAUUUAUUUAUUUAAUGUCAAAUAGGAACUCCUAAUUAACUGAUUACUGUCGAAAAGUGCUAUUUUGUAGACCUAAUUAUAAGGGUUUUAAGCACCUUUGAGUAGUAAUCAUAUUCAUUUAACCUAAUUAAUUCAUUAAGCUCCUUAGUAAUUAGUUCUAACCAUUUUUAGUGGCAAGUUUACAUGUUUUUCAUCAGCUUAUGAACCAAUUCAAGCAUGCCAAUUGAUGGAGGAGCUACUUGGGCGAGUUAAGCAAGGAUUUUGGACGUUUACAGGCUUGAAUUUCAAGUGGAAACACGAGCACAAGCAAUGGGAACACCAUUUCGCAAGGGGAGGCAAUUCACCUUGCCAAAUGACCAAUUUCGCAAGGGGAUUUUCCUCAUGGUGCAAAAUUUGGUCAUUUCGCACCAUGAAGAAACCACCUUGCAAAAUUUCGCAAGGUGGAUUUAGGCACCUUGCGAAAUGCCAAAUUUCACAAGGUGGCUUUUCACCUUGCGAAAUUUGGACCUUUCAUCUUCCCCCCUUGCGAAAUGCCUUUGAAAUCCCCUGUUUUGAGACGCUGUUGAUGAUAUUCCACUGCCGGUUCUCCAAGAUAUUUUGCUUGACUUUUAGCUUUAUAAAUACCUAUUUUACCCUUGUAAUCAACCAAUGAAAAGGUUGCUUUUGUAAUAGCUCUUGUAAUUUAGCUUUUUAUUGUCUUUAAAUAGAGGUGAAGAGCCUCAGACACGAUCAUCUUGUAACCUGUAACUUUAUAAGUUAUAAGAGCACUUUUGUUCAUACGCUUCUUUUCUCUUUUCUUUCUCAUUUUCUUAGUAGCCAAACAUCCUUGGAGGAUGAAAUCCCCAAGGAUGAGAGGCUAAAACCUUUUAGUUUCUUGAAGUAAUGGAUGCCAUGUGAAGCUCCCGUGUCAGGAUGGAGAUUUCCAAGCCAUAAAUGUAAGUAGCUGAGCGUCAUAAAUGUUUUCAUUCAAAGUAAAGCUUUUAAUCCCUCUGACUUGCUUUGAAUGGCCAAUACUUGAUAACCUUUUGGUCUCAAUGGAUUCUUAUUGUUAGAUCCACUGACGUUCAUUAGUUAUCUCCUACGAGCCAUUGUAUUGCAAGUCGAGGAGAUGACCUAUACCAAUAAAAGAGCAUUUAUGAGGUUCAACUACCCUUUUUGUAAGUUUUCAAGGACUAAAACUCAGUUGUUAAACUCAUACCGGUUCGAGAAGUAAGCAUCACCUUAGUUGCUUCCCCAACUCGAGGUGAAAAGUCCCAAAAUCUCCAUUUUUACACAGUGAGUUAAGCAUGGCUAUCCAAAGCUUUAAGAAACUUCUUUUUCCAUCUUUUAACCUAUUUUCAUGUUAGUUUAGUUUACAACACCUUCAUCUUUUUAUGUUUUCAUCUUAACCUAAUUUUUAUUAAGAAAAGUUCACUCCAUCCUCCGAACUUCACCAGUUAAAGUAAAAACCCUUCCCAGUGUUCGAUCCUAGAGCCACUAUGCUAUAGUAGCUUUGCUACUUUAGUGUAAGGACCUUAGGUAUAAAUUUUGUUGAUACCCUUACAUGCCAAGCUACCAAGAGUCGGGUUAUCAUUAACCUAACCAUUGGCCUGUGUAAAUUGAUUUCACAUGCACAAUGUUGUAGUAGAAGUCCAUAUUUUGAAUUUUAUUUUUGUAAAGGUAAGGAAAAUGAAGCAUUGUGUAAUUAUAAAAAUAACUUCAUUGGAAUUCACAAGGUUCACCCAAAAUGGAGCUACAUCUGUAUUCUAUCCUACAGUAGACUAUAUAGAUUGUACAAUAGUAAAUUGCAAAUACAAUUAAUAAGUCUUGUGCUUCCUUACUAAUAAUCCUUUGACAUGAACAUUGCAGCACUAAGGUCCUCUUGGGAAGACACCUUGCACCCAUGAGAGCACUAAGAGGAAGCAAGGCAGAGUCAUGGGUGCAAUGUCAUGACUUGUUGUUGCACCAAGAGAGGCUUGGUGAUGCCAUGGUGUUGCAGUAGCAAGAAUGUUGCCUUGGCAGGGACACGAUCUAGGGAUAGAUGCCAAGAAAGGCUUAGCACUCACAUGAGUUGCACAAAGAUGAAUGUAAUAGAGCAUCAGAGAGACGUCUUGGCAAGUAAAUGAAUGGAUCCAAGAGACAACAACAUGAGGAGUUUCAAAUGGAUAAGGAAUGACUCAAAGACAUUUGAAAGCUACAAGUUGGAUUCUAAUUACGAUUGCAAUUUGAGUUUGAGUAGGAGUUUAGAUUUUGAUUGUAAUUGUAGUAUGAGUUGGACUAGGAUUGCUUAUCCUUAGUCAAUAUAGGAGCGGUUCGUGUCACCCUAUGAAAAGAGUUUGAGUAGGGACUAGGAUUGCUUACUCCUAGUCAAAUAUGGAGUAGGUGGUGCCACACCUAUAAAAAAAAGGGACAACAUGAGAGAGAGAGAGAGAGAGAAAGAGAGAGUGAAUUCACUAAAGAUAUUGUGGGAGUUUUGCUUUGUUACGUCUUGUAUUAUUACUUAGAAUAGGAAUAAAAUACAAGUUGGGGCUAGAGCCCCAUAAUUAAUCUCGUGUGCCUUUGUGGUUAUUCUUUAUUUGUCAUCUCGUGUGGAUUGGAUUAGGUUGACUUAGAGGGCUUCUAAGCACCACCUUUGUGGGUUAUUAUUUAUUUUCCAUCUCUUGUGGAUUAGAUUAGGUUGACUUAGAGGGCUUCUGAGCACCACCUUUGUGGGUUAUUAUUUAUUUUCCAUCUAUUGUGGAUUAGAUUAGGUUGACUUAGAGGGCUUUUAAGCACCACAUUUGUGGGUUAUUCUUUAUUUUCCAUAUCGUGUGGGUUGGAUUAGGUUGACAAGGAGAAAAAUUAUGUGGGAAAUUUGUGUUGGGACACUUACCAUAACCAAGUAAAAUCUACCAAGUCCUUUGUAAUAUCUUCAACAAAUAUUUUAGACUAGUUCUUUCAGUUAGUGUAAAGGAGGAAGAAGUGGUAUUGAUUCUAGAAAUAGGGUGUGUGUAUUUGAACUACAAUCCUUAUGAUCCUUAGGUCUCUAAACCUUCGUGAUGGGCUCCCUGACAUUUCAUAGGUUGUGCUACACAUGCGUUUGAAAUUUAGAGUGCGUUUGACAGUGAUUCCGGGAAGUGUUUUUGGCCUUUCUUACACUUGAAAAUUUUUAUUUUUCAAGUAUUAGAAAUGCUACAAACACUUUUGAAAAUUACUGUCAAACACACUCUUAGGAGCGCACAUAUAUAGUAGAAAACUAGAAAUUGUGGUUUUUUUAGGAUUUACUGUAAUGUCAUUAGGAGGGUAGUAAGUUGAAAUUGAGUAUGAACAAAUAUUUCUUUCUUUGGGAUGUUCUUCUAGUAGGUGCUGAUGAAACUGUUCUUUCUACUGCCAAUGUCACAUAUCAGCCAGAAAUUGAAAAUUUCAGUCAAGGUGUCCUCUGUUUUAGUGGUGAGGAAAGCUAGAAAUUUUAAGGUGAAGUUUUGUUAAAAACCUUAAGUAGCUGGGAUAUCAGGCCUGUUUUGCUUGAAAAAAAAAGUUGCAAGAUAACUCAUAUGCCAAACAGGUUCUGAUAUUGUGAAUCUAUCGGCAGACAUCAGUAAUCUCAUCUUCUGAGAUGGAUGUUGGGGGUGCAUGUGGUGGUGGAGGGGCAAGGUUUCAUUUGGUUUAUUUUGUUGAUGGAUAUUGUCUAGCCACCUGCGCCAAGUUUGAGGGGUGGUGGGUUGUGAUGACCCUACAAUUACUAUUAAUUUCUUCAUCUUUUACCGAUUAAAGUGUCCGAACAGUCGAAGUUACCCUUAUGCAUGUCAACUUGAUCACUUACCUCUUCAAUGGAGUUUAUGCUGGUUCAUUUAGGAACUGAUUUUUAUUGUUAUGUAUUAUAUGCUGAUGUUUAGGUCUCUCCAUCAUCACUAUAUACAAAAAUUCUAGGUUGAUACUAUAGGUUGAGAUUUAUUUUUUAAAUAAAAAAUAAUAAAAAUAAAAAUUAUGGUGAUGUUUAGUUGUUUUAUGGAAAAUUUUAACAAGUAAAAGUUAUUUUUGGGCAAGUUUUCAAACAAAAAGAAAAGUAAAAGUUGUUUUGACAAAAACAUAUAGAAAAAAAAAUCAUAGAAAAUAAAUAAUUUCCCCAUAUUCUAACUUUUUUGAAUUUUUCUCAAUGGGCAAAGGAAUAUCAAAUCAAGUUUGAGUAGGAUUUCUUAAUUUUUAAAAUAACUUACAAUUAAAAAAUUUUGGUGUUUUCAUUUUUGGACAAUUUUUUAUUAAGCAAAUGGACUCUGAGUCAUGCAAGAGAUAUGGUUCAUUAACCGGUCGAACAAUUUUUUUAAAUUAAUUUAAAAGUCAAAUACAUAAUCAAUUUCACAAAAUUUAUAAACAAAAAUAGGUUUAGAGAAGAUCUACACAUAAUUUUACUUUUCUAAUUUUAUUUUAUUUUAUUUUUUGUUGGAAAAUAGUCUUCAAAUCAUGUAAGAUUUAAUAGGUUAAAUUUGUUAACAAUAAAUUUUAAAUUAUAAAAUAUAAUCUGGAACUCAAAAAUCAAUUCAAGUAAUGCUAAAAAAAAAUCAAAUUUGGUAUAGAAUGACUUUGUAAAUUUUUUUACAAAACAAAUGAAUUUUAAAUCAAGUGAGAUUUAAUGCAUUAGAUUUUUAUCAAAUAUAGUAAUUUUAAAAAUAAAUUUGGAACUCAACAAUAGACACAAUAAAUACCAAAAAAUAAUGAACCAAAAUUGGUUUGGAAUAACUCCACAACCUUUUUUUUUUUUUUUUGGUGCACACGAAUUUUCUUACUAGGUAUAUUGCUUUCAAAUUGAGAAAGAUUUACCAUUUAGAUUUUUUUUUAAUGAGUUUAAUGGUAUUUUAAAAUAAUUCAAAAUUUAAAAAAUUGACUAAUUAAUAUUAUAAAUUGAUAAACCAAGACUAUUUCAAAAUGCAUUGGGGGCUAAGGGGGUUGAAAAUAGGGACAAUGGGAUGGGUUUGGGACAUGACACUCAUAUCUCAUUUCCAUUCCAAUUACACAGUUAUCUCCCAUCCUUAUCCCAAACUUGUGUUGGAGCAAGUUGAUUUGUUCCCAUCUUUGUUGACGAAAUGACUAAUAACCUCAUCCCCUCCUUAUCUUAGAUGUACAUUUUGUCAAAUUUGAUCAGGUAUGAUUGAUCCAAGCCCUAACCCUAAUUGGUAAUGAGUGAAUACUACACCUAAUUGCAUUCUUCUUUCAUUGCAAAAUAAUGAGAUUAUAAUAAUCUAGCAAAUAAGAAAAAAUAGUAUGGAAGUUCAAAUUAACACCAUAACUAUCAAUAAUUUUAAGCUUAUAGAUGACUUAAAUGAUUAAAAACUAAUGCAAAAUCCUAAAAAAAAUAAAAAUCAUAUAAAGAAUUCACAAGAGAACAGAAUGAACAAAAACCAAAUAUGAACAUGGGUCAACAUUAGUUAUGGAUUUGGAUUCCUUUCAAGGCCAAUCUUUGAACCAAGACUUCAUCAAAUCAACUACUUCAAAGGCUUUUGUGUUCUUCUUGGGUUGUGCUCUCAAACAAAGACUUCGAGGUGAUGUUCUAGAUGAUUGAAUUACACAUAUUUAGGGUGGAGAGAUUGGAGAAGCUUGAAGAUGCCAACGAUGGGUACAAUUGAGUGGUCAAUAAGAACAAUGUAGCCUAUGACUAGUUUGAUGUCAUGGUACAAGAGUUUUAGGCAUUGAGGUUAAAGCAAGAGCAACAUGGAAUUGAUUUCGGAGUCUUUCAGUUAGUGUAAAGGAGGAAGAAGUGGUGUUGAUUCUAGAAAUAGGGUUUUAAGUGGUGCGUGAUUACUACUCAAAAAGUGCUAUUUGAUAGCCUUUAAUUAAUCCUUUUUAACACUUUUGAGUAGUAGUUUAGGCCUUUUAACUCAAUUGGCAUGUUAAGGAUCCUUUAAAGCAAUUUUGAUCACUUUGUGCAAGUUUUGGUGUUUUUGUUAGUAUUUUGAUCACCAAAGCAAGUCAAGAAUGAGGAGAACUAUGAGGAAUCAUGGGCAAAGCUUAGAAUUCAAUUGCCAAGAGUGAAUCCGGAUUGCAAGGAGAAAAAGCAAAGAGAAUCUGUCAUGAAGCCUAUUCUUGAUGACAGUCGUAGCAGCCACUUUUGGAGCACUUUCUGAAGUCCAAAUGAUGCAAGCUAUAUACCAUUUCAAAGAUCAGGAAGUCAACAAUCCAAUGCUUCAAACGGUGCGCGAUUCGGAGUUGAAACGAAGAAGUUGCAGCCAUUACAAGCCAGUCACUCUAAAGUGUUGCGGAAUCAGCCUUUUGUUGCGAGAAUUUCGCAGCACUUUUGUACAGUAAGGUGUUUCUCCUUCUGACGAUGCACGAACCAUGCCGCGAGAGGGAAGCUAGGAACUUCAAGAUGGAAGCCAACUUUGCAGCCUGGUGAAGAUAGCUUGGUCUUGCGAAAUAAUUUCGCAGCCCUCUUGGGUGUCUGCGAAAUUUCGCAGGCACCACUUUUUUCCUGCGAAAUGGCUCCGGAAGCCUCCCGAAGCUUGCUACCGACAUUGGGAGAUAUUUUCCAUUAGAUUUUUGUUGUCUAAAUUCCAAAAUACUCCUUGUAAACCACCAAUUACAUGAUUCCUUAGUUUUUAAGUUAGUAAAAAGACCAAAUAUCUAUGUAAUAAUUAGUUUUAUAUUAGUUUGCUAUAAAUACCUCUCGGGAGCAUGUUCUCAGAGAGGAGUUCCUUCUGUAACCAUUUUGGUAAGCAAGUAAAGUCUUUUCUUUCUACUGCCUUACCUUCUCACUUUGUAUUUUCAUUUUAUUUCUAAGUUAUGAAUUCUCUGAGGAGCUUUCCCCAGAGAAUGAGUAACUAAACCUCCAAUUCCUUGGAGCUAAGGUUGCCGGGGAAGGUUCCAAGUGCAAGAAUGCAAAGCUCUGUGGUUUUAGCUAGUAAUGAAGAGGAAGUGAAAUCCUUUAGUGAUUUCAAUGUUUUUAGUUAACUUAAAACACCUUGGAGUCACCUGGGCCAACACUUGGUAAGGCAAGUGAUUUCCAACCGUGGAAAUGCACUAGUUUACCCCUUGCGAGCCUCUGGUAGGUGACUUCAAGGUAGGAUUUUCUGGAAUUACCAACACUUGGUAAGCUUUUGGACUCCUAGGAGACAUCCAUUAGUUAUCUCUUGCGAGUUUGUGAAGGGGAAUCCAAGGUUAAAGAUCACCUUGAAUGGUAAGUGCUCGUGAGAGGCAUGAACCAUUGCAAGUUGUAUCAGUGAGAGAAUUAAAGUGAAAUCUAAUUGAAGGAGUCUCUGUACAUCACCGGUUAGAGAAUUGACUAUAAGUUGAAUCUCUAAUGCGAGGAAAUGAACCAUCUGACCGGAGCUAUGUCUUUUGCAUGAGGAACCACCCCAGUGAACCUAAAUCUCCAAGGAAUGCUUUUCUUCCUAAAUUAUUCCAAACUUCUGUUAAGUUAGUUAGUUUAAGUCUAAACCUUUACCAAUCAAACUUUGUGUUUUAUUUCUUAAGCUAACCGUGAAAUGAAACAAAACCAAUUCACUUGGAAUUGGUAUCCUUGAUUGCUUGCAAAUCAUUCCCAGUGAACGAUCCUUAGAGCCACUAUACUAUAGUAGCUUUGUAUUUGCUACCCUAGUGUAUGGUGUUAUAGGUAUAAAUUUUGUUGAUCACUUCCUCAAUCAAGGAACACCAGCUGAACACAAAUCAGCUGAGACACCAAUUGGGCAUGAGUCAAAUGGCGCCGUUGCCGGGGAAUGAGUGUCAAGAUCAUUGUGAUACCAUUUUUGAGCACUUGUGAUUUUCAUCACAAGUUGGUAAAGUUUCUUUCACUUUACUAAUUUUCAUUCUCUCUUUGUUUAUUUACAAUCUAAGUUUAUCUUUUUAAAAUUUAGUCUAGUUUAAUUUUGCUAUUGUAGCCUUGUUUCUCUUGUUGUCCUCUGUUCUUGUUGUCCUCUGUUUUCAUUUUAGUUGCAGCUGAAUACUAGUUGUGUAUGCCAAAGUGGAUACGAGACAUUGGAGGUAGGCUUAUUAAGUGUGAUACACCUCAGAGAGGAGAAUUGGAAGUAAUCUUGAAUAUCAUGGAGGCUGCACCUGAAGAUCAGCAUAGUCACCAAGGUCGUCAAGACAAUCUCAAUGAAUUCAGAUCAAUGAGGGACCGUAUGCAUCCACCUCGUAUGAGUGCACCAUCAUGUAUAGUGCCCCCUACAGAGCAACUAGUGAUCAGACCAUAUCUUGUUCCACUUCUACCAACUUUCCAUGGGAUGGAAAGUGAGAAUCCGUAUGCACACAUCAAGGAAUUUGAAGAUGUUUGUAAUACAUUCCAAGAGGGAGGAGCUUCAAUUGAUUUGAUGAGGCUUAAGUUAUUUCCUUUUAAUUUAAAGGAUAAGGCCAAAAUUUGGCUUAAUUCUUUAAGGCCAAGGAGUAUCCGCUCUUGGACUGAUUUACAAGCUGAAUUCCUCAAGAAAUUUUUUCCUACUCAUAGAACAAAUGGCUUGAAAAGGCAAAUUUCAAACUUCUCAGCUAAAGAGAAUGAGAAAUUCUAUGAGUGUUGGGAAAGAUACAUGGAAGCUAUAAAUGCUUGUCCUCACCAUGGCUUUGAUACUUGGCUACUGGUGAGUUAUUUUUAUGAUGGUAUGUCCUCCUCAAUGAAGCAACUCCUCGAGAAAAUGUGUGGAGAAGAUUUCAUGAGCAAAAAUCCAGAGGAAGCUAUGGAUUUCUUGAGCUAUGUAGCUGAUGUUUCAAGGGGAUGGGAUGAACCAACUAAAGGAGAAGUGGGAAAGAUGAAGUCUCAGUUGAAUGCUUACAAUGCAAAGGCUGGGAUGUAUACUUUAAAAGAGGAUGAUGACAUGAAAGCAAAGUUGGCAGCUAUGACAAGAAGAUUGGAGGAGCUGGAGCUGAAAAGAAUGCAUGAAGUGCAAGCUGUUGCUGAAGCACCAGUGCAAGUGAAGUUGUGUCCCAAUUGUCAAUCGUUUGAACAUUUGGUAGAGGAAUGCCCUGCAAUUUCAGCUGAAAGGGAAAUGUAUAGAGAUCAAGCAAAUGUUGUUGGACAAUUCAGGCCCAAUAACAAUGCUCCUUAUGGAAAUACCUACAAUUCAAGUUGGAGGAAUCAUCCAAAUUUUUCAUGGAAGGCCAGAGCAACUCAAUACCAACAGCCGGAUCCACCAUCUCAACAAUCUUCAAGUAUUGAACAAAUAAUAGCUAAUCUCAGCAAGGUAGUGGGAGAUUUUGUGGGAAAGCAAGAAGCCACCAAUGCUCGAGUGGAUCAAAGAAUGGACAGAGUGGAUCAAAGAAUGGACAGAAUGGAGAGUAUGUUGAACAAAAGAAUGGAUGGAAUGCAAAAUGAUAUGAAUCAAAAAUUUGAUAACAUCCAAUAUUCAAUUUCAAGGCUUACAAAUUUGAAUACACUGCAAGAAAAGGGAAGAUUUCCUUCUCAACCUAACCAAAAUCCCAAAGGUGUCCAUGAAGUGGAAAGCCAUGAGGGAGAAUCAUCACAGGUGAAAGAUGUGAAAGCUUUGAUCACUCUAAGGAGUGGUAAGAAAAUUGAGCAGCCAACACCCAAGCCACAUGUUGAGAAAGAAGAAGAGAUGAAGAAAGGGAAGGAAAUGGAAGAUAAAGGCAGUGAGAUCAGUGAAGAAAAGAAGGACUCUGAUGCAACAAUGAAAGUAAUUCCAGAGAAGGAGCUUCUGAAGGAAGAAAUGCUGAAGAAAUCAACUUUUCCACCUUUUCCUCAAGCAUUACAGGGGAAAAAGGGGGUUAGAAAUGCAGCUGAAAUCCUAGAAGUAUUGAGGCAAGUGAAAGUUAAUAUUCCACUGCUGGAUAUGAUCAAACAAGUUCCAACGUAUGCAAAAUUCCUAAAGGACUUGUGUACUAUCAAAAGAGGGUUGACUGUAAACAAGAAAGCCUUCUUGACUGAGCAAGUAAGUGCAAUCUUACAGUGUAAGUCUCCUUUGAAGUACAAAGACCCUGGAAGUCCUACCAUUUCAGUCAUGAUUGGAGGAAAGGUAGUGGAGAAAGCCUUGCUAGACUUGGGAGCAAGUGUGAAUUUGCUUCCAUAUUCUGUCUACAAGCAACUGGGACUUGGAGAGUUGAAGCCAACAGCAAUCACUUUGUCUCUGGCAGAUAGAUCAGUGAAAAUUCCAAGAGGGGUAAUUGAGGAUGUAUUGGUUCAAGUAGAUAAUUUCUACUAUCCUGUAGAUUUUGUUGUUCUUGAUACAGAUCCUACUGUAAAGGAAGCUAAUUUAGUUCCUAUCAUCCUUGGAAGGCCAUUUCUUGCAACUUCAAAUGCAAUCAUCAACUGUAGAAAUGGGCUUAUGCAACUCACUUUUGGUAACAUGACACUGGAUCUAAAUAUUUUCUAUAUGUCUAAAAAGCAAAUCACUCCAGAAGAAGAAGAGGGUCCAGAAGAGCUAUGUAUUAUUGAUACUUUGGUGGAGGAGCACUGCAAUCAACAUAUGCAAGAUAAGUUGAAUGAAAGUUUUGUGGAUAUUGAGGAAGGUUUUUCUGAAUCUCCUAAUGGGCUUGCUACUCUACAAAGUUGGAGAAAGAUAGAAGGAAUUCUACCUUUGUUCAAUGAAGAAGAGGAGGCAGCUGUUGAAAAAGAAAUUCCAAAACUCAAUCUGAAGCCUUUACCUAUGGAGCUGAAAUAUACAUAUCUUGAAGAAAAUAAUCAAUGUCCUGUCGUAAUAUCUUCAUCUCAAACCAAGUCUCAAGUGAAGGAUGCAAGCUUCAAAUGGGAUCCGGGCAAACUGAAUCAGGAAGGGCAAAAAGUUUUGAUGUAUGACACAAGACUCCAUAUCUUUCCUGGGAAGCUCAAGUCAAGGUGGAUUGGUCCAUUUGUUAUUCACCGAGUAUAUUCCAAUGGAGUGGUGGACUUAUUGAAUUCCAAUGGCAAGGACAGCUUUAGAGUCAAUGGAUAUCGUCUUAAGCCGUUCAUGGAGUCAUUCAAAUCAGAAAAGGAGGCAAUCAACCUCCUUGAACCUCAAAAAGCCUAAGUGAAAUGGGUUUGCUGGACGUGGUUUUACCACAGUCCAAAAAUUUUUGUAAAUUUUGUAAAUUUUCAAGUUGUUUCCAUGCUUUUAAUCUUAGUUUUUGAUUUUAAAUCAUGUUUUUAGGUGUGUUUUAAUCGUUUUAUAUGAUCCCAGGCGGAAGAAAUUUCAAGGGGAUUGAAAAGAAAAAAAUCGGGUCGAAAUUGGAGCCGAAACAGAGCAAAAACAGGGGAAAAACAGAGCUCUGCGAAAUUUCGCAGGGUGAAGGAAACUUCUGCGAAAUUGGCAUUUUGCUGCCAAACCAUUCCGCAGCACUGUAGAAGCCUCUGCGAGUGUAUUUCGCAAUUGCGAAAGUGGAUUUGGCACACGAGUGCCACUUCGCAGCACAGUGACAUCAAUUUCGCAGCUGCGAAACUCACUGCGAAGUUGCUGCGAAAAUGGCAAGUUGCUGCGAAAUUGGCGUUUUGUUGCGAAACGUAAUCUGACCCCUGGGCUUCCGUUUUUCCUAUUUAUACCUGUCAAAAGUGCUGCGAAAAAGGUUUCAAAAAUUAGAGCACCAUUCUCGCAGCCCUUUCAUCUUCUUCGCCAAGCCACGCCGUCCGUUUCUCCGGUCGUCUUCUCCGUUUAGCAGCGCCGGCCAAAGAUCGAUAGCCCAAAAAUGGCACGAACGCGAGGGGCAAAGUCUUCAUCCCCUUCGAACCGCAAAAGGAGUCUGCGAAAGGAGCCAAGUUCAGGCUCUGUUCCAGAACCUGCUCCAAAGCCUUCGCCGUCGAGACCACAACCUUCUCCAGUGAAGCCGGCGCCACCAAAGCCGCCGGCAAGGCGAUAUUUAACCAGGUCAGGUGGUCAGCCAUUGAAGAAGAAAGCCAGAGUUGAGAGCUCUGAACCAAUCGAUUUGACUGAGCAAUCCCCUGAGAAAUCACCAAAUCCUUCACCGGUACAAAUUCCAGUGCCAUCACCGGUUCCCUCGCCAAUUCCCUCACCAGAAGCAACUCCAAUUCCAUCGCCGGUACCAUCUCCGGCACCCCAAGAAAAAGCUCAGGAGCCUCAAGCGCCAAUUCCAGAGCCCCAAAUUGCAGCUGAAGCACCUCUGGAAGAAGUGAUCCGAAGGCCAAUGCUGCCUCAGCCCCCAAUCGAAGGAAACCUGGAUUGCCGAACUCGGGCAUUCCAUUCUGAGCUUUGCUUCGAUUUAACAGCAUUCAGAGUGAGGCCAGAGCUUGCCCAAUCCUUCCAACUGCUGAGGAGAUAUCAUAUGGAGCAUCUGCUAGCUCCAAGGGAUUUUUUCUAUCCCCGGGUAGUCACGGAUUUCUACCAAACCAUGACAACCAAAGAAGUAAGAAAUCCAACUCUGAUUCAUUUCAUAAUUGAUGGAAGGCAUGGUAUUUUGGGAGCAAGACAUAUUGCUGAAGCCCUGCAAAUUCCUUUUGAGCCAACUCAAUUCGACAAUUUUAAAGCUUGGACAAAUCCUACUGAGUUAGAGAUGGUUAGCACACUAACCAGAGGAGCUGCAAAUCGAUCGCAUUUGUUGAGGGGGGAGCUACCUCCAGUUAUGUUUUUGAUUGAUGCCUUUUUGAGGCAUAAUAUCUAUCCCCUGCAGCAUUGGACCCAAAGAAGGGGAAUUCUCCUAGAAGCCUUGUACAAAAUGUCUGAAGGAUUCUUCUUUGGGCCUCAUCAUCUGAUCAUGGCAGCCCUUCUAUACUUUGAGGAGAAGGUUCACAAGAAGAAGCUUCAAAGAGCAGAUUGCAUUCCACUCCUCUUCCCAAGGCUGCUAUGCCAAGUUUUGGAGCAUCUCGGAUACCCCUCUGAGCCUCAGCAGGAAAGAAAGAGAAUAUGCCGUGAGCCUUUUACCCUUGAUAAAUGGAAUAAUAUGACGGCCUACAAAAUUGAUCAGCCUGGGCAGCCUCAGCCAGCAGCAAGGAGAGUCUCCCCAAGACAUAUACCUGAAGGUAUAACACUUGCUACUCCUGCCAUCCCUCGAGCUCCACCAGCUGCACCUGCUCCAUCACAGCCAUCCACAUCAGCUGAGCCGAGGAUGGCCAUCCCUAUAUCCGAAUAUCGAGAGCUGUGCCGUGCAUUGGAGACUCUUACAGCUUCUCAGAGCAAUCUUGCUCAGGAGUUGGCAGCCAUUAAAGCAUGCCAGGAGCAGAUGUUAGCCUCUCAGACUCAACAAGCUGCCAUCCUAAGGCAGCUUCAAGUCCAUUUCGAUCUGCCACAAGCUGUAGAGCCCUCUAUUCCUACUCCACCAGAGCCACACUCUCAGCCUUCAGAGUCUCAUCCUCCAGAACCCGAAGCACCAGCUGAUCCACCUACUGAGGAGGCAGAUCCUUCUGCCUAGCACCAUCACCCCCCUCAUCAGACAUUAUAUAUAUAUUUGCUGUUUAUGUUUUUAUGCAUGUUUGUUUUGUUUUAGUUGAAAAGAAAUCCCAGUAUUUUGGUACUAUAUAUGGGAUUCCUUGUGUUACUUGUCUUUAGUAUUGUAAUCACAUGAACUCAAAGUAAUACAAGUUGACUAUUUCUUGUUAAAAGUUAGCAUUAAAGUUUCCUUAUUUCCUUUUCUCACAUAUUCUAUUCUUUUUGAAACAUGUGGUUUUCCCCAAUCAAUAUUCGAAUUUGAUAUCAGCAUGGAGGUACCACUUCCUCCCUUUUAUUACAGUCACUCAAAUCACAUUGAGGACAAUGCUCAGUUCGGUUGGGGGGUAUGAGGAAGGAAGUAUUCUAAACCUUUUUGGUAUUGCAAUUAUAUUGGUUAAUUAGUUGUAGAUUUUACUUUUUACUAGUGUUACUCUAUUCUCCAUGAAUUUUGAGGAAAAAUUUUCAAAUUAAACCAAGAGAAAUUGAACUGUUGUUUUUCACUUGACUUAGAGUAUGGAUUAUGCUUACUAAAGUGGUUCAAUUGUUGAAACUUCUACUGAAAUUGAAUUGAGUUCUUCCACUUUAAGCUAUCCACACACUGUGCACAUUAGUUUCCGAUUAUAAGAUGAAAAGCUAUUUCCCUCUUGACUUAGUAUAUUUUUGGGACUUGGUAUAUUUGACCUCAUUUGAUAAAAAUUGAAACACCCUGCAAAAGGCCAAUGAGCCUUUGAAAUAAAGAAAGUUGUUUGCUUGCCUUGAAACCCGAGCAAGGUCUGAGGGGUAUAUGGUGAAAAUCUUUAAAGCCUGGUGCCCUAAGCCUUAAUUGGUUGGGAGUCACCGACCUCAAUGCUCGUUACAAGGGUGAAUAGGUAGAGUUAGCAUAUGGUAGAUGCUUGGGUAUUAGAAAUUCAUUCUUAAAAGUCCGGGGAAAAAUCCGAGGAGUUAGUGGUUGAAAGAUCCUUAAAACUUGGUGCCCUAAACCUUAAUUGGUUGGGAGUCAUCGAUGGACCCCCAUUACAUGGACAAGUCAGAAAGAGUACCCCAUAAAGCUACCUUAAAAAAAAAAAAAAAAAAAAAAAAAAAAAAAAAGAUGAAAGUGUGUUCUUUUCUUAUUGAUUUUGGUCAGUUUGCUAAAGUGUUGAAAAGAGAUAGGUUGGGGGGUGAGAUUAGUAGCAUAUUAUUCUCGGAACCUAAGGAACCAAUACACAUAGAUUUUUGUGGAAGAUUGAAGUUUAGUUCUUAGAAAAUGAAAUGAUUUUAAAACUUCAGUUUGCAUAAUGCACUCCCUUGAUUGACAGUGUUUAGCAUAGGUGUUAUGACUCUUGUUGAGAUUUGGGUUUGUAUUUCUUUAAUGAUUCAUGUGAGAAAUAGAUCAUCAUGCCACUUGAGAAUUAUUUUCCUUUUAGCAUGAUGUUGUAAAUUUUAGAUUAGUUUGCUAUUUAUUUUUUAUUUUCUCUCCUAUAUUGCUAAGGGACUAGCAAUAUGUCGGUUGGGGGGAGUGAUUACUACUCAAAAAGUGCUAUUUGAUAGCCUUUAAUUAAUCCUUUUUAACACUUUUGAGUAGUAGUUUAGGCCUUUUAACUCAAUUGGCAUGUUAAGGAUCCUUUAAAGCAAUUUUGAUCACUUUGUGCAAGUUUUGGUGUUUUUGUUAGUAUUUUGAUCACCAAAGCAAGUCAAGAAUGAGGAGAACUAUGAGGAAUCAUGGGCAAAGCUUAGAAUUCAAUUGCCAAGAGUGAAUCCGGAUUGCAAGGAGAAAAAGCAAAGAGAAUCUGUCAUGAAGCCUAUUCUUGAUGACAGUCGUAGCAGCCACUUUUGGAGCACUUUCUGAAGUCCAAAUGAUGCAAGCUAUAUACCAUUUCAAAGCUCAGGAAGUCAACAAUCCAAUGCUUCAAACGGUGCGCGAUUCGGAGUUGAAACGAAGAAGUUGCAGCCAUUACAAGCCAGUCACUCUAAAGUGUUGCGGAAUCAGCCUUUUGUUGCGAGAAUUUCGCAGCACUUUUGUACAGUAAGGUGUUUCUCCUUCUGACGAUGCACGAACCAUGCCGCGAGAGGGAAGCUAGGAACUUCAAGAUGGAAGCCAACUUUGCAGCCUGGUGAAGAUAGCUUGGUCUUGCGAAAUAAUUUCGCAGCCCUCUUGGGUGUCUGCGAAAUUUCGCAGGCACCACUUUUUUCCUGCGAAAUGGCUCCGGAAGCCUCCCGAAGCUUGCUACCGACAUUGGGAGAUAUUUUCCAUUAGAUUUUUGUUGUCUAAAUUCCAAAAUACUCCUUGUAAACCACCAAUUACAUGAUUCCUUAGUUUUUAAGUUAGUAAAAAGACCAAAUAUCUAUGUAAUAAUUAGUUUUAUAUUAGUUUGCUAUAAAUACCUCUCGGGAGCAUGUUCUCAGAGAGGAGUUCCUUCUGUAACCAUUUUGGUAAGCAAGUAAAGUCUUUUCUUUCUACUGCCUUACCUUCUCACUUUGUAUUUUCAUUUUAUUUCUAAGUUAUGAAUUCUCUGAGGAGCUUUCCCCAGAGAAUGAGUAACUAAACCUCCAAUUCCUUGGAGCUAAGGUUGCCGGGGAAGGUUCCAAGUGCAAGAAUGCAAAGCUCUGUGGUUUUAGCUAGUAAUGAAGAGGAAGUGAAAUCCUUUAGUGAUUUCAAUGUUUUUAGUUAACUUAAAACACCUUGGAGUCACCUGGGCCAACACUUGGUAAGGCAAGUGAUUUCCAACCGUGGAAAUGCACUAGUUUACCCCUUGCGAGCCUCUGGUAGGUGACUUCAAGGUAGGAUUUUCUGGAAUUACCAACACUUGGUAAGCUUUUGGACUCCUAGGAGACAUCCAUUAGUUAUCUCUUGCGAGUUUGUGAAGGGGAAUCCAAGGUUAAAGAUCACCUUGAAUGGUAAGUGCUCGUGAGAGGCAUGAACCAUUGCAAGUUGUAUCAGUGAGAGAAUUAAAGUGAAAUCUAAUUGAAGGAGUCUCUGUACAUCACCGGUUAGAGAAUUGACUAUAAGUUGAAUCUCUAAUGCGAGGAAAUGAACCAUCUGACCGGAGCUAUGUCUUUUGCAUGAGGAACCACCCCAGUGAACCUAAAUCUCCAAGGAAUGCUUUUCUUCCUAAAUUAUUCCAAACUUCUGUUAAGUUAGUUAGUUUAAGUCUAAACCUUUACCAAUCAAACUUUGUGUUUUAUUCCUUAAGCUAACCGUGAAAUGAAACAAAACCAAUUCACUUGGAAUUGGUAUCCUUGAUUGCUUGCAAAUCAUUCCCAGUGAACGAUCCUUAGAGCCACUAUACUAUAGUAGCUUUGUAUUUGCUACCCUAGUGUAUGGUGUUAUAGGUAUAAAUUUUGUUGAUCACUUCCUCAAUCAAGGAACACCAGCUGAACACAAAUCAGCUGAGACACCAAUUGGGCAUGAGUCAGUGCGUUAGAGGAUCAAGAAGAAGAAAAAGAAGGAACUGUUGGAAUUAGUAUGAGUGUGAAGAGAAAAGUAUAUAAAUAAGGGGAAGUAAAAGCAAAGUUCAAAAAGCUAUAUUUUUUUAUUGUUGGUGUAUGGUUGCAUGAUUAUCCCUAUAAAUAAUAGGAGUUUUUUGGUAUUCUACUAGUAGUUGAAGCAUAAUUUCAUAAAUUAAUAUUUAGAGCGGGGUGGGGUGAGUUGUGACAAAAUUCAUACCCGUCCCAAACCUUGGUUCAGAUUUUUAAAAUAUUCUCAAACUUAUCAUAUACCCAACUUUUAUAUUUCAUACUUGUCCUAAUAGAGGCACGUUAGGCCGGGUUACUUGAGUAACCUACAUAAUUGUCAUCCCUAGUUGAAAUACACUUUUUGGCAGUGGCCACCAACUGAGCUAGAAGCUUGAUUGAUUGACCUACAAGAUUAGUUCUCAUCAUUUUAAAAAAAGUUCUGGCUUUGGUUGUGAGUGCAAUUGAAUCUAAACUGGCAUUUGCUUAAUGCAUCUACUUCAAUCCUAAACUUCUUACUUCUUAAGCCUCAAUUGUUGUUAGGAUUUUGGAAAACCCAUUUCCUUAAAUUGUAAAUUUAAGAUAAAAUAAAAUAAAAGUGAGACAUUUCUUGAUUGAAUAUUGUUAAAGGUCCCUUGGCAUUAAGACUUGGUUGAAGCCUUGGAAGAUUAGUGGAACUCUCAACAUGUGUUUGAAUCUUGAGGAGAGUGGAUGUAAGCCAAAAUUUUGUCAAACCAUUAUACAAAUUGAGUUUGAAUCCUCAUUUCUUGAUUUCUUAUUUAUUUGCUUUUUCUUAUUAUUACUUGAAUUGUCAUUUGCAUUCAUUAAUGUUAAAAUUGGUUAUAAUUAACCAACACUAAUUCUCUUUCCCCUUCCCUUUCUUGGGUGUAAACCUAGGUUGGAUUAACUAGAUAAAUCUAUUAAGAUGGUAAAAGAAUAAUUAUUCUUAACAUACAUAAGAUCAUCUUCAAUCAAAUGACUCAUUGGCUAAUAUGUUGAAUUUGCUUAUUACUUGCAACUCAAAAUUGUGUUCUAGUUGUGUCAAGUCCCCAGUGUAUGGACAUUAAAUUUGUAGUACGUGAUGAGUAAUUAGAUGGUCCAACUCCAAGAAAGUGAUUGAAAAGUAGUUCAAGAAAGGUGCAAAAGGGAAUUGUUUUGGUAUUUUCGUUUUUAUUCUUGAAGGUGGCAGAGCUAAAAUUUGAGAAAUCAAGCAAAACAUACUGAAAUUACAUUGAAAGAAAGAAGAUGGGAGUUAAUGUCUUGCAGUACAUGAUAAGGACUUCAUGCAUGUAGUGUGACCCAUGUCUUGGACUGAUGCCAACUCACGGUUACACUUAUACCCUUGGUUCUCUCUUUACUACCUUGGCUAACCUAGAUCAGGCUAUGAGAUAGGCUCCUCACCACACCAUUACUUGCCCAUUAAUUAGAGACAUUUUCAAGCAAUGAGGUAACAUGGUGACACCAAGAGGGUCUAUUCCUCGCCCGGAACAAGUCUAGACUUGGUCUCAAAAAAAUGGAGAAAAAUGAGGUGUCGUUAUGUAGAAAUACAACAACCAUGCCUUCCUCAUUACUUAGAUUCAGAAUGUGAAGGUGAAAUUGAGAAACAGAAACUCUUGAAACCAAAAUGAAAAUUGAUACUUUUACGAAGAAUUACAACAACAUUAGAGGAAGACUACAUUCUUCCUCUUUAUUCCUACAUUUCUACACUACUUCUACUCCACUCCAUAUUUCUACAUACAUCUUUAAUCAGUCUUCCCUCCUUUAUAUAGAGCCAUCUUCACACAAAUUUCGCAAGGUAGAAAAGAGGAAUGAAACUUGGAGCAAGGUUCGACUACUGGUUGUAGCUUGUCAAGGCUGGAAGUGAACUUUUCUUGGCUUUCUGGGCAUGGGUAGUAACUUGUGGGUUCCUGUUUGGCAUAAAAAUGGCUAGAACAUGUGGCACUAUCUUGUUGGAUGAUGUGUCAAGCAUGUGGCAGCCAUCUAGUGGCGAUUAUGUCAAUUUUGGGAUGGAGAGUUGGCAUCCAAUUGCAAAGAAAUAUGACGUCUACCAACAUGCAAUGUAAACCUAUGUAGAUCAUAUGAAGAUAGAGAGGAAAAAUAUAGAAAUGGAUAUAUACCUAGAACUAGCUUUUUAUUAAAUGAAACGGAGAGACAACAAUGAAGGAAAAUAAAAUUUUUUGGCUUAUAUCAAAGAGUUCACAUUGUGUUACCCUAGGUUUUCUUAAAACUUACUUUUAUGAUAACAAAAAAGAAAAAACCAUUAUUGUUUAAUCCUUUGUUUUAAACGCAUGUAAGGUGUAAUUAAGUUAGUUCAAUGCAUUAAUUUAAGAAACUUGACCUAUCAAAAGUACAAAAUUAGAUGAAAUCCAUUUCAAUGGUUAAAAUGAUCAAAAUCAAACUUUUUCUAAGUAUUUUUUAAAAGCAUCAAUAGUGAAAGACAAUUUUAUAUUUAGUCGGAGUUUGGACAAAACUGAAAAACACACAAAAUCCAAGCGACCAUCUCUAGCUUGGAUGGUCGCUUGAUCCCACCUAGAGAUGUGCAUGAGUAAAAGGAUUUGAAAAUGGAAAUUGACUAUGUAGUCGAUCAAUUAACUUUGCAACAUCAUAUGCAAUCCUAAUUGCUAGUCAUCUAAUCAAUUAGGUAGUCAAUCAACAGGCCAAAAAUAUGUUUAUAAUGACUAUUUUGUACAAAAACCACCUGUAUAGUUAAAUAUAAUGCAUUUCAUUUAUAAAUCUUCUAAUUCUUGAAUAACGAUCCUAUCAUCCUUUGAAAGUUUUUAUUACACUUUUUUUACUUUUGUUCUAAAACUUACACAUCACCCUUAAUUGUACCAUGAGAACCUAGCUAUUUUUUAUUUUUUUUUUUGUAAUUCAUCAAAGUUAGCUUUUGUAUUCAUUGUUGUAUUAUUUUUAGUAUAACUUAGAAAGCUAGUGUUUUCAAGUGAGUAAAAUUAACUUGUAAAUAUUGUAAAGAUUCAUCGACAUGUAUCUUAAACUAAGUGUACAAGUUAAAACAUUUGCUAGUAGAUUUUCUCAAAAUUUAGAAUAGAGCUUGAGACUAUUGAAAUAGGUGGGGUUGCACCAAACCACAUCACAUCGUUGUUUGCACCUUUUUUCACUCUCUUUUACUUAGUUGCUCUAUAUUUGUUGUCUAGUAAUAUCCUAUAGGCUUGAUGGGUUAGGGAGCAUCCCUUUGUGAAAAAAUUUUAUUCAAUCCUUAGUUGUAUCACGCAUAUAUAAAAUGCCUCAUUGUUUUAAUGGUAUUCAGUCGUGGCAUCACAGAUAUGGGCAUCUAAAUUUUAAAAGUUUGAAACUUUUAUCUAAAGAAAAUAUGGUGCUUUGCCUUUUUGUAAAGCAUGUUGAUGAAAUCCAUGAGAAUUGUGUACUUGGGAAGCAACACCGAGAUGACUUUUUUUUUUUUUUUAUAAUAUUGUUUGUCCAAAUUCCCUACAAAUUAGGCCACCAGAUGUUCAUAAUUCUCCCUUCUUGAAUUUGAAAACUCGGACAAUUGGACAAUGCGACACCUAAGUCCGGUUUCUAAAUGCUAAAGUGAAAGGGUAGGUAUGGACCAUUGAAAUGUGAUCACAACUUUUCUCUGUAGCCAUGUUGUCUCUUUUUUCUUUUGCAUGAUUUUCUUACCUUAACAGAAUCAUAGACUUGUUUAGUCUCUAAAUGGGAUUAAUUUCAUCCAGCUUUAAGCUACUAUAUUAUAUCUAGGUGGAGGACUUUUAAGAGUGCAACCGACAUAGAGCACAUGGAAGUGGGUAUAUGGGACAUGAAAUUUCUUCUUAUAAAGAUUGCAUGAUUUUUAUAUUAGAGUUGUUGAGGCGCUAUGUAUUUAGCUUGUUUUGCAGUUAAAUUAAUUGGAUAAGUAGACAUUGGCGUUUCUAAAUCUACUGUGAAGUGCUUCAUGUACGUGUGAAGUAUUAGAAAUUUCUUUCUUGGCAACUUGUUUUUCUUUGCGGUCUACUGAUAGGUUUGACUAAAAUUAUAUUCCCUGUCAUGCUAAUUAAUUUUCACGUGCAUGCUCAAAAGAAAAGUAUGACCUUAGUGCACCAAAAUCACUUUGAUUAAUUUGUGAUAGGUUUUUGUGCAUCAUGACAUUAGCCUUAUUCAUUUAGAUAAUGUUUAGUUUUUAGAAAGUAUUAAGAAAAGGAAAAUAAAUAUUAAGAAAAAUAUUCUUAUAUUUGAUUGUAUUAUGAAAAAUAUCAUAAAAAAAUCAAAUAUAAUUUAAAUUAAUUAAUAAUUUAUACAUUUUCAAAUUAUUUAAUCUUUAUAUUGAAGAUAUAAUAUAAAUGAAAUGAGUUUUAAGUAUUAUAUAAAAGUGAUUUAUUGAUCUUACAUAUAUAUAUUUCUUUUUUUUUUCCUUCUAUUUUUUCUCUUUAUUUUAUUUUCCUUAUGUUUUCCUCAACAUUUUCCGGAACCAAACAUAGCCUUAGGAAAUCCACAAUUACCUUCAACUGAGUAGAUUCUGUUGUUUUAGCAAUGUUAGGCUGCUAACUUGUGUUGGUACGAACCUAUUAAGCCUAAAGAUGUAAUUAGUUAGGAUAUUCUUUUCCCUCUAGUCUUGUAGCUCCACGUGUACAGUUGGUUAGGACCUCAUUGUAUAUAAUGCUUGCCCUGUUAUUGUAGAAGACAACAAAGAUAAAUAAUAUUAACAUUUUUCCUCUCAUCUCUCUCUGUUUCCCUCUGUUUUCAUCUCCUCUCUCAUCUUGGUAUCAGAGCCUCCAUGGCUUCUUUCAAAGAAACCUCCGAAUCACCUUCUGCUAGCAUUGUUAAUGUGCAAAACCCAUUAUCUCAAUCAAACAACCUUCCUUCACCAGUAGCCACACCCUCUUUUUCUUUCUCGUCUAUGAAUCAACCUCUCACAGUGAAGCUGGAUAAUGGGAACUACCUCAUAUGGAAGAAUUAGCUUCUAAAUGUCAUCAUUGCUAACGGACUCGAUGAUUUCAUUGACGGAUCUCGACCCUGCCCUCCUCGAUUUCUCGAUCUGCAACAACAAACCCUCAAUCCAGAGUACUCAGCUUGGCAGAGAUACAAUCGACUUCUGAUGAGUUGGCUGUACGCAUCCUUGUCCAAAGAUAUAAUGGCUCAGAUUGUUGGGUAUUCAACAGCUAUGGAGAUUUGGAAUGCCCUUAAUCAGAUUUACUCUGCCUCUUCUAUGGCGCGGUUUACUGAGCUUCGCACCAAGCUUCAAACGCUCAAGAAAGAUGGACUCUCAGUUGGUGAAUAUAUUCAAAGGCUCAAAUCCAUUUGCAAUAGUCUUGCAGCAAUAGGAGAACCAGUUUCUGAGAAAGACCAUCUUAUCUAUUUGUUCAAUGGAUUAGAUUGUGAGUAUUAUUCUUUUGUUACCUCCAUUCAAAAUCGAUCUGACCAACCAACUAUUGACAAAAUCCAUAGCCUAUUGCUUAGCUAUGACUUCCGGCUUGAACAACAAAACUCUGUUUCUCUCCAUUCUGCCCAAGUCCAUAUGGCUCAUCUGAACAAGAAACCUUAUAAAUCAACUCCUCAACCUACAUUCAAUCAUAUUCACAUUCAACCUAGAUACUCUUCUCCACCUUUUAAGCCAACCACUAGUCAAUAUCAACCCAACAUUUUGGGCAAACCACAACCACAACCAUGACAGCCUCAACCUCAAUGGAAACCACAUUUUUCAAUCUAAAAUCAAAAGCCUCAGCGCCAAAUUUGUGGUAAAUUUGGACACACUGCUCUUAUUUGCUUCCAUCACACAAAUUUGAACUAUUCACCCCAACCUUCUCCUAAAUCUUUCAAUACUGUUCUCACCACAAAUUCCCAGCUCCCUAAUCCUCCAAAAUUUUCUUACCCUACAAUGGCUCAUCCUGCUGCUACGCAUAACACGGUUCCCGAUACAAAUUGGUACAUGGACUCAGGUGCUACACAUCACUUUACUCUGGACAUCAACGUGCUUGACACUGUGACACCAUUUAGUGGUUCAGAACAGGUGACAGUUGGGAAUGGUAAGCAACUCUGUAUCUCACAUCUUGGUACUGCAAAACUACCAUCUUCGUAUUCUCCUCCUGUUCUACAUCAGGUAUAUCACACUCCAAAAAUUUCAAAUAAUCUUAUUAGUGUUAAAAAAUUGUGUUCUGAUAAUAAAGUUUUUGUUGAAUUUUAUGCCACUCAUUUUCUUGUCAAGGAUCAGGUUUCGAAGAGAGUUCUCCUUUAGGGUCAACUUGAUAAUGGCUUAUACAAAGUUCAGUCGUCAUGCUCUCCUUCUGCUGUUUCCUUUCCUCCUCAAGUUUUCAUAGCCAACAUCAAGUAUCCAAAUCUGUGGCACAAGAGACUAGGCCACCCAGCUUUAUCUGUUGUUAAUCAAAUCUUGGAUUCUUGUAACAUUGCUCGAACACAGAAAAUUUGUUUUAAUUUUUUAAAUUCUUGUCAAUUAGCAAAGAGCCACAGGCUUCCUUUUUCUCUGUCUCCAUCCAUUGCAGAAAAACCUUUUGAGUUAAUUCAUACAGACCUAUGGGGUCUUUCGCUCGUUCGCUCUAUUUCUGGUGCUCUUUAUUUUUUACUUUUCAUUGAUGAUCAUACUCGUUUUACUUGGUUUUAUUUGCUCAAAACAAAAGAUGAAGCAUAUCCUACUUUUCUCAAGUUUCAAGCUCUCAUUGAAAAUCAAUUUAAUACCAAGAUUAAGGCUGUCCAAUCUGAUUGGGGAGGUGAGUUUCGAUCUCUCUCCAUACCGUUUUCAAAUAUGGGCAUUGUCUAUUGUUUAUCGUGUCCAUACACCUCACAACAGAAUGGGCGAGUUGAGCGAAAAAAUCGCCAUGCGAUUGUCCUUUCUUGCUUGCUCUAUGCCCUUAUCUUAUUGGCCUUAUGCCUUUCAAACUGCCACUUACCUUAUUAAUCGUCUCUCUACCCCUGUGCUGCAUCAUCAAUCCUCUUACUUCGCACUCUAUCACAAACUCCCAACUUAUACUCAUCUUAAGGUCUUUGGUUCCUCUUGUUUUCCGUAUUUGCACCCUUAUAAUACCCAUAAACUCCAAUACAGGUCACUAGAGUGUGCUUUUCUUGGUUACAGUUCACACCACAAAGGUUAUCUAUGUCUUGACAUUCAUUCUAGCAGGGUGUAUAUUUCUCGCCAUGUGAUUUUUAAUGAAGAUUCUUUUCCAUUCAAGAAUUUGAAAUCUUCUCUCUCUCAGUCUAUUUCUUCUUCCUCUUCUUUAUAAGUUCCUCUGUUCAUUCUCUUGCCUCCCCUUUCCCCAUCUCCUCUUAUUUCUUCAUCUAUACCUCAUUCUUUUCCCUCUUCUUCUUCUACCUCUAGUACUUGUUCCCCUCUCGUUGCUCCUACCUCUCUUCCUUCCUCUUCACACUCUGUGUCUCCAUCUAUUCCACCUCCUUCUCCACCUUCUCCGAGUGUGGACCUGCUUGCACCUUGUGUGAAUACAAAUUUACAUACUUCUUCUCGCACUCACAAUAUUCAUCCUAUGGUGACUAGAUCUAAGGUUUGUAUCUAUAAACCUAAGUUGUUGUUGAGUGUCUCCAUAGGUUCUCUCACUAAGCCUACUUCCUUUCUUCAAGCUAUUAAAGAUCCUUCAUGGAAGCAAUCCAUGGAAUUCGAGUUUGCUACCCUUCAACACAACAAGACCUGGCAUUUGGUUCCUUCACCUUCCUCAGGCGAAGUAAUCGGUUGUAAAUGGGUCUAUAAGCUAAAGCUUCAGCCUGAUGGCUAAAUUGAGAGAUACAGCCUGCUUAGUAGCUAAGGGUAUCAUCAAAUUGAAGUAUGGACUACUUCGAAACAUUCAGCCUGAUNNNNNNNNNNNNNNNNNNNNNNNNNNNNNNNNNNNNNNNNNNNNNNNNNNNNNNNNNNNNNNNNNNNNNNNNNNNNNNNNNNNNNNNNNNNNNNNNNNNNAGCUUCAGCCUGAUGGCUAAAUUGAGAGAUACAAGGCCUGCUUAGUAGCUAAGGGUUAUCAUCAAAUUGAAGGUAUUGACUACUUCGAAACAUUCAGCCUGAUUGUCAAGCUUUCUACUAUCUGUAUUGUGCUCAGUCUUACUUUUUCCCAGAAUUGGUGUAUUAGACAGCUGGAUGUUCAUAAUGCCUUCUUACAUGGUGACUUAGCUAAAGACGUUUUCAUGGAACAACUGCCUGGAUUUGUUGAUCCUCUCUAUCCUACUCAUGUCUGCAAGUUGGAUAAGUCUCUCUACUGUCUUAAAUAGUCACCUCGGGCUUGGUAUACUAAGCUGAGUACUUCUCGCUACACUUGGGAUUUGUUACUUCUAAGAAUGACUCUUCCUUAUUUAUUUGUCAUUCGUCUCAUGGGUUACUUCUUGUUCUUGUCUAUGUGGAUGAUAUAAUCGUCAUUGGGAGCCACUCUCCUCAGGUUACUCACCUUAUCCAACAGUUGCAUCAUUAGCUUUCUUUAAAGGAUCUUGGUCCUUUACAUUAUUUUCUGGGCUUGGAGGUUCAUCACACCCCUACUGGUAUUCACCUCAGCCAAGCAAAGUAUAUCACUGAUCUCCUUACCCGGGCGGCUAUGUUGGAUGCCAAGCCAUGUCCCACUCCUAUGUCCUCCAACACAUAUCUCUCUUUUCAUGAUGGAGUGGCUCUUGAAAAUGGUUCAGAUUAUCGAAGUUUUGUUGGUGCCCUUUAGUAUUGUACCAUGACACGCCCAGAUAUAGCUUUUGCAAUAAAUAAAGUGUGUCAAUUCAUGCACCAUCCCUCUAAUGUUCACUGGCAGGCUAUAAAACGUAUUCUCCGGUACUUAAAGGGCACAUCUCAUUUUGGUCUCUUCCUACAGCCUUCCUAUGACUUCAACAUCACUUGCUAUACAAAUGCCGACUGGGCUUCCUGUCCUGAUGACAAGUGUAGCACCAGUGGCUACUGCCUCUUUCUUGCCUCUAAUCUGGUUUCUUGGUCAUCUUCCAAACAAAAAGUGGUCUCCCGCUCCAGCGCCGAAUCAGAGUACCGAGGGGUAGCAAAUGGGGCUGCUGAAAUUGCUUGGACUGAAUCUCUUCUUUGUGAACUUUCCAUUACUCCCCCUCCCCUCAUUCUCUGUGACAAUAUCAGUGCCACGUACUUAGCUGCCAAUCCUAUUUUGCAUGCCCGCACCAAACAUGUGGAAAUCGACUAUCACUUUGUCACGGAACGUGUUCUUCAAUGCUCUCUUUUUGUCCAGUUUACACCUUCUGAUGAUCAACUUGCUGAUUGCAUGACCAAGCCUCUCUCCACCCAACGUUUCAUCACUCUACGCUCCAAGCUCACUGUUCUCACUAGACCAAUGAGCUUGAGGGGGGAUGUUAAGCCUAAAGAUGUAAUUAGUUAGGAUAUUCUUUUCCCUCUAGUCUUGUAGCUCCACGUGUACAGUUGGUUAGGACCUCAUUGUAUAUAAUGCCUGCCCUGUUAUUGUAGAAGACAACAGAGAUAAAUAAUAUUAACAUUUUUCCUCUCAUCUCUCUCUCUGUUUCCCUCUGUUUUCAUCUCCUCUCUCAUCUGAACCAAAUGAUCCAUGUUAACCUUGGCUUGGUUUGAUUUGGCUCUAUCUUAGAGAGCUCAAGGAUCACGUCAACUCUGGUUUCUACUAUUCAGGUCCAUUCCCAUAUGAACUGGUUCAAAUUUGAGAAAAUGGUAACAGACCUUUAGUGAUGUUGGUUUGGAGCCAGUUGCCAAACCCGCCCUGAGCUUUACCACUAAUGUCAAGGGAGAAAGCCAUUUGAACAAAAACAAUAGCUUCAAGGGACUGAAUCGUGGAUGAAAUCUGAUCCACAUUUCUUCUCAUUUUGGAAACAAAUGAGAACUUAACUAAGAAGAUUCUACGGCCUCAUAGUGCUUUUCCUGAUCUAAGGUUGGUUCGUUUCCCAAACUGUGAGAUGCACGUGCCAGACUUCAGAACUCUCACGCUCAGGAGUGUAUCCACGUGGUGGACAUAAGAUGGUGGCUUAAGAUCUGGUGUCGGUGGCUUUACUUUACUAGGAGAGUAGUGUGUCUUCAUCUCAUUCACUGCCGGAGGGUGGCGUAAGCAGUGACGCUAAGGUGGGGCACAGUCAAUAUCAUUUGCAUUUGACCAUUAUAGUUUUCUCCCGGCUUUAAAGUAACCUUAUCGUGAUAAAGGAUUACUAGCACUAGUUCAGAUGAUAGUCAUGUUAAAUUCGGACCAUGUUUGUGUCACAUUAUCAGCAACCAUGUGUUUAUGGUUCAUGCUUUCUGCAACUAAAAUUGAUAUAUAACCAGGUGAACUUCAAUCUAAAUUCUGAAAGUACUCAUGUGAUAGAUGGUGCCCGUCUGCAGAGUCCAUCAAUUGAAAAAUGGAGUGAGUGUAUCUAUAAGAGGGAAGGCUUGGAAAAUGUUCAGUUUUCUGGGAAUUCAACAAGGAUCUAAAAUAGAUUGUUUUCUUUGCUGAUUUCAAUGGUUGAAAUUUGAGAAGAUUGUGUCCACAUAACACAACUAUUACUGGUCCUUCUGUUGCAAUUUAUCCUCUAAAGCUCUAGCAUGUCUUCCAAUUCCCACUUCCCUGUUACUCCAGGAAAGCUAUUUCUGUCAUUGUGAAGAAGAAAAGAGAAUGUACAUAUCGAUGCUUUUAAGUGACUGGAGCAUUUAUAUCAGGUGGUCUGCAGCCAUAUAUGCCACUUUGUGAAGAUUGGAACAGUCAAUCACUAGGCUAUAUAUUAGUGUGGCCCAGCCACUUUAAUCAAGGACAAGUCUUCAUACUUAAAGUCAAAUUCUGCCUUUAGUCUCAUUAUAAAUUUCUGUUUAAAUAUUAAGCAAACAUUUGUUUAAUGCGAUUAAGACAGUACUAACUCAAUACCUGUUCUAUUUUUGGAUGCAAAUGCUUGAUGGUUUCAUCAUUGGAUGGGAUAAAGGUGCAUUCAUGAUUAGGAAUACUAGUAGUUAUAUUUUAAUUCUCUUUUUUCUCAAUGAGACUUGUUGGCACAAUUUUGCUGUUGAGAAACCUACCUCUCCAUGGAAAAUAAGUUGUGAUUGAUAGUACUGGAUAUAUUCAAGAAAUCUAAAUAUAGAUAGCACAAAAUAUUAUCGACAUAAAUAGCAUUAACAGCGUACGUAUGUCUCAGUGCUCAUCAGCUAUAAGCAUGGGGCAAACACUUACUAUGAGCAACUUACGUCAAAAUUCCAGAAUAGGACAUAGAAGUGACAGAUAUAGAACAUUGCAUAUGAGUCACAAGAAAGGAAAUUACGGGUGCAUAGCAGCUCUUAUUUUACAUACUACUACUCAUACUGAUCAAAGUCACUCAGUUGGGAUGGGUGGGAGUAGGAGGUUUGUGGGGUGGCUUGUGCGGAGGAGUUGGCAGCUUCUUUCCAGGACCUGGUUGCUUCUCUGCUGGAGUUGAAGGAGGCUUAAUCUUCCGAGGUGGCUUGUAUGAGUCUUCAGCAUUCUCAGCUGGAGGGUGACCAGGGUUGUGACCAUAAUGUGGUGGCUUCUCUCCCUUAGGUGGUUUGCCAACUGGGGUUGGUGGCUUGUAUGAGUCUUCAGCAUUCUCAGCAGGAGGGUGACCAGGGUUGUGACCAUAAUGUGGUGGCUUCUCUCCCUUAGGUGGUUUGCCAACUGGGGUUGGUGGCUUGUGUUCUGGGAGUGGCUUCUCCCCCUUGGGAGGUUUUUCCAAUGGGGUUGGUUUGUGUUCAGGAGGUGGCUUCUCCACUGGAGGCUUGUGUUCAGGAGGUGGCUUCUCCACCGGAGGCUUGUGUUCAGGUGGUGGCUUCUCCACCGGAGGCUUAUGCUCUGGUGGUGGCUUCUCGAAUGGGGGAUGCUUAGGAUAAUCAGCAAGUGAGGGGGCGGUGAGAACCACCAGGCCAAGCAACACCACUAGCAAAUAUGUAGGAGACAUCUUUGGGUUUGGGCUCAGAUGGUGCAAAACUAGGAGAAUUGGCUAGCCUUUUAUAGCGGAUCGUACCCAAUAAUGAAAUGACACGUGUCAUUAUGACCCAUGUGUAAUGGGGUCGAUUUGGGUCCUACAGUGUUGAAAACUUCGACAUCCACUUUUGGCCUUUUGCUUUCUCUACAGCCGCCUUGCUUUUUCCCUCUUUCCUUUUGUUUUCCUCCUGCCCCAUUCUAUCAACUAAACACAAUUAUGUAGUUGUUUAAUUCUUAAAUGAGAUAUUAUCCGUCAAUCGUAUUAUAUUUUAUCAAGAGAGAACGGAGUGCAAUGUGGCUGUAAUUUUAUCGUUUAGUUUUAUCUCUUGGACCACUGCAUUUUUGUUAAGAGGUGCAAUAAUACACGUCUUUAUCUGCCAUUCAAUAUUUACAGUAAAGAGAGGGCACAAAACUCUUCACUUCGCACCAUAAUUAUUUUGUUUUCUGGACACCCCGGGGCCCUUUGGUUGGUUUGGGGGUCAGAAAGUGAACAUCAUAGGGGGUUUUUCCCUUAUGUGCAUUUGUAUCUGAUGGCUUUAACUCGCCUUGUUACUACAAAGAAACUGUCACAGAUAGGAACUUAUUCCAGGCUGAGUAUCUCCUCAUAGACCCUAUAAAAGAAGACAAGUCAUAAUGAACAUCUAACCUUUGUUCAAUUUGAUUCAAUGCCCCCAUUGUGUCCAUCUCACAAAUCUGAAUUAUUAUAUCCAUUGAAUACAUAAAUUAAUGAAGAAAAUAUGAAACCCAAGAUACAUCUCUGCACAACCUCAACCCUGGUUGCUAUGUUUCCCUUCUAUUCACAUGAUUUGAUGCUAAUUGCCAAACUUGCAACAAGCCCUGAGUUUGACACCUAGUAUCGAUGGGCGAAUUUAAAGUCUCCUCCAAACAUAUAUUCCACAGCUUGAAGCUCACAGAAGAUGUUACAGGCAGGGAAAAACCUUCAGAGUUCGCUACCAAAGAUAAUUAUUAAGGAGAUAUCACAAAGAGAAUUCCAAGGGGUCUGAAUCAAAGACAAAUUGGUCGUUCGUGGGGGUUCUUACUUUCUUUUGGGUAUAACUCACUGAGGGCACUGUCUUUGUUAUUUGCAUUUCACAUUUAGAGUUCUGUUCUGGAAACAUAUAAAAGGAGCAUCAUUUUGUUCUUGGGUAACCCAUAGUCGUGAGUGGGUCCAUUUGCAUGCUACUUAGUUGAAAAGUUGGACCAUUUGCUCCGACGCCUACCUCCCGGAUUCCAUGCUCGGAUAAAACAAGAAUAAAAAAAAUAUUUAUAAUUUACAAAUGGGGGAAAGAAAAAAAUGUCAACAACAAACCAGGAAAAAAGAGUAGUAAAAUUCAUGUCACAUGCUAGUGAGAGAAGGGGUUGUUACACUCACUCGAAGUUCUUUCCAAAAUAUCGCAUGGUAUUUUAUUUUAUGUGUCAGCGCAGUUGUGAAUGGAACGUGCAAAAGUCCAAAUUGGCGUUUUUCCUUUUCCCGUGUAGGAUGGCGACCUUUAAUAAAUAUUUAAAACAAAAAACGAAAAAAAGGAGGGAAAAGGGAUCAGAAAAGAUAAAACAAUGUGUACAAGAGCUCAAUUAGUUUGCAAAUUACUGUUUGGAUUUUGAUAGUAUUUUAUUUGUCCAUCUAUAUUUGAUGGAAAAGAGAAUUUAAGAUAUUUCUGAAACAAAAGCAUUAGUGUAAAACUAAAUUAAGGUAUAAUUAAGUUAGUUCAAUGCAUUAAUUUAAGAAACUUGAUCUAUCCAAAGUACAAAAUUAGAUGAAAUCCAUUUCAAUGGUUAAAAUGAUCAAAAUCAAACUUUUUCUAAGUAUUUUUUAAAAGCAUCAAUAUUAAAAGACAAUUUUAUAUUUAGUCGGAGUUUGGACAAAACCAAAAAGCACACAAAAUCCAAGCGACCAUCUCUAGCUUGGAUAGUCACUUGAUCCCACCUAGAGAUGUGCAUGAGUAAAAGGAUUUGAAAAUGGAAAUUGACUAAAUAUUUAGUUGAUCAAUUAAAUUUGCAAUGUCAUAUGCAAUCCUAAUAGCUAGUCAUCUAAUCAAUUAGGUAGUCAAUCAAGUGUUUGUAAUGACUAUUUUGUACAAAAAACCACAUGUAUAGUUAAAUAUAAUGCAUUUCAUUUAUAAAUCUUCUAAUUCUUGAAUAACGAUCCUAUCAUCCUUUGAAAAUUUUUAUUACACCUUUUUUACUUUUGUUCUAAAACUUACAUAUCACCCUUAAUUGUACCAUGAGAACCUAGCUAUUUUUUUUUUUUUUGUAAUUCAUCAAAGUUAGCUUUUGUAUUCAUUGUUGUAUUAUUUUUAGUAUAACUUAGAAAGCUAGUGUUUUCAAGUGAGUAAAAUUAACUUGUAAAUAUUGUAAAGAUUCAUUGAUAUGUAUCUUAAACUAAGUGUACAAAUUAAAACAUUUGCUAGUAGAUUUUCUCAAAAUUUAGAAUAGAGCUUGAGGCUAUUGAAAUAGGUGGGGUUACACCAAACCACAUCACAUCGUUGUUUGCACCUUUUUUCACUCUCUUUUACUUAGUUUCUCUAUAUUUGUUGUCUAGUAAUAUCCUAUAGGCUUGAUGGGUUAGGGAGCAUCCCUUUGUGAAAAAAUUUCAUUCAAUUCUUAGUUGUAUUACGCAUAUAUAAAAUGCCUCAUUGUUUUAAUGGUAUUCAGUCGUGGCAUCACAGAUAUGGGCAUCUAAAUUUUAAAAGUUUGAAACUUUUGUAAAGCAUGUUGAUAAAAUCCAUGAGAGUUGUGUACUUGGGAAGCAACAUCGAGGUGACUUUAUUUUUUUUUCCUUUUAUAAUGCCACACCUAAGUCCGGUUUCUAAAUGCUAAAGUGAAAGGGUAGGUAUGGACCAUUGAAAUGUGAUCACAACUUUUGGCCUUUUCCUUUCUCUGCAGCCAUGUUGUCUCUUUUUUCUUUUGCAUGAUUUUCUUACCAAAACAGAAUCAUAGACUUGUUUAGUCUCUAAGCUACUAUAUUAUAUCUCGGUGGACUUUUAAGAGUGCAACCGACAUAGAGCACAUGCAAGUGGGCAUAUGGGACAUGAAAUUUCUUCUUACAAAGAUUGCAUGAUUUUUAUAUUAGAGUUGUUCACGUGCAAUGUAUUUAGCUUGUUUUGCAGUUAAAUUAAUUGGAUAAGUAAACAUUGGCAUUUCUAAAUCGACUGUGAAGUGCUUCAUGUACGUGUAAAGUAUUAGAAAUUUCUUUCUUGGCAACUUGUUUUUUCCUUGCCAUCUACUGGUAGGUUUGACUAAAAUUAUAUUCCCUGUCAUGCUAAUUAAUUUUCAUGUGCAUGCUCAAAAGAAGAGUAUGACCUUAGUGCACCAAAAUCACUUUGAUUAAUUUGUGAUAGGUUUUUUUGCAUCAUUUAGAUAAUGUUUAGUUCUAAGAAAAAUUUAUAUAAAAAUGGUUUAUUUAUCUUACAUAUAUAUAUAUAUAUAUAUAUUUUUUUUUUUUUCAUUUUUUUUUCUUCUAUUUUAUUUAUUUAUUUUAUUUUCCUUAUGUUUUCCUCACAUUUUCCGGAACUAAACAUAGUCUUACGAAAUCAACAAUUGCCUUCAACUGAGUAGAUUCUGUUGUUUUAGCAAUGUUAGGCUGCUAACUUGUGGUGGUACGAACCAAAUGACCCAUGUUAAUCUUGGCUUGGUUUGAUUUGGCUCUAUCUCAGAGAGCUAAAGGAUCACGUCAACUCUGGUUUCUACUAUUCAGGUCCAUUCCCAGAUGAACUGGUUCAAAUUUGAGAAAAUGGUAACAGACCUUUAGUGAUGUUGGUUUGGAGCCAGUUGCCAAACCCGCCCUGAGCUUUACCACUAAUGUCAAGGGAGAAAGCCAUUUGAACAAAAACAAUAGCUUCAAGAGACUGAAUCGUGGAUGAAAUCUGAUCCACAUUUCUUCUCAUUUUGGGAAAAAAUGAGAACUUAACUACAAAGAUUCUACUGCCUCAUUCAUAGUGCUUUUCCUGAUCCAAGGUUGGUUCGUUUCCCAAAUUGUGAGGUGCACGUGCCACUCUCACGCUCAGGAGUGUAUCCACGUGGUGGACAUCAGAUGGUGGCUUAAUAUCUGGUGUCGGUGGCUUUACUUUACUAGGAGAGUAGUGUGUCUUCAUCUCAUUCACUGCCGGAGGGUGGCGUAAGCAGUGACGCUAAGGUGGGGCACAGUCAAUAUCAUUUGCAUUUGACCAUUAUAGUUUUCUCCCGGCUUGAAAGUAACCUUAUCGUGAUAAAGGAUUACUAGCACUAGUUCAGAUGACCGUCAUGUUAAUUCGGACCAUGUUUGUGUCACAUUAUCAGCAACCAUGUGUUUAUGGUUCAUGCUAUCUGCAACUAAACUUGAUAUAUAACCAGGUGAACUUCAAUCAAAAUUCUGGAAGUACUCUUGUGAUAGAUGGUGCCUGUCUGCAGAGUCCAUCAAUUGAAAAAUGGAGUGAGUGUAUCUAUAAGAGGGAAGGCUUGGCAAAUGUUCAGUUUUCUGGGAAUUCAACAAGGAUCUAAAAUAGAUUGUUUUCUUUGCCGACUUCAAUGGUUGAAAUUUGAGAAGAUUGUGUCCACAUAUCACAACUAUUACUGGUCCUUCUGUUGCAAUUUAUCCUGUAAGGCUCUAACAUGUCUUCCAAUUCCCACUUCCCUGUUACUCCAGGAAAGCUAUUUCUGUCAUUGUGAAGAAGAAAAGAGAAUGUACAUAUCGAUGCUUUUAAGUGACUGGAGCAUUCAUAUCAGGUGGUCUGCAGCCAUAUAUGCCACUUUGUGAAGGUUGGAACAGUCAAUCACUAGGCUAUAUAUUGGUGUGGCCCAGCCACUUCAAUCAAGGACAAGUCUUCAUACUUAAAGUCAAAUUCUGCCUUUAGUCUCAUUAUAAAUUGCUGUUUAAAUAUUAAGCAAACUUUUGUUUAAUGCGAUUAAGACAGUACUAACUCAAUACUUGUUCUAUUUUUGGAUGCAAAUGCUUGAUGGUUUCAUCAUUGGAUGGGAUAAAGGUGCAUUCAUGAUUAUGAAUACUUGUAGUUAUAUUUUCAUUCUCUUUUUUCUCAAUGAGACUUGUUGGCACAAUGUUGCUGUUCAGAAACCUACCUCUCCAUGGAAAAUAAGUUGCGAUUGAUAGUACUGGAUAUGUUCAAGAAAGCUAAAUAUAGAUAGCACAAAAUAUUAUCGAUAUAAAUAGCAUUAACAGCGUACGUAUGUCUCAAUGCUCAUCAGCUAUAAGCAUGGGACAAACACUUACUAUGAGCAACUUACGUCAAAAUUCCAGAAUAGGACAUAGAAGUGACAGAUCUAUAUAUAUAGAACACUGCAUAUGAGUCACAAGAAAGGAAAUUACGGGUGCAUAGCAGCUCUUAUUUUACAUACUACUACUCAUACUGAUCAAAGUCACUCAGUUGGGAUGGGUGGGAGUAGGAGGUUUGUGGGGUGGCUUGUGCGGAGGAGUUGGCAGCUUCUUUCCAGGACCUGGUUGCUUCUCUGCUGGAGUUGAAGGAGGCUUAAUCUUCCGAGGUGGCUUGUAUGAGUCUUCAGCAUUCUCAGCUGGAGGGUGACCAGGGUUGUGACCAUAAUGUGGUGGCUUCUCUCCCUUAGGUGGUUUGCCAACUGGGGUUGGUGGCUUGUAUGAGUCUUCAGCAUUCUCAGCAGGAGGGUGACCAGGGUUGUGACCAUAAUGUGGUGGCUUCUCUCCCUUAGGUGGUUUGCCAACUGGGGUUGGUGGCUUGUGUUCUGGGAGUGGCUUCUCCCCCUUGGGAGGUUUUUCCAAUGGGGUUGGUUUGUGUUCAGGAGGUGGCUUCUCCACUGGAGGCUUGUGUUCAGGAGGUGGCUUCUCCACCGGUGGCUUGUGUUCAGGAGGUGGCUUCUCCACCGGAGGCUUAUGCUCUGGUGGUGGCUUCUCCACCGGAGGCUUAUGCUCUGGUGGUGGCUUCUUGAAUGGGGGAUGCUGAGGGUAAUCAGCAAGUGAGGGGGCGGUGAGAACCACCAGGCCAAGCAACACCACUAGCAAAUAUGUAGGAGACAUCUUUGGGUUUGGGCUCAGAUGGUGCAAAACUAGGAGAAUUGGCUAGCCUUUUAUAGCGGAUCGUACUCAAUAAUGAAAUGACACGUGUCAUUAUGACCCAUGUGUAAUGGGGUCGAUUUGGGUCCUACAGUGUUGAAAACUUCGACAUCCAGUUUUGGCCUUUUGCUUUCUCUACAGCCGCCUUGCUUUUUCCCUCUUUCCUUUUGUUUUCCUCCUGCCCCAUUCUAUCAACUAAACACAAUUAUGUAGUUGUUUAAUUCUUAAAUGAGAUAUUAUCGGUCAAUCGUAUUAUAUUUUAUCAAGAGAGAACGGAGUGCAAUGCAGCUGUAAUUUUAUCGUUUACUUUUAUCUCUUGGACCACUGCAUUUUUGUUAAGAGGUGCAAUAAUACACGUCUUUAUCUGCCAUUCAAUGUUUACAGUAAAGAGAGGGCACAAAACUCUUCACUGCUCUGCAUGUGUCCCAAAAAUGCGAUUGGACAAAUUAUGAUUUGCAUGCUAAAAAGAGGCAAAUGAGGUUAAUUCGCACCAUAAUUAUUUGGUUUUCUGGACACCAUAAAAAGAUGUUAUACAGGCAGGGAAAAACCUUCAGAGUUAGCUACCAAAGAUAAUUAUCAAGCAGAUAUCACCAAGAGAAUUCCAUAGAGUCUGAAUCAAAGACAGAUUGCUCGCUCGUGGGGGUUCUUACUUUCUUUUGGGUAUAACUCACUGAGGUCACUGUCUUUUUUAUUUGCAUUUCACAGUUAGAGUUCUGCUCUGGAAGGUUUGUUCUGGAAACAUAUAAAAGGAGCAUCAUUUUGUUCUUGGGUAACCCAUAGUCGUGAGUGGGUCCAUUUGCAUGCUACUUAGUUGAAAAGUUGGACAAUUUGCUCCGACGCCUACCUCCUGGAUUCCAUGCUCGGUAAAACAAGAAUAAAAAAAAAUAUAUAAUUUACAAAUGGGGGAAAGAAAAAAUGUCGGAAAAAAUAGUAAAAUUCAUGUCACAUGCUAGUGAGAGAAGGGGUUGUUACACUCACUCGAAGUUCUUUUCAAAAUAUCGAAUGGUAUUUUACUUUAUGUGUCAGCGCAGUUGUGAAUGGAACGUGCAAAAGUCCAAAUUGGCGUUUUUAUUUUUCCCAUGUAGGAUGGUGACCUUUAAUAAAUAUUUAAAACAAAAGACGAAAAAAAAAAGGAGGGAAAAGGGAUCACAAAAGAUAAAAUAAUGUUUACAAAAGCUCAAUUAGUUUGCAAAUUACUGUUUGGAUUUUGAUAGUAUUUUAUUUGUCGUUCUAUAUUUGAUGUAAAAGAGAAUUUAAGAUAUUUCCGAAGCAAAAGCAUUAGUUUGCUCUGUGAUGUCCCACAUCGAAUAGGGGAGAAAGUUUCUGGCGCUAUAUAUGUAGAGGCUCCUCUUAACCAAGUAGAUGCGUUUUAAAACCAUGAGGGCCCCCUUAGGUCCAAAGCGGACAAUAUCUACAUGAUUGGGUGUAAGUCAUUACAAAUGGUAUCAGAGCCGAUCCCCGACCCCGGUGUGGGGGUUUGUUUGGCCCUGUAAGGGGUGUUUGUCUGUUUGACCCCACAAUCCCAUGGGACACAACGAGGACGUUGUGUCUGCAUGGGGGGGCGUUUGUGAUGUCCCACAUCGGAUAGGGGAGAAAGUUCCUAGUGCUAUAUAUGUAGAUGUUUCUCUUAACCAAGUAGAUGCAUUUUAAAAUUGUGAGGGCCUCUUUGGGCCCAAAGCGGACAAUAUCUACAUGGUUGAGUGUAAGUCAUUACAUGCUCCAUGUCAAUUUCAGCAUUUCUCAUAUGUUUCACACAUACACAGAAGAGCAUCGUUUUUUAAAGCAUGCAUUUAUGUUGGAUUAAUUUGGAUUUUGUGGGAACUGGGGCAAGGAUCACAUGGAAGAGAGGUUGACUUUUUUCAGUACUUCAAUGGUUGAAAUAUGUGAAGGCUUGAUUGAUACUAAAGCUUGAAAUUGCGACUCUGUCAUUUGUAAAAAAAUAUGACAGCUUCCAUGCUCUCGUUUGGUUGCAUUGUCCGGUCGAGAGGUGCAAAAAGCAUUCUCUCUCUUCUAAUAGUCUUUUCGUUUAAAUCAAGGGAUUUGCCUUCCCGGUCGAGGUCCAAUAGAGGGUAACGGUCACCUACUAAACAUUAAAUGCUCCAACAACUAGUGAACUGAUCGACCCCAGCUCGACUAGUUGAGGUUACUUUUUGGUUUUCUUGUCUCCCGAGGUUAGAAACCUAUAAAUAGAGAGCUUCACUUCAUUUAUGAGUAAGAGAACACCUAAAUUUAUUUGUUUACCUACUUGUUUUUGCCAUAAAAGCUCUCAUUUCUUUUCUUGGUGUAUUAAAUCUCCAUUUGCAUAUCCUUUAGUGCACCUUUGUGAUUCAUUCUAGCCUUGAGUUGUAUUUAAGCCUUUGUUGAGCUAGGUUGAGAGUUUCAUACUUGUUUAUUGAGUGUUAAAGCCUUCAAGUGAGUUAAAACUUGAAGAGAUUGUGUAAGAGCCCAUUGGAGUCGGAAUCCAAGUGUAAAGGUGAUUAAAAGCUUGGUUGAAGCUUCAAGUUAGUGGAACUCUCACUCGGUUAUGAGCUUGAGAAGAGUGGACAUAGACAAGGCAGUGUCGAACCACUAUAAAAUCUGAGUUUGAUUUCUCUAACCUUAUCUCUUUAUAUUUGCUUCUCUUGUGCUUAAAUUUUUUGUGUUUAAAAAGAAUUUUUAAAAACUCAAUUCACCCCCUUCUUGGGAGUUUUUCUCUUUUAAGAUCAGCUUUUAUUUUCUCAAUUGGUAUCAGAACUAUGCCUCUUGUUUAAGACUUAAUCGUCUAAGAGGAAAUGGCUAAUCCAUCAAGUUCAUCUCACAUUGAAAGUUUUGCAACCAAUAGACUUCUUUUUUUUUUUUUGCGGGAACUGAUUAUCCCUAUUGGAAAACUAAAAUGACUUGGUUUUUACAAUCAAUUGAUUUAGAUGUAUGAGAUGCCAUUGAAGAUGACCUAACUUUUCCUUCAAAACUAGUUGAUGGAGUCAUGGUUCCAAAACCUAAGCAAGAAUGGGAUGAGCGUGAUUGAAGAAAUUUUCAAUUAAAUGCUAAAGUCGUUUAUACUUUGCAAUGCUCUAUGGACAGAAAUGAAUAUAAUAGAAUAUGUCAAUGCAAAUCGGUUAAAGAAAUUUGGAGAUUGCUUGAAAUAACUCAUAAAGGAACAAAUCAAGUUAAAGAGUCAAAAAUCAAUUUACUUGUUCAUAGAUAUGAAUUGUUUUUUAUGAAAGAUAAUGAAACUAUUGUUAAGAUGAUCACUAGGUUCACCAACAUUGUUAAUGGUCUUAAAGCCUUGGGAAAGACCUACAAGGAAUCCGAAAACGUGAUGAAGAUCUUGAGGUCACUUCCAUCAAAGUGGCAUACCAAGGUCACCGCAAUUUAAGAAGCAAAAGACUUGAUCAAGCUACCUUUGGAGGAGUUCAUAGGGUCAUUGAUGACAUAUGAAAUCAAUUUGGCAAAGAAGUAACAAAAAGGUGAAGACAAAAAGAAGAAGAACAUAACUCUCAAAGCUACAACUAAGGAAGAAGAAGUUGAAGAAGAAAAACAAAUUGAAGAAGAUGAAGAUUUAGCCCUCAUCACAAGAAAGUUCAACAAAUUCAUGAGGGGUGAAAGGUUUAGAAGAAGAAGGUUCACUUCUAGAAGAGACUUUUCUAAAAAGGAAUCUUCAUCUAAUGGUGACAAAAAGAGAUGGGAAGAGAAAAGAGACUUGGUGUGUUUCAAGUGCAAGAAACCGGGACACAUUAAAUAUGAUUGUCCUCUCUACAAAAGUGAAGUCAAGAGGAAAAAGAAUAAGGCAAUGAUGGCCACUUAGAGUGAAAGUGAAGAUGAAUCAUCCGAAGAAGAAAAUGAGAAAGAAGUGGCAAACAUGUGUUUCAUGGCAAUAGAUGAACUUGAUGAGGUAAAAUCUAACCUUAGUGAUUAAGAUAUACAUGAUGCAUUUGAAGAAUUGUAUGAGGAUUUUUAAAAACUUAGUUUGAAAAAUAUUUCUCUUAAAAAGAAAGUUCAACAACUUGACAAAGAACUUAGAGAAGUAAAAGAAAAAUUUUCAAAUGUUAAAGUUUCUAAAACUCAUCUUGAAAAAGAAAAUGAGAUUCUAAGAAAGAAAAAUGAAUAGUUGAACUCCUCUCUUUCAAUCUUUUCUUCUAGACAAAAAUCUUUUGAAAUGAUUCUAACUAGCUAAAAAUGUGUUUUUGACAAACAAGGGUUAAGAUUUAAAUCUUCAAAAAAUCAAAAGUAUUUUAAAAACUAUUUUGUAAAGGAAUCCACAAGUGCAAGUCCUUCCACUACUUGCAACUUUUGUGGAAGAGAAUGGCACAUUAGUAGUACGCCCUUUAAGAAAUGGUUCUCAAAAGAAUUUAAAUGCAAAAACUAAAAAAGAUUUGGAUUGAGAAAUCCAAGGUCACUAACCCUCAAGGACCCAAAAAGAUAUAGGUACCUAAAUCAACUUGAGUUUUAUGUUGUAAGGUUCAAAGAAUGAUAAGUGGUUCUUAGAUAAUGGUUGCUCAAGACACAUGACCGGAGAUGAAUCCAAGUUUGCUUUUCUUAAAAAGAAAAAUGGAGGAUAUGUUACCUUUGGAGACAAUGCAAAAGAAAGGAUGAUUGGUCAAGGCAACAUUGGUAAUGGCACAUCCUCUCUCAUUGAAAGUGUUUUAUUAGUAGAUGGUUUCAAACAUAACCUUUUAAGCAUUAGUCAAUUUUGCGACAAAGGUUUUUAAGUGAUUUUUUAAGCAUCUCAUUGCAUCAUCAAGGAUAUUCAAAAUGAUAAAACCAUUUUCAUGGGCCAUAGAUGUGAUAAUGUUUAUGCUAUAAAUAUUUCAAAAUAUGAUGGCCAUGAUAGAUGUUUUUCAAGCAUGCAUGAUCAAAGUUGGUUGUGCCAUAGGAGAUUGAGACAUGCUAACAUAGACCUCAUUUCCCAACUCAACAAAGAUGAACUUGUUAGAGGCCUUCCCAAAAUAAUUUUUUAAAAAGAUAAAGUUUGUGAAGCUUGUCAAGUGGGAAAGUAAAUCAAAAACUCUUUUAAAAACAAAAACUUCAUUUCCACAUCUAGGCCACUUGAGUUGUUGCAUAUGGAUUUAUUUGGUCCCUCUAGGACACCAAGUCUUAGAGGAAAUUCUUAUGCAUAUGCUAUUGUGGACGACUUCUCUAGAUACACAUGAGUCUUGUUUUUUAGUCAAAAGAAUAAAGUUUUUUAUGAGUUUUCAAAGUUUUGCAAUAAGAUUCAAAAUGAAAAAGGUUUUUCAAUUACUUAUAUAAGAAGUGAUCAUGGGAGAGAAUUCGAAAAUAUUGAUUUUGAAGAGUAUUGCAAUGAGCAUGGAAUUGACCACAAUUUUUUGGCUCUUAGAACUCCUCAACAAAAUGGGGUAGUUGAAAGGAAAAAUAGAACUCUUCAAAAAAUGACAAGAACCAUACUAAAUGAAAACAACUUACCAAAAUAUUUUUAGGCCAAAACGGUUAACACUUCUUGUUAUGUUUUAAAUAGAGUAUUAUUGAGGCUCAUACUUAAGAAAACUCCCUAUGAGCUUUGGAAAAACAAAAAACCCAACAUUAGUUAUUCCAAAGUCUUUGGAUGCAAUAUUUUAUAAUAAACACCAAAGACAAUCUUGGAAAAUUUGAUGCAAAAUUGGAUGUUGGAAUUUUCCUUGGUUACUCAACUUCAAGUAAAGCUUUUCGAGUUUUAACAAAAGAACCAUGGUUGUAGAGGAGUCCAUCCAUGUUAUUUUUUAUGAAUCUCCAAGAAAGAGAGAGGAUUGAUGAUGAUUUAGGUUUGAAGACCUCUAUAGGAAGAUUGCAAAUCGAAGAUAGAAGACAACAAGAAGAAAAUGGAGAGAAUCCAAAGAAAGAAGGAUCACCAUUGGCACUACCCCCUCAUCAACAAGCGCAAGGUGAAUCAAGUCAAGAGCUUCCUAAAGAAUGGAAGUUUGUCAUCAAUCACCCACAAGAUCAAAUUAUAGGCAAUCCAUCUAGUGGGGUAAGAACUAGAUCCUCUCUUAGAAAUAUUUGCAAUAAUCUAGCUUUUAUCUCUCAAAUUGAGCCUAAAAAUAUAAAUGAUGUUUUAGAUGAUGAAAAUUGGAUAAUUGCAAUGCAAGAAGAGUUAAAUCCAUUUGAAAGAAGUGGAGUAUGGGAAUUAGUACCAAGACCUUCAAAUCAAAGUGUUAUUGGAACUAGAUGGAUCUUUAGAAAUAAAAUGGAUGAAAAUAGCAUAAUUGUUAGAAAUAAAGCAAGAUUGGUAGCCCAAGGUUUUAAUCAAGAAGAAAUGAUAGAUUAUGAAGAAACCUUUGCCCCCGUAGCUAGGUUGGAAGCCAUUAGGAUGCUACUUGCCUUUGCAUGUUUUAAAGACUUUGUUUUAUAUCAAAUGGAUGUGAAAAGUGCUUUUUUAAAUGGUUUUAUAAAUGAAGAAGUAUAUGUUGAACAACCACCCGGUUUUCAAAGUUUCAACUUUCCUAACCAUGUUUUUAAACUUAAAAAGACACUUUAUGGUUUGAAACAAGCACCUAGAUCAUGGUAUGAAAAAUUGAGUAAAUUUCUUUUGAAAAAAAUGUUUUAAAAUGGGAAAAAUUGACACAACUCUUUUUAUAAAAACCAAAGAAAAUGAUAUGCUCUUAGUUCAAAUAUAUAUUGAUGAUAUCAUUUUUGGUGCUACUAAUGUCUCUCUUUAUGAAGAAUUUUCUAAGUGCAUGCAUAGUGAGUUUGAAAUGAGCAUGAUAGGAGAACUCAACUUCUUCCUUGGACUUCAAAUCAAGCAACUAAAGGAAUGAACCUUCAUCAAUCAAGCAAAGUAUAUAAGAGAUCUUCUCAAAAGGUUCAACAUGGAAGAAGCCAAAACAAUGAAGACUCUAAUGAGCUCAUCCAUUAAGCUUGAUAAGGAUGAGAAAGGUAAAUCCAUUGACUCUAUUAUGUAUAGAGGCAUGAUAGGUUCUUUGCUCUAUUUGACCACUAGUAGACCUUACAUUAUGUAUAGUGUGUGUUUGUGUACUAGAUUUCAAUCUUGUCUUAAAAAAUCUCACUUAAGUGUCGUGAAAAGAAUCCUCAAAUAUUUGAAAGGGACAAUGGACAUAGGCUUAUGGUAUCCUAAGAGUGAUAACUUUGAAUUAAUUGGUUUUUUGGAUGCUGAUUUUGUCAGUUGUAGGGUUGAAAAAUAAAACACUAGUGGCACUUUUCAUUUCUUAAGACACUUACUUGUCUCAUGGCAUAAUAAGAAGCAAAAUUUGGUAGCUUUGUCAACAGCAGAAGCUAAAUACAUAGCAACUGGUUUAUGUUGUGCACAAAUCCUUUGGAUGAAAUAAACACUUAGUGAUUUUGAUUUAUCUUUUGAGCAUAUUCCUAUUAAAUGUGAUAAUAGUAGUGCCAUAAGUAUAUCAAAAAAUCUCGUGCAACACUCUAGGACUAAGCAUAUAGAGAUUAGACAUAAUUUUCUUAGAUAUCAUACACAAAAGGAUGAUAUAACACUUGAAUUUGUAAGCAUAAAAGACCAACUUGCCGAUAUCUUUACAAAACCUCUAAGAACAUUUUGUUGAUAUUAGAGGACAAUUAGGAGUGAUUUCUUUAUGAUCUAAUGUGAUGAAUUCUUGAUGAAUAUACUUUUUGAUUGCAUGAAUUUCAUGUCAUAUAUGCAUCAUAUAGAAAUAUACUUAGAUAAUGGUCAAAUUUCGACCAAAAAUCAAAAUUCCCAUGGCAUUAGGCAUAAAAAUUUUGGAAUUUCAACUGAAAAUGGUAGGAGGAGGAUCACAAAAUGAGAAAGUAUGCAAAAAUUGAAAAAUCAAAACGUUGACCAAGCGGUCAAUCGGACUAGACCGAUCGACUAGUUUGUCGAGAUUUAGGAUUUUUAAGAGACUCCAACGCUUCAAUUUUUGCACCGUUCUCCUCUAUUUCUUCACGGUUUCUCUGAUUUUGUCUUUUAGAGACUAAUUUGAGUGCGUUUUGGAUCAAUUGAAGCAUUUUGGAUUGGAUUUUAGGAAGAUUGAAAGUUAAGGUUUCGGAUUUGGGUCGCCUUCUCUUCCUCUCGCGUGUCACAAUCAGCUUUAGCAUUGUUCUCUUUCCAUUUUCACACACCUAGGGUUUCAGUUGUGAGCAUCUCUCUCUCUUUACCAACCACUACUCCCUUGCUUCUUCCAUAUGGCUCCUAGGCGAGAGUCCGCUACUUCUAGGGCACAAGGCAAGCACCCAACUGAGUCGUCUCAGUCAAAGGCACGUCGAAAAGUGAGAUUUGACAUUGCCUUGUUCAGUUCCAUGGAGGACUACCAACUAUACAAGCAACACUUUGCUUAGAGACGAGUAGUUCCCAAGAGAAAUAUUAAUUUUCCUCAACUUCAGCAUUUCGAAUUUAAGGGUCUAUUUACUAGGAUGGUUGGUUGUCUAUUGUCACAAUUUCGGAGCCGGUUUUCCUGACCUUAGUGCGAGUUUUUUACUCGAGGGCGACUUAUGGCAUGGGUGGCAUGAUCAUUUCUACUGUUGGAGGAGUUGAGAUCUGUCUGGACCCAGAGAGCAUCUGCCAUAUUUUCGAUAUUGCUCUGGUUGGACUCAAAGUAUACAAGUCCAAAAUGUGGCCCAUUGUGCCAGGAUUUGAGCUUAGAGAGGUCAUUCAGAGGAUUUGUGAACUUCCAGACGCCCAGGAGAUGGGCAAACCAUUGCCACACAGUUUGACGGUCAUCAACAGGGUGCUACACCAUAUAUUGUGCUCUAUCUUUCUACCACGAAGUGGACAUUGAGAUGAGGUCUCUUAUUAUGAGGCAUUCCUUAUUGACUCCAUUCUAACGGAGAGACGAAUUCAUCUACUAUGUCAUCAUUCACUAAGCCUCCUCACAGUGACAUACCACCUCAUCAGGCACCUCUUGCUCCUGACCAUGCUCCAUUGAUGGAUUUAUUUACUCAUAUUAGCUCUCUAGGCACUCGCAUGAAGGAGUUUGUUGUAGUUAGUGAUACAUGGUUCUACUCCAUAGAGGAUCGCAUGGAUCAGUAUCAGACUGGCUUCACGUCACAGUUUGAGUAUCUCCAAUAGAGGAUUGAGCAUAUUGAGGAUCACUUGAGCAUGAGAAGAUGAUGGCUUUUCUAUGCUCUGUGUUUCCACCUCCACCUCGUCAACCUUGAUUUCUUAGAGACCCAUUGUUUUCAUUUUGUAAUGUUGCCAAAAGGGGGAGAUAUUUAGGAUCUAGGACUCUAUAGGAGACUUACAUGCAUAUCAUUUUCAUAUCAUUGUUUGGAUCGUACAUAUUGGAUAGUGAUACUUUUUACUUAUAUAUGAUAUGCCUAUAUGUUUCAUGUCUUACAUUGUUUCUUAUUGCAAAUUAUCUCUAACAUGUCUUGAUUAUCUUUUUUUUAACUUCAUAAAUUUUGAUUGUUAACCCAUGAUUGGUUUGAGGGGAAGAUUCUUCUUCUCCUAGAUAACCAAGGUUUGUCAUCAUAAAAAAAUUGGAGAUUGUUAGCCCAAGGGUUCUCCUAAUCAUGUUUUGAUGAUAACAAACCAUGCUUAAGUUACUAAUUGGUUUGAAUUAUAAAGAAUUUCAAGUGUUAAUUUGAAAAUUCAUCAAAGAACCUAAUGGAUGCAAGAUCAAGAUUUUUGGAAGACCUUUAAUCAUAAGAAACAUAUGUAAGAUGAAUGCAUGGGUGCACUUAAGAUUUGCAUAUCAUUUCAUGCAUAUUUGGAAAACACGGUUUAUGCUUUAAAGUUACAUUUCCAUCAAAAUUUGAGAUCCAUCAAAUGAACCUUAGGAAAAAUGUUUUAAAAUUGGCAUAUAAUUUUACCUAAAGACCUUGCCUAAGUGUUAGAAGCAAAAGGACAAAAAAAAUAUAGGUUUUCUGGUCAAAAAUGGUGAACCAGUCAAGGCAUUGUCUAAAUCAGCUCAAUCGGCCAAGGUACCGGUCGAUCGGUUUCCCUUUCCCUGUCGAGAUCUAGUCAAGAGGUACAAAAAUCACAAUCUCUGUCUCUUUCUCUCUUUGUCUAUCUUCCAGUAGUCUUUCCUUCCCGGUCGAGGGAUUUGCCUUCCCGAUUGAGGUCCGAUUGAGAGUAAUAGUCACUUGCCAAAUAUUAAAUGCUCCAACAGUUAGUGAACUGGUCGACCCCCACCUUGCCCAGUUGAGGUUACUUUUUGGUUUUCUUGGCUCCCGAUGUUAGAAACCUAUAAAUAGAGAGUUCCACUUCAUUUAUGAGCAAGAGAACACUUGCAUUUAUUUGUUUACCUACUUGUUCUUGCCUUAAAAGCUCUCAUUUCUUUUCUUGGUGCAUUAAAUCUCCAUUUUGAUAUCCUUUAGUGCACCUUUGUGAUUCAUCUUAGCCUUGAGUUGUAUUUGAGCCCUUUUUUUAGCUAGGUUGAGAGUUUCAUACUUGUUAAUUGAGUGUUAAAGCCUUCAAGUGAGUUGAAACUUGUAGAGAUUAUGUGAGAGUCGAUUGGAGCCGAAAUCCAAGUGUAAAGGUGAUUAGAAGCUUGGUUGAAGCUUCAAGUUAGUGGAAUCCUCACUCAAUUAGGAGCUUGAGGAGAGUGGACGUAGCCAAGGAAGUGUCGAACCACUAUAAAAUUUGAGUUUGAUUUCUCUAACAUUGUCUCUUUAUAUUUGUUUAUCUUGUGCUUAAAUUUAUUGUGUUUAAAAAGAAUUUUUAAAUACCCAAUUCACCCCCCUCUUGGGUGUUUUUCUCUUUUAAAAUUAGCCUUUAUUUUCUCACAAACUAUUGUAGUAUAGUGGUUUUUAGGUGUCAUCCAUUAGGAUGAAUUGUUCUCGGUAAUUAAGGCGUGAAUGAGAGGAGAAUUAAUGAUUGUGAUUAAGUAAAAUUGAUUUGAAAAUUCAUGGUGAAAAAUCAAUUUAACAAUGGUUUCUAAUUGAGAAAAACAAUGAAAUGUGAAAUAAAAUAAAAUUAAUAGGAAAUGAAAUUCUCGAAGUUAGAAUUUUCUAAAAAACAAAUUCCAUGGUGAAUGGAUGUUGAGAUCUAAUUUUCAUCAAGUUAGAUUGAAAACCGAAAUUUUCAUAUAAACUGAUUUUUUAUUUAGUUUUAGGUCUAGAUUUAAUUUCCCUUAAAAUUAGGUUAUUUAAUCCAAGAAAUCAAUUCAAAUCAUAUAUUCAAUUCAUCUUAAAUUAUCUUCCAAUUAUUCACACAAUGCAACUAUUCAAUCUCAUCAAAUCUAGCUUUUAAGAAUUUAAUGAAUCUACCUAGUUUGCAUUGUAAUAGUCAUCCAUGACAAUUUGAAGAGAAAAAUAAUUCAAUUAAUCAAUCACUUGGAUCAAAUUACCUUUGCAAUUAAAGUUCAUUUCUCUAAUUCACCACAGAUUUUGUCUCUAGAUCCUCCUUUCUCAAAGAAAAAUGAGAUUUAGCCACACAUGAUUGGAGAUUUGGUCUCAUAAGGCAUGUUUAGCUAGUGAUAAAAUGAGAGAAAAUAAAGAAAAAUAGAGAAUUCGAUUAAGAAAGAAAAUCUAAAAAAUUCUACAAUUAGAAAUGUCCAAAAAGCUUUUUCAUGAGAAAAUCAAGUUUCUAUUUAUAGGCCAAGGUCAAGUGGACACUUGACAUCAUCUAAGAGGUCUUCCGGAAGCUUCUUCAUCAAGAAAUCUGGAGUUUAAUAAUAAAAUGGUCAUUUCACAAGAGCUCAAACAAUUUCGCAUGAUUAUGUGAAAUAAAAAAUGCAACAACAGCAAUUUACAUCUUCUUGGAGCAUUUCGCAUGACUGUGUGAAAUUUUCACAUGAUCAUGUGGAAUCGACUUGACAACUCUCAUUUAGCCUACAACAUAAUUCCACCUUUUGGUCCAUUUUUCAUAGUCAUGCGAAAUGGAAAUAUUUGAUUUUUAAGUUUUCUUUUGUCAUUUCUUUCAUUUCCUUCUCUUGAUUCCACUUCAACUACCUCCGAAUCCUGGUCCAAACCAAUUGCAUUACUUCUUUCAUUAUGCAUUUGGAUCAUCAUCAACAUUAUUUGUUCUCUUCAAUUUGAUUCAUCUCUUUUGUCACCAAUUUAUCAAAAUCAUACCUUGAAAUGACUCCAAAACUUCAUAAAACUUGUUAGUAACUCUUGCAAGGGCAACAACAUAUUAAUUAAGUGUUUUAGGCAUAGUUACUACUCAAAAGAUGCGAAACUCAUGAUAAUUAUUAUAUAAAAUAUGCUCUUUUUGAGUAGUAAUCAACUUUCUUGCAUAAGCAGACCUUUUAGGGUGGAGUACUAAAGACCAAUAUGCUUGUCCUUGUUGUAAUAAAGAAACUUGCUCUUAUUGAUUGCACCAUGGGAGAAAAUUUUGCUACAUGAGUUAUCAUCAAUUUCUUCCCACCAAUCAUAGAUUUAGACGUGACAAGAGGCCUCUUAAUGGCAAGGAGGAACUGACACUCACACUUAUACAAUUAUCGGGCAUUGAUGUGUUGCAACAAUUAGAAUAACUUACACCAAUUAUGUUGGGGAAGUCACAAAAGGCAAACAUGAAAACUAAAAGGAAAAAAGAAAAAUGUUACAUAUCACCACAACUGGAAAGAAAAAAGUAUUUACUUUCAUUUGCCAUAUUGGAAAGCACUUAUUUUACAUCAUAAUAAUUUAGACAUAAUGCAUAUUGAGAAAAAUGUGUGACAAUAUAAUUGAGACAUUGUUCAGUAUUGACGAAGAAACAAGGACAACCUAAAUAGUCAUCUCGAUUUACAAGCUCUAACUAUUAGAAAUGAGAUUCACCCAAUAGAAAGCAGGACCAAAUUUAUUUUGCUUGCAACAUGCUACUCACUCACCCCAAAUGAGAUUAAGGAAUUUUGCAAGUUUUUGAAAUCAAUAAAGGUCCCCAAUGGCUAUUCUUUCAAUAUCUCUCGUUAUGUGCAACUCAAUGAAAGGAAGAUAUAUGAGCUCAAAUUGUAUGAUUGUCAUGUCCUAAUGCAACAACUUCUCUCACUUGUAGUUCGUGGAGUUCUACAUAAGAAUGUUUGUGGAGUUAUCAUAGAAUUGCGUAAUUUUUUCAAGCAAUUGUGCUCAAAGGUGUUAGAAACAAAUCACUUACACCAACUUGAGAACAAUAUUAUUGUCAUACUAUGUAAAAUGGAGCAAAUAUUUCUUCCAUCAUUCUUUGAUAUUAUGGUGCAUUUACUUGUGCAUCUAGUAAGGCAAAGGUUGCAAGACUUGUGCAAUAUUGUUGGAUGUACCUAAUUGAACGAUAUUGUUAUAAUUUCAUAUGAAUCAUUUAAUUUUAUUUUAUAUUAUGUUCAGUUCAUUAACAUGUACAUUGGUCUACAUAUGGAUGAUGAUAGGUACCUAAGCACUUUAAAGUCAUAUGUGCGUAAUAGAACUUUUCUAGAAGGUUCUAUUGUAGAAAGGUACCUUGCAAAAGAAUGUACAACAUUUUAUUCUAGGUACUUGAAUGAUGUGGAAAUAAAGUAUAAUCACAAUGAUAGAAACUUUGUUGGUUUCAACACUAGAGGAGAUGAAAGGGGUUAUCUUUAAACAUAUUGGACAUGCAUUGGGAAAGCCCAUAUUUCAUUAACUUAGUUCAAAAGAGUGGUCACAAGCACAUUUAUAUGUGUUGACAAAUUGCGAAGAUGUCAUACCAUUCAUUGAGUAAAAAAUUUAUUUGAAUUUUAAUUAAAGCUCUAGUUUAUAUCCUUAAUCAAUGUUUUUUAAAUUCACAAGGAGCACAAGCAAACCAUCAAGGCUAGACCACAUAUACGUGUUUGAGACGUAGAUUUAAUUCAUAACAAGGAAUUUAUCAAGUGGUUUGAAAGACAUGUAAGUAUAUUCCUUAUUAUAAGGGAUUUAUUUCACAUUAUGUUUAUAUUGAAUCCAAACCUAUUAUUGAAUUGUAGGUUGAACAAUUACAUAAUGAAGGUCAUAUAUCUGAACACCUUCUCACAUUAUCAUGUGUUCCAAAUUCAUUAGUUACAUGCUUCAAAUGAUAUAUUGUCAAUGGAUUUAGAUCCCACAUUAAAGAACGUGAUAAAAAAGUUUUUAAAAAAAGACUCAGAAUAAUGGAAUUGUUGUAGUUGCAAAAACGUCAAGCUUUACAAGUGCAUGUGAUAUGAGUCCAAUUAUUAGUGAUGCUCUCUACUAUGGUGUUCUAACUAAAGUUGUUGAGUUACAUUAUCUUGGUGAAAAUAAGGUUGUUUUAUUCGAGUUUGAUUGGUGGGAUGUUACAAAUAUUGGAAAAUUGAUAAAAGAUGAUGAGUACAAUUACACAUUUGUUAACUUUGCAUGAAUUCUAACCACGAACGAACGAUUUGUACUUGCAUCUCCAGCAAAGUAAGUGUUCUAUGUGAAGAAUGCGAAUGAAUCAGAUUGGCAUACUAUCAUGGAGAUGCAACCUCAAGACCUCUAUAAGAUGAACGGGAUAGGAUCCAAUGGUGAUUUUGAACCAUUUCAACAAAGUGAACUACAUGAUCACUAAUAUAUCUCAGAUUUAGUUGAUGAAGAUAUAAUCAAGUGGAACAAAAGUGAUGUUUUAGGACUAAUCAUCCUAAAAAAUAUUGUAGUUUCUUAAAAAAAAAAUGAAAAUGAAGAAGAUAAUUGAACCUUUGUCAUACUUUAAAAAGCAACUAUGCAUUGUUCAUUUUGUAUGUUUUGGUUUUCUUCAUUUAAUUUCCUGAUUUUUGUGAUUCAAUGUCAUAUUAUUGAUCUUGAAAUAUUUUUCUAAUUUUUCAUUCUACGAUGGUUUCAACAAGGAUGACAUCAAGUCAAAAAAGGAAAUGUGGUCCCACACACAAUAUUGCAUUACAGGGAUUAAGGUCAGGGAAGAAGGUAAAAGUUGCAUUUAAUGAGUACAAUCAAUUGGUUAAACAGAAAAAUGGAAAACACUUAUCGAGCUACAUAGGGACACUUGUAUCUAACCAACACAAUGUACCUCUCCAAGCUAGUGAUUGGAAAAAUGUUCCAAAUGAUGCAAAAGAGAAAGUAUGGCCUUUGUUUUGGUAUGUUGUAUUUCUCACUAUAUGAUGUCAUUUCACUGUUAUUCUAUUUUGUGACUAACGUUUGAAUCAUAUGUAAGAAAAAUUUGAAGUAGAUAAAGACUGAAAAGAUUACAUGUUGGGUAUAGCCUCAAAUAAAUAUAGAAGCUAUAAAAAUAUGAUGAAUGCAAAAUACUAUGACCCUUGGCAUAAGGAUGCAUGAGGAGAGGUUAAUACAUAAAUCACCAUUUGUCUCUGAUGUUGAUUGGAAGUGGCUUGUCUCUGAUGCAUAAACCAAAUCCCCCACUGAAUGUUUGAUAUUUGAUAGCAGGAAAAACACACCCGCAGCUAUACACCUCCAUCAUUCAGAUAAUUAUAGUGGGGGAGAUGAUUCAUGGUUGCCCUUAUACCCUUUAUUUGCACCAUCUAUUGAGAUUCUUUAUCAUGGCCAGGUUUUACUGCAGCAAUAAGAUAUGGUGGCAACAAUUUUAUCUAUAGGUGCGGUUCCAGACCGCCUCCAUAGGUGCGGUUCCUGACUGCCUCCAUAGGUGCCUCUUCUUGUAAUGUUUGUUCUGGGAAUUACACUUGAAAGCCUUAUCGUGAUAAGGGAUUACAAACACUAGUUCAGAGGACAGCCAUGUUAAACUUCCACUAUGUUUGUGUCACAUUAUCAGCAGCCUAGUGUUUAUUGGUCAUGCUAUCUGCAACUAAUAUAACCCGGUGAACUUCAAUCUAAAUUCUGAAAGUACUCAUGUGACAGAUGGUGCCUUUCAGCAGAUAUCAUCAAUUUAAAAGUAGUGUGUGUGCCUAUAGGUGGGAAGGCCUUGGCAAAUGUUCAGUAUUCCGGUAAUUCAAGAAGGAUAUAUCUAAAAUAGAUUUUCUUCUUGCCCAUUUCAAUAGUUAAAAUUUGAGAAGAUUGUGUCCACAUCACACAAAUAUUAUUGGUCCUUCUGUUGCAAUUUACCUCUGAACAUGUCUUCCAAUUCCCACGGUCCUGUUACUCCAGGAAAACUAUUUCGGUCAUAUUGAAAAAAAAAAUAUUAAAGAAGGUACACAUGCUUUUAAGUGGACUGGGGCAUUCAUAUCAGGUGGUCUGUAUCCACAUAUGCCACUUCGUGAAAGGUGGAACAGCCUAAUCACUAGGCUAUUUAGUGUGGCCCAGCCACGUUAAUCAAGCACAAGUCUUCAUACUUAAAGUCAAAUGGUGUCUUUAGUCUCAUUACACAUCGCUAUUUGAAGAUUAACUCAUCACUAGUGUAAUGCGAUUAAGACAGUCCUAACUCAAUAUUUGUUCUAGUUUUGGAUGCAAAUGCUUGCUGGUUUCAUCAUUGGAUGGGAUAAAGGUGCAAUCAGGACUAUGAAUACGUGCAGUAAUACUUCAUUCUCUUUUUUCUCAAUGAGACUUCUUGGCACAAUUUUGCUGCUCAGCAACCUACCUUUCCAUGGAAAAUCAGUUGUGACUGAUAGUAAUGGAUAUAUUCUAGAAAGCUAAACAUAGAUAGCAUUCAAUAUUAUCGAUAUAACAUUAACAGCGUAUGUCUCAAUGCUCAUCAGCUACAAGCAAUGGACAAACACUUUGAGUAACUCACAGCAGUCAAAAUUCCUAAACAGGACAGACGUGACAGAUCUAUAUAUAGAACACUGCAUAUGAGUCACAGGAAAAGAUAAUACGGGUACAUAGAAGCUCUUAUUUUACAUAUUACUCAUACUGAUCAAAGUCGCUCAGUUGGGAUGGAUGGGAGAAGGAGGUUUGAGGGGUGGCUUGUGCGGGGAAGUUGGCAGCUUCUUUCCGGGAGCUGGUUGCUUCUUUGCUGGAGUUGAAGGAGGCUUAAUCUUCCGAGGUGGCUUGUAUGAGUCUUCAGCAUUCUCAGCAGGAGGGUGACCAGGGUUGUGACCAUAAUGUGGUGGCUUCUCUCCCUUAGGUGGUUUGCCAACUGGGGUUGGUGGCUUGUUUUCUGGGAGUGGCUUCUCUCCCUUGGGUGGUUUGCCAACUGGGGUUGGUGGCUUGUGUUCUGGGAGUGGCUUCUCCCCCUUGGGAGGUUUUUCGAAUGGGGUGGGUUUGUGUCCUGGUGGUGGCUUCUCUCCCUUGGGAGGUUUACCAAUUGGGGUCGGUGGCUUGUGUUCUGGGAGGGGCUUCUCUCCCUGGGGAGGUUUAGUGGGUGGCUUGUGUUCUGGAGGUGGCUUCUCCACCGGAGGCUUAUGCUCUGGUGGUGGCUUCUCGAAGGGGGGAUGCUCAGGGUAAUCACCAAGUGAGGGGGUGGUGAGAACCACCAUGCCAAGCAACAACACUAGCAAGUAUGUAGUAGACAUCUUUGGGUUUGGACUCAGACAGUGCAAAACUACGAGAAAUCGCUAGCCCUUUAUAGCGGCUCGGACCUAAUACUGACAUAAUAUAAAAUAAAUAUUAUAUUUUAUCAAGAGAGAACAGAGUGUAAUUUUAUCAUUAAUACCGAUCGAGGCCAAAGAAAGAAGACCCAUAAUCCAUUUCCCACAAGCAUACACAAUGCAGCUGUAAUUUUAUCAUUUACUUUUAUCCCUUGGACCACUGCAUUUUUGUUGAGAGACACAAUAACACAUUUUUAUCUGUCAUUCAACAUUUACAGUAAAGAGAGGGCACAAAACGCAAUUAGAUAAAUUAUGUUUUGCCUGCUAAAAAGAGGCAAAUAACUUUAUUUGCAACAUAAUUAUUUUGGUUUCUAGUGACCCCGGGGCCUUUCGGUUGGUUUGGGAUCGGAAAAUGAACAUCAUAGGGGGGGUUGUGCCCUUAUGGGCAUAUAUAUCUGAUAGCUUCAACUGGCCUUGUUCCUAGAAAGAAAUUGCCAAAGAUAUAAACUUAUUCCAGGCUGAAAGUAGAUGAGAGUCAUAAUGAACAUCAACCUUUGUUCAGUUUGAUUCAAUGCCCCCAUAGUGUUCAUUUCACAGAUCUGAAUGAUUAUAUCCGUUGAAUACAUAAAUUAAUGAAGACAAAUAUGAAACCCAAGAUACAUCUCUGCAUAACAACCCCAACCCUGGUUGCUAUGUUUCCCUUCUUCUAUUCACAUGAGGAUACUGGUUAUAAUUGUCAAACUUGCAACAAGCCCUUUGACACCUAACGUCAAUGGACGAAUUAAAAGUCUCCUUCAAACGUCUAUUUCACAGCAUGAAGCUUAUAAAGGAUGCUGACAACCUUCAGAGUUAGCGACAAAAGAUAAUUAUCAAGGAGAGAUAGUUCCAUGAGAAUUCCAAGGAGUCUGAAUCAAAGACAAAUUGCUCACUCAAGGGUUCUUAUUUUCUUUUAGGUACAAAUCUCUUGAGUGUUGUUAAAGAAACACGUCACUGUCAUUUUGAUUUGCAUUUAACAUUUCACUUUUGUUCUGGAAGGUUUGUUCCGGAAACAUAUCAAAUGAGCAUCAUUUUCUUCUUCGGUGACACAUGGUCGCGAGUACGUGGGUCCAUUUUCAUGCCACUUAGUUGAAAAGUUGGAAAGAAAAAACAUGCCAACAAGAAGAUAGUGAGAGAAGGGGCACUUCAAGCCUUUAACAUGAACAAACAGUAAAUAAAAGAUGUUUCUCCACUCAUAAAAGUGUGUUAGAUAGCAAUAUAACGAAUCACAUCCAAAAUCUUUACUAGGCUCAAACAUAAAGAAGACUCAUUUUUAAGAAAAGAUAAAAAUGGCAUUGUCUGAUAGUAUCCAAUACACGAGAUGGCACUUAAUUUGUACAAGAUCUGUCAAUGCUGACGCACAUUUUCUGAUUAAAAAAAAACUGAUCAGUCAAAAGCAAUGAAGAGAAGUGAUGACAAUGAAUGAUGCUUCCAAUAUUUUCACCCCUUAUAGUGUUCUUCAUGAUUCAGAUAUAUAAUUGGAAAUAGAACAACCCUAUGCCAUACAUUCGUCUAAGUAUGGUGUCUAAUUUUUUGUGUCAGCGGUUGCGAAUGGAGCGUGCAAAAGUCCAAAUUGGCGUCUCUCCAUUUCCACAUAGGAAGGUGACCUUUAUUGACAAAUACCCAAUAUUUGUAGACAUUCCUUAAAUAUCAUAACUUCUUGUUGAUUUGAAAAUCAUUUUUCAACUACCAUGUUUUAAUAAAUAUUUUUUAAAAUGUAUUUUUAUCAAAGUCCACCAUGAUGGAUAAUAUUCACCAUGCAAUAAUUAAUAAAGUACAAACUAAGCGAAAUGAAAAGCAUUUUCUUUGCUUUGAGUUGAUUUUGGUUGCAUUGAGUUGAUUUUGGUUUCAUGGUUUUUUCAACUCUUAUUUUGAUUGGAAGAUGUCAAGAAAAGAAAACAUAAAGAAAAAUUAAAAGGGAAAAAAGAAGAAAAAUAAAAAAAAAUAGAUUUAAAAGUUAAUAAAUUAUUUUUUAUAUUUAUUUUAAUUCAUUUCACUUAUUUUUCUUUUACUAUAUAAAAUUUAAAUAAUUUAAAUUUUAUAAUUAAUUUAAUUACAUUUCAUUUUCUUCUAUAUUUAAAUAUUGGAAAAAUAUUUUACUUAAUAUUUUUUUCUUUAAUUUCUUUGGCAUUUUGGGAACCAAACUUAGCCUUUAAAAUAAAAAACAAAAAAAAAAUGAAAAUAAGGAGGGAAAAGUGAGAAAAGAUAAAAACAAUAUGUAAAGGAUUUGAAAAGUAUUAGUUUGUAAUUACUAUUUGGAUUUCAAUAGUAUUUUAUUUGUCUUUCUAUAUUUCAUGUAAGAGAGAAUUUAAGAUAUUCCCCAAGGCAAAGCAUUAGUUACCUGCAAUCAGUGGUGAUAAGGCUCCAAGCCAAUUUUGGGCCCCAUAUCUUAAGACAGUACAAUUUCCAUUUCAACAUUUCUGAUUUCUCAGAUGUUUCACAUACCACAGAAGAACAUUGUUUGUGAAAAUAUGCAUUUAUGUUGGAUUUUGUAUGCUGUGGGGACUGGGGCAAGGAUCAUAUGGAAGAGUGGUUGACUUUUUCUGUACUUUAACGGUUGAAAUAGGAUAAGCACGGGCAUUUGUGAGGCUUAAUUGAUUUUGAAGCCUGAAAUUGCGUUUCUGUCAUUUUGUCAAAAAAAUGGCAGAUUCCAUACUCAUAUGUUUGGCCUGUGGCCAUGUACAGAUGCCAUUUAGUGACCAGUUUGUAACUGUCAAUCGUUGCGUUUUGACUCUGCCUCAACAACAUCUGCCAUUGACGGGUUUUCAUACUUGCAAAUCAAAUAGUCUUUCGUCCCAUCAGGAAUUUCGGUUUAAAUAUUAUUAAGCAUACGUUUGGCUGACAAUCAUUAUCCAGUUCAUGAUUUGGUUUCUUACCCUUAAUCAAUGGUUUCUAAGUGAAUAUAUGUAGAAGGAAAUCCGAAGUGUAGACAGUAGUAUCGAUAACUCUCAAUAUUCUCUAUAUAAUAGAAUAAACAGCGUCAUAGUGAUCGUCGCCUACAAGCAAGGUACAAAUACCAAAACGAGUGACUCACAUAGACAUCUCCCAACAAGAUGUAGUAGUGACUGACACAUGGACACAAUUAACUCGUAGAAAAGGAUAAGACCAUUGCACAGCAGCUCUUAUUUUACAUACUACUUAUGCUAACCAAAGUCAAUUAGUUGGGAUGGGUGGGAGAUGGAGGUUUGUGCGGUGGCUUGUGGGGCGGAGUUGAUGGCUUCUUUCCAGGAGCUUCUGGCUUUUUCAUCGGAGCUGAAGGAGGCUCAAUCUUAUGAGGCGGCUUGUAUGAGUCUUCUUUACUCUCGACAGGAGGGUGGCCAGGGUUGUGAUCAUAAUGUGGUGGCUUCUCUCCCUUAGGUGGCUUGCCAACUGGGGUUGGUGGCUUGUGUUCAGGAAGUGGUUUCUCUCCCAUGGGAGGUUUAGCAAUUGGGGUUGGUGGCUUGUGUUCUGGGAGUGGCUUCUCUCCCUUGGGAGGUUUAGUAGGUGACUUGUGUUCUGGAGGUGGCUUCUCCACCGGAGGCUUGUGCUCCGGUGGUGGCUUCUUGGUUGGAGGGGGCUUGGGGUAAUCAGCAAGAGAUGGGGUGGUGAGAACCACCAGUCCAAGGAACAACACUAGCAAGUAUGUGGGAGACAUUUUUGAGUUUGGGCUGAUCAGAUGAUGCAAAACUAAAGCAUUACGUGACCUUUUAUAGCAUGUAGCUCCCAAUACCCACUAAGUAUUGUGGGGUCCAUUUGUGCCCUACGGGGUUGAAAACUUAGACAAUUGGGCAAGGACCCACCUGACUAUGGAGGACUAGUGAGGUGUGAUCAUAGCUUUAGGAUUUUUCUUCCUCUGCAGCCGUCGUGCCGUUGGCAUGAUUUUCUUAAUCUUAAAUAAAGGCAUAGUUAUAGAGUUGUUUAAUCUCUAAAUGGGAUUUUAUAUAUAUCUUCAGAUAGCCAUUAAUAUAUUUGAUGAAGAAAGAAAGACAAGUGCAUACAACAUGUAUACGACUAGCUUUCAUGGAGUUCAUUUAUGAUCAGUUUUCCUGUACAUGUAAACCAGGAUCAUAUAUAUGUUUCUGUUCCACAACUAUUUUGGAAUCUUGUUUAUCAGUUUUUAUCAUUAUAAUGUCACAUAGGCUGCCAACUUGGGCGCUAAAAGAACCAGUUGGGCUAGUUCGUUUCAGAAUUUCAAUGUGGAUUCAGGAAUUGUUUUGUAAGAUAUGCGAAAUAGUAGAGGGAUGAAUAGUGUUUCAUUAAUAAAAGUGUCCUGUAAAUUAGAAGGUGUCAUAGAAACUAUAAUCAAUAAAUAACUUUUUUUCCCCACGGGUGGUGUUUCUUGUGGGGAUCAGUGACUGGUUUAGGUUCACCCAAAAUGAGUUCAGACUAAAAUUGGUUUGAGUCAAUGCCGUGUCUCUUUUUUCCAGAAAUCAACUAUUUUAUGCAUUGAAUAAAUCAUACAAAGAAAAUAUGAACGCCCGCAAAACCUAAACCCUGGUUGCUAACUUUCUAUGUUUCAGUUCUAUUCACGCAAGAAUAUUAGUUUAAGUUUGGGAAAAAUGGCAACUUACCUAGUGAUUACUUGGUUUUGGUUUGCGACUAUUUACGCAACCAACCAUGAGUUUGACUUUAACGUCAUGGGUUGAAGCCUCCUACAGGAAGGGAGAAAGCUCCACAGCUAGCUCCAAAAGAGAAUUAUCACAUUGAUAGCUCCAGAGAUUCCCAAGGGGACUGAAUCAAAGACAAGUUCCUCACUUUUUCUUCUUUUGAGGCCAAAUAUGAACCAAGGAUCACACAACCUCAUUCAACUUCAUAAGUUUGAUUUCAUGCAGUUGAACACUGGGUGAAGGCCAUGACAAGAAUUGAUUCAAAAAUUCUAUCACUCUUUUAAGUAAUGGAAGAUUAUUAUCUCUGAUUGGCAUCACAACAGCACAUGCUCCUAGAUCUUUCUAGACACUCCAUGCAAUGAAAGCACAAUGGAUCUUGUAACGAUAGAAACUAAGCCAUGCUACAGUACUAGAUGAUGAGGUAAAACUAGUAGACACGGGUGGCAGCCUAUAUGGGAGGGACACAAGUCUAAUUGAUUUGCAUUUCAGCAUUAUAGAUAGGUAUGUUUUGGAAGAUUUGUUCUGGAAAUACCGCACCAAGUAGGAUUCUUUUUCUCUUUAGUGGGUCCACUUGCAUGCCAAUUAACGAGUUGAAAAGUAUGAGCACCUACCUCGUGCUCGUGGAACCGAAGGUCAGUGAAGUGGGGCUCCUUUUGGCCUCGUGUAAACUUGAUUCAGAAGUGAAGUUAAUAGUCUUCCAUUCAGAUGGAUACAUGGGAAUUUUUCUCUUUUAUUUAUUUAUUUAUUUUUUUUUUGUGUGUGUAUGUCAAAGGAUAAUGAAUGAAGCGCGUUAGCUUGUUUUCUGACUGGAACCGCAGAUGUCCAAAUUGGAGUUCCUUCAUUUCUUACUUAGGAUUGUUACAUGUAUAAACAAGGUAUAAGAAAUAUGCCAACGUGUCUUGAGGAGUUAUUGAUUAGAAAUAACAAGUCACCCGACUGUAGAGUUCCAAGAUUUGAAUCUUCAGACCCUAUAGCAGCCUCUGGGGUACGUGGCAUCCUAUAGCAUAUUAAUGAAGGCUUUUUCGAUUUAGACUUCACAAUACCAAUUAAUAUGUAUGCACAAAAUGGAGAUGACCCCAAAAAAAACAGAAUCGCCAUAGUUUAUGAGGUUAAGGUGAUUCUCCACUUAAUAUCUACAUUAGCUAAUUAUGUAAAUCAAAUGAACUUCUAUUUUUCCUUUUUUUUUUUGGUUUAUGUCAAAUAGUAGCCCAUAAUUAACCCAACCAUUAGCCUGUUUGAAUUGAUUUCACAUGCACAAUGUUGUAGUAGUUCAUAUUUUGAAUUUUAUUUUUACAAAGGUAGUUAAGGAAAAUGAAGUAUAAUAAUUAUAAAAGCAGACUAUAUACACUACAAUAAUUGUUAGAAUGGUAUCUCAAAUUCUAAUUUAAAAUAUUAUUUUUUGUAAAAGAAAUAUUAUAUAGAAUAUUUCCUAAUUUUAUAAAUGAUUAUAAUUAGAUCUUUAUAAAAUAAGGAAAGUUGGUAAGAAUAUCUUUAUAAAUAUUUUAGGUCAUGAGAGAAAGAAAUGGGAUAAAAAUGUGAUGAAGAGGUGAAAUAAGAGAGUUGAUUAGGAUAUAGAUGUGAAGAAGAAAGGGAUUCAAUAUAUAUAUAUCUUUCAAUUACCACAUUAAAACCCUGUGAACCUUUUAUAUGGUUUACUUUAUUUUUAUAUUCCUCCUUUAAUAUAUUUACAUUAAUGCUUCCAUUGGCACAACAAUAACGAAUUACAAAUACAAGCAACAAGUCCCAUGUUUUAUUACCAAAAGCAGGUAAAAUCCACCUAAUAUAUUACAAUAUAUUCAUCCAAUAUUUUAGACCAAUUCUUCACCAUAAAUAUCAUAAUGUGGCUUUUGUUCUUUCUUAAAUUUAAAUUGAAUUGUCUUAUAUCAAUUUGUUUGUGAUUUUUUCAUUAACUUCACUUUCAUUUGGUUAUCUUUGGUUUUUGAAAAGUAUUAAGGAAUUAAUUAACAAAAUAAUGUUAAGAAAAAUAAUUUUCUCUCUUUUGAUUUUGAUUUUGUAGUAGAAAAAUAUAAUUAAAAUUAUUUAAAAAGUAUGUAAUUUUAAAUUAUUUAAUAUUUAGAUAAAAAAAAUAAGUCUAAUGAGUUUAAAAUAACAUAUAAAAAUAAUUUAUUUAUUUUAAAUUUAUUUUUUAUUUUCCAUUAUGUUCUCUUUCUCUUUUACUUUUUCAUAUUUUUUCUUACGAAGAAUCAAACACAACCUCAUAUUAUAUGUCAAGUGUUUGUCUAUAUUUGAGCAAUGUUAGAUACGGCCAUGGAUUCAUCAAACUAAACUGAUUUUAAUAGAUACUUCACAAAUUGAUUUAUACACUAAAUCAUUGGAUAGCAAUGAUGCAUUGGAAUUAAACGUAGGAUGAAGCUCGAAGAACACUGUUUGUGUAACAACAUAUUUAUGAAAUUAUGCAAAGGAUGAGCUUCGGGGUAGUAGUACAAGGUCAUUAAUGGAGAGCCGUGUUAAACCUUGAUUGUGAUUGGAUUCCGUUAUCAGCAACAGCAACCUUGUUUGUAACCUUGAAAGUCAUUCUGUCCACAUCGAAACUCCAAUUUGACGUUUGUAAUUACCAUUCCUGGAGUGUUCCUUGAUUGAAAUUUAAAUAAUAAUUGCGGCCCACAAGGAAUAUUUUCGAUUCUGUGGGAAUUUGACAAGGUUUGUUAGAGAAGACUGGUGACAUGUUGACUUCAAUGGUUCAAAUAGGAGACGUAUGUGGAUUUGGGGGGUUUAAUUGAAACUGAGUCCCUAUGGCUUUUUAAUAUUUGCAUUGAGCAGUCUCCAUGUGACUUCCUAAUUCCCACCAACCCUCCUGUCCAUGCUGUGAAACUAAAUUGUAAUUUAUCAGCCUUUGUCAAUGGUUUCUAAAUUAAAGAUAUAGACCAUGCAUGUACUUUAAUAAAAGCAAAUCUAAAGUGUAGAUAGCAGCAAUGGUGACACCCAAUAUUCUCCAUAAAAUAGAAUUAGAAUAAGCAGUGUUACAUUGUUCAUGAUCACCUACAAGCAUACAAGAACUUCCAUGAAUAACUCAUAGCAAUUGCCAACAGGGCGUCGUAGAGACUCAUACAUAGAACACUAUCCACCCAGAGGAAAGGACAAGACCAGUGCGCUGCAGCUCUUAUUUUUCACAUGUAUACCACCACUCGUAAUAACCAAAUUCACUCAGUUGGGAUAGGUGGGAGAUGGUGGUUUGUGGGGUGGCUUGUGGGGAGGAGUUGGAGGAGGCUUUAUUUUCUGAGGCGGCUUGUAUGAGUGUGCAGGAGGAUGCCCGGGAGUGUGACCAUAAUGUGGUGGCUUCUCUCCCGUAGGUGGUUUGCCAAAUGGGCUUGGUGGCUUCUCUCCCUUAGGAGGUUUACCAAUUGGGGUUGGUGGCUUGUGUUCUGGGAGUGGUUUCUCUCCCUUGGUAGGUUUGCCAAUUGGGGUUGGCGGCUUAUGUUCUGGGAGUGGCUUCUCUCCCUUGGGAGGUUUGCUAAUUGGGGUUGGCGGCUUAUGUUCUGGGGGCGGCUUCUCUCCCUUGGGAGGUUUGCCAAUUGGAGUUGGCGGCUUAUGUUCUGGGAGUGGCUUUUCUCCCUUGGGAGGCUUGCCAAUUGGGGUUGGCGGCUUAUGUUCUGGGGGUGGCUUCUCUCCUUUAGGAGGUUUGCCAAUUGGAGUCGGCGGCUUAUGUUCUGGAAGUGGCUUUUUUCCCUUGGGAGGUUUGCCAAUUGGGGUUGGCGGCUUAUGUUCUGGGGGUGGCUUCUCUCCCUUGGGAGGUUUGCCAAUUGGAGUCGGCGGCUUAUGUUCUGGGAGUGGCUUCUCUCCCUUGGGAGGUUUUGUUGGUGGCUUGUGUUCUGGAGAUGGCUUCUCCCCUGGAGGCUUGUGCUCCGGAGGUGGCUUCUGAAAUGGCGGGGGCUUGGGGUAAUGAGCAAGAGAUGGAGUACUGGUGAGAACCACCAUUCCAAGCAACAAUACUAGCAAGCAUGUGGGAGACAUCUUUGAGUAGUUGUAGCUAAGAUGGCGCAACACUGUAGGCAUUGGGUGGCCUUUUAUAAAGGGCUGGACCCAACAGCCAUAUGACACGUGUCAUGAUGACAAAUGAAGUUGAGGGGAUCCAGAUGGGUCCUACUGAGUCGAAAACUUGCACUAAUUGAUCUGGUGAGAUGACUAUUUCUGUCCUUUUGCCCUUCUCGGCCACCCUGUGCUGUUUUCCUUUUGCACGAUUUUCGUUGCCAAACAAGCAAAUAAUAUUUCGCCAAGAAAGAGGAGAGUGAAUGUGGAAUGCAUCAAGUCCCAUCAAGGAUGGCAGAGAAGAAAUAGAAGAUUGCCCAACUGUGAUAAACAUAGCAUACACGUAGCACCAGGAACUUCAUUUACUUCCAUCUAAUGGAACAUAACAAUCUUCUAAAGUUUUUGCAUGAUUUUGUUAUAUGUCUCUUAGCCUAAAGUUGGAAAUGCGCAACAAAUUUUGUCACUUCUCUAUUUCCCACUGAUGAUGUUAAUUAGCCUUCAUAGAUAUCAUCCUUUCUACAAAGUGCUUCAUUUGUGUGUUAUUGUAAAGUGUAAGAAAAGUAAUUGAACAUGUUCUUUUUCCUUUCAUAGAUGACUUUUGAUGUGCAUUUUAAAAGCAGCGCUGUGAGUCGGUGACCUUGAUUCACACGGAAACUAAGGCUCCUAUAGGACCCACUUUUAGCUGGUUAGGGGUGAAGAAAAUAUCAACUUUUCAGAGUGAUUUAAGUCAAGGCCAAGCCUCACUGUGUCAUUACUCGUGUGAAUUUUAUAUGCACAUACAUACAUAAAUAAAGUAUGAGACCCAAAUAACACCUUCCCUUUACAAACUUAACCCCAGCCGCUCUCUUUCAAUUCUUUUCACACAAGGGUAUUGACUCUAUAAAGGUCAAGAAAAUCAUAAUUUCCUAGGGUUUACAAGGUAAUUGGCUUAAUGCUAAUGUGAAAACAUAAAAGAUAAUAGUAUAUUGUAAGCUAACGAAUAUUCUAUAGUUAUAAUUAUUUGUGAUGUGCAUAAAUAAAUCUUCAUAUAUAUAAUGGAACAAUGAAUAAAGAACCAAUGAAAAAAUACUAUAUAUCAUUGCUUGGCAUUUAAACCGUAUAUGCUGCUCUUUCUAGCUACUCCAUCCACUGAAAGACAACAAGGUAAUCCAUGUUAUAAUGAUAGAAGAUACUGUCUCUAGGCUUUUUGUGAUGAAAAAUAUAAGAUAUGGGUAGGGUUGACCCUUGUAUGUUUGUCCUAUAAACACUUCAAAGUAACAUAUUUUUCUUCUUUAGCAACUCAUAAUGAUGGGGUUCAUUUGCAUGUCACUGAGUUGAAAAGUUGGACAAUUGCCCAUGUCGCCUUCCUCCUAGAUUCCGUAGUUCACGGGAAGGUAACUCAAGUUUGACAUAUUUUGAAUUCUUUUCACUCGGACGUCUUCAUAACCUGACAAAACAAAAAUGAAAAACAGAGGAUUGGUAUAUUAUUCAUGGUAAGCCUCAAAUUAUAGUAGUAUGAGAAAGGAGAAAAAGAUUUUGGGAACUCCAAUCUGGAUAAUUCUCGUUUCUUCUCUUGAAUAAAAAUUUCACUUACCUAACUUCGUUUGGAGAAAUGGCAUAUUUUAAUUUUGUACGUCAUUGCUAAUAAAUGGAGCAAUUUAGCAUGUUUUGUGACUGAAACUGCAAAUGUCCAAUUGGCAUUUCUUCAUUUCCCACUUAGGAUCUGAUCUUGUAGACCAUAUAACGAUAUGUAUCUGUGCAAGCAUUGAAAACUAAUGUGAACUAUGAGGAGUUACAAGCCACUGGACUGUAGAGCGAGUGCCAAGAUUUAAAUCUUCAGGCUCUAUCUGGGUAAGGGGAGGAUAGCGACCUAACCUUUUACCAAAGGCUUAGAAUUUAGACUUUUGGAAAAAAAUUUCUCAUGUUUUGGCUGGAUUUCUUGUGCUUGGCGCAAAAAGGAGAUGGCCUCAAGAAAUAGCAGACUCACUUUUGUUUUCAGCCCUUAAUAAUUCUCCACUGCUUUCCAUAACUACAUGGGUUAUACAUGCAGUCUGCUGCAAUAUUCCAGUUAUAUUUAUUAUUUCAAAGAGGGUGAAUGACUUCACAUGCAAUAUGUUGCAGUAACAACCCAAAUUUUGGCACACCAUCUUAAGAAUAGAAAAGUAUAAUAAAAGAAAUCAAUCAGAGAAUCACUUUGCAUGCAGUUCAUAGAGUUCGCCCAAAAUGGAGCCACAUGUACGGACAACCCCACAAUAGACAAUCUUCUCUAUACAGUAAUAAAAUACAGAAAUGGUUAAUGAAGCUCUGUAUUUCCUUAUCAUAUAUGACCGGUUGAAAACUCAGCAAGUCUUCCUCAAUCACAGACAGUUGGAGUUGCUUCAUCAAAAUCAUGCCUUCAUUACUGGCUUCAUUUUGGUUUCAAUGUCUGUUCUACCCUUAAAUUGGGUCUCUGCUUACUACCGGGAUAUCCUUUAGCGUCCUGCAAUUCUACUAGAUUAAAGAGAAUGACUUAAUUCUGCAUUCUGCCGUCCCUAGUCCAAGUGGUACUAGAAUUGAUGUUUCCUUUAGUGUCCUUUCUUCAUACUUUCAGGUUCUUCCCUUGUUUCAAUAAUGCUGUUUUCCUUCAUGUUUAACCUCUGUUGAACCACUUAAAACAACACAAUUUGCACACCAAUGUUUCUUUACAGAAAAGACUGUUUGCAAAAAUGCACAUGUUAUAAGGUUAAUGGAAGAAUUAAUUUGGGGAUAAGGGACUAGGAUUGGGCCAAUGAAGUUUGGUGUUAAAUUUUGAUUAUGAUUGCUUUUCAUUAUCAGGUACCUUAUAUUUGCUGAUGCUAUCUGGAACUAAAUUCAAAUCAGACAUUAUCCGAUUACUAACAGGACAUAUCAUGUCCCUCUGCAGAGUUUCUAAACUAACAUGUAUCGAAAUGUGGCCCCAAAAGGAAGGCUAGGAAGAUGGAGGAUUUUGUAGGAAUCGACCAGAAUCAGAUGGAAGAGAGAUAGUCCUGUUGACUUUAAUGGUUGUGAUAGGAACAUGCAUCAUUAUAUGAGAAGUUGCAUGAAUUUAUGUAUCCUGUUAUCGUUCCUUGACGAUUUCCCAAUGCAAUUUCACUGUCCACAAGACUAACCUCUCCAUGCAGUCAAAUGAAUUGUAAUUUCUCUAUUGGUACCAGUAGUACAUUUCAUACCAAACAUAUAGUAAAUAUAAAAUAUAAAUAGAUCAAGGAAAUCUGAAUUGUAGAUAGCACUGCAAGUAACACUCAAUAUUCUCUAUAUAUAAUAAAAUAAACAGUGUCACAAUACUCAUCACCCAGUGGCAAGGGAGAAAAACCUACAAUGAGUACUCAAAUCACCAUUCUCAAACAGAAACAUAGCAGUGACUGAUACAUAGAACCUAUAUGCUCACAGGGAAAGAAUAAGAUGACCAGUGCACAGCGGGCAGCAGCUCUUAUUUUACGUACAACUCAAAUCCCAAACUAACCAAAGUCGCUCAGUUGGGAUGGGUGGGAGAUGGUGGUUUGUGGGAUGGCUUCUGGGUAGGAGCUGGUGGCUUCUGUCCCUUUGGUGGUUUGCCUAAUGAGCUUGGUGGCUUGUGCUCCGGGAGUUGUUUCUCUCCCUCGAGUAGGUUUCGAGUCUUGUCAGAUGGCUUGUGUUCUGGUGGUGGCUUCUCUCCCUGGGGUGGUUUGCCGAAUGGGCUUGGUGGCUUGUGUUCGGGGAGUGGCUUCUCUCCCUGGAGAAGGUUACGAGUUUUGUCAUAUGGCUUUUGUUCUGGUGGUGGCUUCUCUCCCUGGGGUGGUUUGCCGAAUGGGCUUGGUGGCUUGUGUUCGGGGAGUGGCUUCUCUCCCUGGAGAAGGUUACGAGUUUUGUCAGAUGGCUUGUGUUCUGGUGGUGGCUUCUCUCCCUGGGGUGGUUUGCCGAAUGGGCUUGGUGGCUUGUGUUCGGGGAGUGGCUUCUCUCCCUGGAGAAGGUUACGAGUUUUGUCAGAUGGCUUUUGUUCUGGUGGCGGCUUCUCUCCCUGGGGUGGUUUGCCAAAUGGGCUUGGUGGCUUGUGUUCGGGAACUGGCUUCUCUCCCUUGGGAGGUUCAGUUGGUGGCUGCUGUUCCGUAGGUGGUUUCUUCACCGGCGGCUUGUGCUCCGGAAGCGGCUUCUCUACCUGGAGAAGCUUACGAGUUUUGUCCGAUGGCUUGUGUUGUGGUGGUGGCUUCUCUCCCUGGGGUGGUUUGCCAAAUGGAGUUGGUGGCUUGUGUUCGGGGAGUGGCUUCUCUCCAUUGGGAGGUUUAGUUGGUGAUUGGUGUUCCGUAGGUGGUUUCUGAAGUGGGGGAUGCUUGGGGUAGUCAGCAAGAGACGAGGUAGUGAGAACCACCAGUCCCAGCAGCAACACUAGCAAGCAUGUGGAAGACAUCUUUGAGUUCAGGCUGAGAUCUGUGCAAGGAUAACAGAAUUAGGUGGCCUUUUAUAGAGGCCUGGACCCAACACCCAUAUGACACGUGUCAUGCACUCAUGGUGACACAUAAUUCUAUGGGACCAUUUGGGUCCUACAGAAGUUGCAAAGUUGGACUACUGAGGUGUGAUCACAACUUUUGUCCUUAUUGCUUUCUCUGCGGCCAUUGCACGAUUUCCUUUAGCAUCAUUUUCUUGGCUAAAUAAGCGUAUUAUAUUUGUGGCAGACCGUCCACGUGUCAUAAACAGAUAUAUUAUAAUAAUGUAGUAUGCUUUUCUCCAAUGGAACAUGACACUCUUCUAAGUCUUGUUUUAAAUAUUGUGCAGGAUUACUUUAUACGUUGCAGUUCCAAGUCAAAAUUGGUGGGCAAACGUUGGCCUUUUUUCAUUUCACCUAAGAUUAAUGCUCACCUGGGAUAGGCACUACAUGACUUAUCUGCUCUUUUACUGUAAAGUUGCUUUGUGUAUGAGAUACACCUCCCCUGCACACCCUCAACAUUCGUUGCUCUGUUUUCCUUGUGUCCAGACGAGGAUAUUAAUUGGAGGCUGACAAAACGACUGCUAGCCCAGGAUUUACAAGGUCCUGGUUUGAGGCUUCGGUGAAAGUAUUUUUGAAAAGACACACAUAGAGAUAGUGCGUUUGGUGCAAUGCAGCACUGUGAGCCAUUCUGACGCGUUCUUAAUUUCAAAACUAAUGAAUGCUUCAAAAUUUUAAGAAGUGACAUUUCCAAAUAUUUGAGUUCGUUUAAUUGAACAUUGGAUAACUAGUGAUCAUAGAUUAUUAUCUGUGCUUGGCACUAUAAGAGGGUAUAUGCUUCUUUUUCUGGCCCCUCCUUCAAGGGAGGAGGGACAAUGUGAUCUGUAACGUUAGAAGCUAUUCCAUGUCAUCUUUGGGCUCAGUUCAAAACUAAAAGAUAAUGGGGGGGGGGGGGGGGGGCAUAUCAUUUUAUAUUUCUUCUAGAAGGUUUGUUCUGGAAAUAUUUCACAGGAGCAUAUCUUUUUCUUCUAUUACGUCAUCCGCAGCCUCCAAUAGGUCGGUUAACAAGCCACCGAGUUGAAAAGUUGGAAAAAUGGGAACACAGCCCGCCUCUUGUAUUCAGUAGUUAAAUAAAAGGUCACUAGAAGUGAGAUCCCUUUUGGCGUCUUGAUUUUCAAUCCAGCACCUCUGUGACCUGACAAACCAAAAAAACUAAAAAAUAAAAAACAGUACGUGGGUUGGUGUUAAGCAUCAAGACAUGUUAAUGAAAGAAGGUAGAGAAUAGGAUAUUGAAAUCCCAAUCCUGAUAACAUGAUUUUCUUUGCUAACAACCAUAUUAUAUUUUAUCAAGAAAGAGUAAUGCAUGUGGCGUCCAUCAAGACCCAUUAGAGUUCCGCUAAAGCUAUAGUUCUGUCAACGUUAUCAUUUACGUUUCCUCUAGAUAAUGGCAUUUUCCUCUAAAGCUCUUGCACCAUUAGGCUUCAAGUCAAAAUUUCACAUGUGAACUUUGGAAAUUUUCUCCAUUUGCCCCUAAGGAUACAGUUAGAAUUGACUUAAAAUCCUGAUUGAUAUGUACUAUUAACCAAAGAAUAUUGUAUAUAAUAAUUGAAAUAUUGUUGAUUCAUCGUGGAAAUACAUUUUGUAAGGAAAGUUGUUGAGAAUUUAGUAUGCUAUAUGGAGAAAAAAGUCAUGACUUAAGGUUGUGUAUGUAUAUUCUAUAUCAAAUAUUAGGUAGGAAUGUGGGAAAGAGCAGAGUGUAAUGAUAAGAAACAAAGAAAUAUAAGAUAUUCUUGAAAGUGGAAAAUAUAAAAUGGCUAACGAGUCAAAUUUAUGAUGCGUAAGGGGGAUCAUGUCACAUAAGAAAACCAUGGCAUACUAAAGACGUACGUGUGGUAUGGAGUAAUAAUUUUGUUAAAAUAAGUUUCUUGUUGGAGUACAUUAGGUGACUAUUCAUAACGUAUCAAAUUAAAGAGUCAAGUGCAUCAAUGAAGGCAUAUGUAGAAAAUUUGUUUGUGACAUGUACCAUAAAGAUAAGAUUGACUUGAUAGAAUUUAGUCUAAGUAGGAGUUGUUAAAGGUGUCUUAAAUUUCUAAUUGAUGUAUAUUUUUUUCUAAAAAAAUAUUAUAUAGAUAUUUUAAUAAAUGAUUAAUUCUUUGUAAAAAUACUUACAUAAUAAAAAACAUCAUUAAAAAUAUCUUUAUAAAUAUUUUAAGUUACAAGAAGGAAAAAAACCACUGUGAGAUAAUGAUGAACAUGCAACACUGUACCAAGUAAAUAAAAAUGUGAUAAAAAAAAAAGAGAAACACUCGAUAAAGGAAGGCUCGUAUAUAAAGAGUAAUAUUUUUAAUCAUAUGAUAGAAUGAUUUUCUCUCAUUCAUGAAUAUAGGCAAGAUUGGGGAACCAUUAUAAAAUUUUGUACACCUCGUGUAAAUUGAUGUUUGUCUUCAUAUUUUACACCAACAAAUGACAUUGAAGUUGUCAUUGAUAAAAGGGAAAAGGCAUGCCUCCACACCAUGUGCUUGAUUCGAAUGGUUCAAGUUUGAAGAAUUUUCUCCGGAAGAUCUAAAACAUUUUCGCCUUUAAAUUUCAUUUGAUUAUUAAUAUCCGAAAAAAUAGUUAAAUACUCUUUCUAUUUUUGAGUUGUUGAAUUUUUUGAAAGUUUUUAUAUUUGUUAUCAAGAAUUUCUAUUUUAUUAAGGGUGAAUAUUUAUAAAUAAGAUAUUAUAUAAUAUUUGGAUAAGAGAGAAUGGUGGAAUAUAAUAAAGUUUUAAUCCUUCCCAAUUUUGAACCUUUUUUUUUUUUUUUGAUAUAAUCGCCUUUCUCUUGCAAUCCUAUUAUCAGGUACCUUAUAUUUGCUGAUGCUAUCUGGAACUAAAUUCCAAUCAGGCAUUGUCCAAUUACUAAUAGGACAGAUCAUAUCUCUCUGUUUCUAAACUAACAUGUAUCGUAAUGUGACCUCAUAAGGAAGGCUAGGAAGAUGGAGGAUUUUGUGGGAAGCGACCAGAAUCAGAUGGAAGAGAGAUAGCCCUGUUGACCUAAUGGCUGUAAUAGGAGAAGCGUGUGGUUUUAUGGGACUUAACUGAUACUAAACCUGUAUGAUGCUUGGAGUGGUGUUUCUUUCAUUUUGUUAAGAAAAUAUGGCAGCAUACAUGCUUUCAACUGAGUGCAUCAGAGCAUCCAUAACAGAUGGUCUGCAACCCUAGGUGCAUGCCACUUUCUGACUGAUAAUGAAAUUGUCAGGUACCUGGCCUUGACUAAGCUCAACAGCAUCACAUAAAGAGAAGCUUUCAUACUUAGAUUACUGUUUAAAGUUUUUGCUUAUUUGAUUUCUUAAUGCCAUUAUGACAUUAUUGAUUCAAUUCUGCUUCCGAUUUUCGAAGUUCUGGGCAUCUACUGAUUGCAUCAUUAUAUGAGAAGUUGCAUGAGUUUAUGUAUCCUGUUAUUGUUCCUUUGCGAUUUCACUGCUCACGGGACUAACCUCUCCAUUCAGUCGAAAUGAAUUGUAAUUUCUUUACUGGUAGCAGUAGUACUUUUCAUAGCAAAGAUAAUAGAAAAUAUGAAAUAUAAAUAGAAGGAAAUCUGGAUUGUAGAUAGCACCAUAAGUAACACUCAAUAUUCACUACAUAAUAAAUAGACAGUGUUACAUAGGUAGAGAAACCUACAAUGAGUACUCAUCACCAUUCUCAAACAGAAACAUAGCAGCGACUUAUACAUAGAACCUAUAGGCUCGCAGGGAAAGAGUAACAUGAUAAGUUCACAGCGGGUAGCAGCUCUUAUUUUACGUAUUACUCAAAAUCUCAAACUAACCAAAGUCACUCAGUUGGGAUGGGUAGGAGAUGGUGGUUUGUGGGGUGGCUUCUGGGUAGGAGCUGGUGGCUUCUUUGUUGGAGUUGAAGGAGGCAUAUUCUUCUGAGGUGGCUUGUAUGACUCUUCGGCACUCUCUGCAGGAGGGUGCCCAGGGUUGUGACCAGAAGGAGGUGGCUUCUGUCCCUUUGGUGGUUUGCCUAAUGGGCUUGGUGGCUUGUGCUCCGGGAGUUGUUUCUCUCCCUCGAGUAGGUUUCGAGUUUUGUCAGAUGGCUUGUGUUCUGGUGGUGGCUUCUCUCCCUGGGGUGGUUUGCCGAAUGGGCUUGGUGGCUUGUGUUCGGGGAGUGGCUUCUCUCCCUGGAGAAGGUUACGAGUUUUGUCAGAUGGCUUUUGUUCUGGUGGCGGCUUCUCUCCCUGGGGUGGUUUGCCAAAUGGGCUUGGUGGCUUGUGUUCGGGAACUGGCUUCUCUCCCUUGGGAGGUUCAUUUGGUGGCUGGUGUUCCGUAGGUGGUUCCUUCACCGGCGGCUUGUGCUCCGGAAGCGGCUUCUCUACCUGGAGAAGCUUACGAGUUUUGUCAGAUGGCUUGUGUUGUGGUGGUGGCUUCUCUCCCGGGGGUGGUUUGCCAAAUGGACUUGGUGGCUUGUGUUCGGGGAGUGGCUUCUCUCCAUGGGGAGGUUUAGUUGGUGGUUGGUGUUGCGUAGGUGGUUUCUGAAGUGGGGGAUGCUUGGGGUAGUCAGCAAUAGACGAGGUAGUGAGAACCACCAGUCCCAACAGCAACACUAGCAAGGAUGUUGAAGACAUCUUUGAGUUCAGGCUGAGAUCUGUGCAAGGAUAAAAGAUUUAGGUGGCCUUUUAUAGAGGGCUGGACCCAACACCCAUAUGACACGUGUCAUGCACUCAUGGUGACACAUAAUUCUAUGGGACCAUUUGGGUCCUACAGAAGUUGCAAAGUUGGACUAUUGAGGUGUGAUCACAACUUUUGUCCUACUUGCUUUCUCUGCGGCCAUUGCACGAUUUCCUUUAGCAUCAUUUUCUUGUCUAAAUAAGCGUAUUAUAUUUGUGGCAGACCGUCCACGUGUCAUAAACAGAUAUAUUAUAAUAAUGUAGUAUGCUUUUCUUCAACGGAACUUGACACUCUUCUAAGUCUUGUUUUAAAUACUGUGCAGGAUUACGUCAUAAGUUGCUUGUUCCAAGUCAAAAUUGGUGGGCAAACGUUGGCCUUUUUUCAUUUUCCCUAAUAUUAAUGCUCACCUGGGAUAGGCACUACAUGAUUUAUCUGCUCUUUUACUGUGAAGUUGCUUUGUGCAUGAGUUACACCUCCCCUGCACACCCUCAACAUUUGUUGCUCUGUUUUUCUUGUGUCCAGACGAGGAUAUUAAUUGGAGGCUGACAAAACGACUGCUAGCCAAGGAUUUACAAGGUCCUGGUUUGAGGCUUUCACGAAAGUAUUUUUGAAAAGAUACACAUAGAGAUUGCGCGUUCGGUGCAAUGCAACAAUGUGAGCCAUUCUGAAGUCUUAAAUUUCAGAUUAAUGAAUGCUACAAAAUUCUAAGAAGGGCCGUUUCCAAAUAUUUGAGUUCAUUCAUCCGAACAUCGGGUAUAUGCUUCUUUCUCUAGCCCCUCCUUGAAGGGAGGAGGGACAAUGUGAUCUGUAUCGUUAGAAGCUAUUCCAUGUCGUCAUCUUUGGGCUCAGUUCAAUACUAAAAGAUAUGGGCGGGGCCCUUAUCAUUUUAUAUUUCUUCUAGAAGGUUUAUUCUGGAAAUCUUUCACAGAAACAUAUCUUUUUCUUCUCUACGUGAUCCGUGGUUUGAAAGUUGGAAAAAUGGGUCCGUUAACAAGCCACCGAGUUGAAAAGUUGGAAAAAUGGCAACACCGCCAACCUCUUGUAUUCGAUAGUUAAAUAAAAGGUCACUGGAAGUGAGAUCCCUUUUGGCCUCUUGAUUUUCAUUCCAGCAUCUCUAUGGCCUGAUAAAUUAAAAAACUAAAAAAAAAGACAGUACGUGGGUUGGUGUUAAGCAUCAAGAGUCAAGACAUGAUAAUGGAGAGAAAGGAUAUUCAAAUUCCAGUUCUGACAACAUGAUUUUCUUUGCUGAACUACCAUAUUAUAUUUGAUCAAGAAAGAGUAGUGCAUGUGGCCAGGAUCAAGACAUACAUUAAUUUCCACAUGAUGAAGACAGUUUCUGAGAGUUUCUUCUAAAGCUCUUGCGCGAGUAGGCUUCAAGUCAAAAUCUCCCAUGUAAACACUGGUUUUUCUUUCAUUGCCACUAAGGAUGCAGUUAAUAUUGACUUAAGAUCCUACGUGAUAUAUUUUUUUAAAAGAGCUAUAUUGUAGAUAAUAUUUGAAAUAAUGUUGAUUCGUUGUGGAAAUAUAUUUGUAAGGAAAGUUGUUGACAAUUUAAUAUAGUAUAAGAAGAAAAAAGUUAUCAACUAGCUAGAGAUGAGUAUGUAAAGUGAGGCUCACGAUUCAACGCGUAAAUAUAAGAUAUUUUAAGGCUCAAUAGUUAUGAUAUCUAUUUUAUUUUUUGUAUCUCAUAUAUUCAAAGAUAUAGUAAAAUGAUUUUACAUAUAUAUAUAUAUAUAUAUAUGAACAUAACUAUUUGUGCCAAUUGAUUUUUAUCUUUAUUUUGUAUAUUAGUAAUUAUAUUAAAGUUUUUACUAAUAUAAUAACUAAUAUAAAAGCUUUUUCUAAAAGAGUCAACAGAGCAAAACACUUAUUAUAAAAAAUAAUUUUGAUUGAAGGUGGAGUCAAUUAUUCUUUAUUUAACAUGUAAUGCAUACGGCGUGUACUUCAUAACUAAAGUAUAUAAGUGUAACAUCUCUUAUAUAUUCUCAUUCAAUCUCGAAAGUGGAAAUUUUAAAAAGAUUAAACGGUUCAAAUUUGUCGUGCAUAAAGGGGAUCAUGUCACAUAAGCAAACCAUGGCAUACCAAAGACAUAGGUAUGGACUAAGAAUUUUUUUCAAAUAAGUUUCUUAUUAGGGUACAUUAAUAGGUGACUUUUUAUGACAUAUCAAAGGAGUCAAGUGCACCAAUAAAAACAUAUAUAGAAAAUUCAUGCAUGACAUGUAUCACUAAGAGAAGAUUGACUUGAUAGAGUUUAAUCCAAAUAGGAGAUUGUUAAAAGGUGUCUCAAAUUCUUGAUUGAUAUAUAUUUUUUUUAUUAAAAAGGUUAUUAUAUAGAUAUUUCAAUAGACUAUUAAUUCUUUGUAAAAAUAGUUAUAUAAUGAGGAUGGUGAUUAAAAAUAUCUCUAUCAAUAUUUUGGAUUAUAAAAAGAAAAAAAAUGAGAUAAUGAUAAACAUAUAAAACUUGUACAAGUAGAUAAAGAUGUGAUGAAAGACACUUGAUGAAUGAAGGCUUUGUAUUUCAAGAUAUAAAUAUAUGGAGCAAAACUCUUAAUUAUAUGAUCAAAUGAUUCUCUCAUAUUCAUGAAUAUAAGCAGGAUUGGGGAACCAUGAUAGAAUCUUAUAUGCCUCUCCAUGUAGAGUGAUCGAUGUUUAUCUUCAUAUUUUACACCAGUGAAUGACAUUGAAACUCUUAUUGAUAAAAGGGAAAAGGCAUGGCCUCCACCCCAAGAAAAACAAGUAACCUCGGUUUAAAUCACUAGUCUACACCCCGAAGAGAGAACUAGCCAAACCUACUAAAAGAGAAACUUAACAAUUUAGAAAGAAACCGUCCAUGAUAAAGGGCCCCUAAAGGUCCAAUUCAGUGAGGUCGUGAACAAAAACACUUUCAUGUCAAAACAGAGAUAGGUACCACCAAAAUGUAAAGGGAAAGAUGUAAACCACGUCGAACUUUGGUAAUCAAUGGUAAAGAUAGCAUGAUAGCUAAAAGCACUAAAGCUGUGCUUGGUAUGCAAAAAUGAAAAGUGGAAAUCAGCGUCUUAUUCUUUUUCACCUUUAUUCACAUAUUAGGAUAACUAAUAUCUAAUGUUUUUUAUGUCUCAAAUUCUAUUCCAUGUUAUGGUAAACUUUCAUCUUGUUUAGAUCACUUUUGUCUGGUUUGGGCUCAAGACGAUAAGCCUAUAGAGACUUCAUAUUGGGUUGAAUCGAUGCCCUUGAUCUGAUCUGUUCGUUAGAAAAAUCUGAAUUAUUAUAAGCAUUUAGAUAAAAAAUAAAUAAAUGUGAAACACAAACUACUCCCUGCACAACCUUGACCCUAGUUACUCAGUUUCACUGCUCACAGGACUAACCUCUCCAUUCAGUCGAAAUGAAUUGUAACAAGAAGAUUUUUGACAGGAGGACGGUAGUUUAAAAUAAUAAUUUCUAAAGUACUUUUGUGAAAAAAAAUAAUUCCAAACGUGGAUUUUAUCAAGUAAAAAGAAAAAAAAAAGUUAUUUUCUUUUAAAAUCUGUUCUUCUAAAGAUGAUAUAUAUACCAAAAAAAAAAAUUGUUUUCUGAAGGUAAAAUUUUUAAAAUUCAUUUUUAAAAAAAUUUACACACUAAAAUUAUCUUUUCAAGAGAAGAUUUUUUUAAUUUUAAAUAAUUAUUAAUUUAUAAUUAAUUUGUUAUUAAUUAUUUAUUAAUUUUUUUAUUUGAAAAAUGCAUUUAUAAAAAACAAAUUUGUUAUUAAUUUAUUAAAUAAUUUUUACAAAAUAAAUAAUUUUUUUUUAUUUUAAUUUUAAAAUUAAUUUUAUUAUAUAAAUUUUAAAAUUAAAAAUAUUAAUAUUUAAUUUAAAAUUUAACUAUAAAAGGAAUAAAAUAUAGAAAAAUAAAUUAAUUUAUUAUUCAAUAAAUUAAUUUUCAAUAAAAUUUUCAGCAUUAAGAGAUAAAUUUUUAAGUAUUAAUCAAUUUAAAAAGAAAUAAUGAUCAUUUGUAUAUUAAGAUAUUUUAUUUAGUAAUUAUGAAUGAUAAACAACUAAAGUAAUUUGAAAAAAUAAUAAAAUAUUUAAAAAAUAAUAAUUUAAUACACGUAAAAUUAGAAAUGAUUAACUAUUUUUUAUUAAGAAAAAAUUGAGGAAAUAUUUUGUUAUUUAAAAUUUUUUAUUUGUUUUCAAUUUUUAAUGUUAUAGGUUUCAAGAAAAUUGAUCAAAUAAAAAUUAAGAAGUCAUUUUUUCAAAAACUAUAUAUCUAAAUAAAAGCCUUGAAAUUCAAAUACACAAUAUCAUAAAUAUAAACACCAAGUCAAUCCUUAAUUAUCAAAUGUUUUUAAUAUUAAAGAAUCAAAAUCACCUACUAUCAUGAUAAUAAGAAAACCAAUAAUAUUGUUCAUAUAAAUACUAAAAAGCUAACAAAUAUCCCAAACAAUUAAUAAAGUAUCAAACAUGAUAAAAAGUCAAUUAUUAUCAUGAAUGCAAAAAAUCAAUAAUUUUGUUUAUAUGAACCAUCAACAAAGAAAAAAAAAAUCAAUAUCUAAAUAUUAAACAUAAUUUAUAUUUUUAUAAAUAUUAUUGUUGAUAAAUAUCUUAACAAUUAUAAUUUUAGUAAAUAAAAUUAAUUAAUUUUAGUUUAAGAAUUAUUUUUUUAUACUUUCGUAUUCUUAUCAAAAAUCCCCAUUUUGCAUGUCUCCUUUGGCAUGACUUUCUUACCUAAACAAGCAUAUAUAUAUAUAUAUAUAUAUAAAAUAUUUGGUUAAGAAAGAGUACUAAAGUUUAUAUGGCACACAUCAAGAUAGAAACAGAAGUGGAAGAUAAUCCAAAUGUAUGAACAGAUAUAUUAUAUCCAUGUAGUGGUAGUGACUUCAUUAUUUACUUUUAUCUAAUGGAGCAUGACACACUUCUUCUGAAUAUUUUGCACGAUUAUGUUAUGUGUCAGCUUGUUCUAAGUCAAAACUAGUGAUAAAAAUCGGUUUUUUUUGCAUUUCCUUCAUGAAGAUGGCACCUGGAUGGGGCACUACAUGAGUGGCAUAGCACGAAGUGAUUUAUCUGCUCCCUUUACUAUAAAGUGCUUUGUGUAUAAGUUACACCUCCCCUGCACUGCCUCAACAUUUGUUGUUCUGUCUUCCGUCUGUCCAAACGAGGACAAACGUAUGUUGUAGGUUGACAAAACCACAGCUAGCCUAGGAUUUGCAAGGAUCUAGUUUGAUUCGUAUGCAAAAGGAUUGGUGAAAAGAUUCACAAAGAUAAUGCUUUUUGCAAUGCAAUCUUGUUCUAAUUCAACAGUGUGGACCAUUUUCAUGUAAUGCUUCAACUAGAUGUCAGUUUCAUGAAUUUUUGUUCAUCUAAUUGAUCACUGGAUAGGCCAUAACCCGAAGAAAUUCAAAAUUCCCUUCAGUACUGUAGCUAAGGAAAGAUCCCUAUCUACCACUGGGAUUUUAAGAGGGUAAAAAUGUAGGUGGGUGCCUAUAUCAUUUGCACUUCACUAUAGGCCUCUUUGGGAAGAUUUCUUCUGAAGACAUUUCAAAGAAACAUAUUUUUCUCUUCUCUCCGUAAACGGCAGCUGCAAGUCAGUCCAUUCACAGGCCACCGAGUUGAAAAGGCUGGAAAAUUGGCCAAAGCACCCGCCUCCUGGAUUCCAUGGGUAAGGAAAAGGUCACUGGAGGUGUGAUCCCUGUUGGCCUCUUGAUUUCCAUUCCGCCAUCUAUAUGACCUGAUAACCCAAAAACACAGAAGGAAAACGUCACCUGGGUUCAUAGUAAGCAUCAAGUCAUGAUAGAGACCAGACAACAUGACCAACAAAGAGUAGCGAAUGGGGCCAACAUCAAGCCCCAUUACGGUUAGAAGAUGGAAGAAGUAGAAGACAAUCCAAUUCUGAUAGAUUCGGGCAAAUGUAGUGCUGUUCAAACUUAAUCAUUUACUAUUUCUUCAUGAAUCACGGCAUUUUUCUUCUGAAAAUUUUCCAAGAUUAGGCCUCUGAAGAAAAAUUUCAUAUGUAAAUUGGUAUAUUAAGGAAAAGGCGUUACAAAGGUGAAAAAAAACCAAUCAAAUCUUAUAUAUGACAUCUCAAAAAUAUGAACUUGCUAUAAAUAUUUAAAAUCAAAAUCUUGCACAUCACCUCGUAGUACGAACUUGCUAUAAAACUUGAAAAUCAAGAAGAAAGGGGCAGUAUUGGACGAGACUACUUAGCACAUAUUAUUAUGAUGUUUUUUCAUUUUCUUAAUGUUGUUUUUAUGUCUUAAAUUCUAUUAUUCUAUGUUACGGUAAACAUUCAUCUUGUUUGUGUGGAAUAGGAUCACUUUUCUCUGGGUUGAGUCGAUGCCCUUAGUUAAUUUGUUCAUUUGAAUAAACUAAAUUAUUAUAAGUAUUUAGAUAAGAAAAACGUGAUACAUAAAUUACGCCUCUCGGCACAACUUCAACACUGGUUACUCUGUUUCAGUUUCCUCACACAAGAUUAUUGGUUCUAGGGUUUAUUUGGUUUUGGUUUGAUUCUAAUUGCUAAACUUUCUCAAGGAAGAUGUUAUAUAGGGAGUGAGAAACCUUCACUCUUGGCUACCUCCAAGAGAAGAGCAAGUGGUCUGAAUCAAAGAUAUACUGCUCACUUUUUCUUCUUCUAAGGACAGCUAUGACCUUGCUUUAAGGUUCGAAUAGCCUAAUGCAACCUCCCAUUUCUCAAGUCAGCUGAUGAUGUAAGUCACCUUGGCUUUCCACAUUCAUACGGUGAGGACGUUUGUGGGUGUAAUUCUCUUAACAGUUUUCAUUUUAUAUGGAAAAAUUCAUAAUUAAGGGUAAUUACUGAUUCCAUUUGACAGUGACCAAGUUUAAAAUAUUAAUUCAUAUAUUAAAUGCACAUUAAAAAAUCAUGGAAUAAAUAUAUUUACUAAUAUAUAGUUCUUUUGCCAUGUUCUGUCACAGAAGCAUCGAACUUUCCCUAGAAAUUUUUGCAUGGUAUUCUACUUAUGAUUUUGAAAACUCUAGGCACCUGAGGCCACUAAUUGCAUGGUUGGAUGAGGAGCUGCAUGAGAUUAUGUAUCGUGUUGUUCCUUAACUACAAAUAUCAGUUUUAAGUAGCAUCUCCAUGUGACAUUUUCCUGAUGCAAUUUCGCUGUCCACCAACAAAUUUCACCAUGCAGCAAGAUGAAUUGUAAUUUCUUUAUUGUUAUCAACAGCUUUAAUUAAUCUUGAUAUAUAUAUAUAACUUAGUAGAAGUAUAUUAAUCUAGAUUGUAGUUGCACUAAGAUAAUAGGCAAUAUUAUAACAGUGCCACAAUGCUCAUCGCCAAAUAGAAAGGUAGAAAAACUACAAUGAGUAACUCACAACAUUCUCAAACAGGACAUAGCGGCGACUGAUACAUAGAACACUAUUGGCACUCAGGAAAUGAUAAGAUCAGUGCCCAGCAGGCAGCACGUCUUAUUUUACAUACUACUUAAAACUAACCAAAGUCAUUCAGUUGGGAUGGGUGGGAGAUGGUGGUUUGUGCGGUGGCUUUUGGGUAGUUGGUGGCUUCUUUCCUGGAACUGAUGGUUUUUUUGUUGGAGUUGAAGGAGGCUUAAUCGUCUGAGGUGGCUUGUAUGAGUCUUCAGCACUCUCUGCGGGAGGGUGCCCAGGGUUGUGACCAUAAUGGGGUGGCUUCUCUCCCUUAGUUGGUUUGCCAAGUGGGCUGGCUGGCUUGUGCUCCGGGAGCGGCUUCUCUCCCUUAGGUGGUUUGCCAAAUGGGCUUGCUGGCUUGUGCUCUGGGAGCGGCUUCUCUCCCUCAAGAAGUUUACGGGUUUUGUCAGAUGGCUUGUGUUCUGGUGGUGGCUUCUCUCCUUGGGGUGGUUUGCCAAAUGGACUUGGUGGCUUGUGUUCGGGGAGUGGCUCCUCUCCCUUGGGAGGUUUAGUUGGUGGCUGGUGUUCCAUAG
This 97337-nucleotide long non-coding RNA is filed under the name Vitis vinifera (wine grape). RNAcentral's name for it is "long non-coding RNA (VVIN_LNC001392)". Lineage: Eukaryota; Viridiplantae; Streptophyta; Magnoliopsida; Vitales; Vitaceae. The record is from RNAcentral.